This 91732-nucleotide long non-coding RNA is filed under the name Vitis vinifera (wine grape). RNAcentral describes it as "long non-coding RNA (VVIN_LNC005009)". Lineage: Eukaryota; Viridiplantae; Streptophyta; Magnoliopsida; Vitales; Vitaceae. The record is from RNAcentral.
CACAUUCCAAAUUUAUUUGUUGAAAGAGUAUCUCCACUUUAUCACAAUCGACCACUUCCAAUUCUUUCAGAAGUGGCCAGCUUGAACUAAACCUUCCAGAGCAAAAUCUUUUCAGUUGGUGUAAACUGAAGAGUGUGAGAGAGGUAAGGUUAGGGAAUAAGAGUAAAGGUGAGGCUUCAUCUUCAUUUUCAUUGGCAACAAUUGCCUCCACUCCACUCGCCGAUAUAUAUAGGUCCUCAAGUUGCACAAGAGCACUCGCCACAGAAACCGGAAAAAGGUUUAGCAAUUUGUUGCAUCCCCUUACUUGUAGUUUCCUUAAUUUGGAAAAUGAAUUUGCUGGAAGUUGGUCAAGACACAAUGCUCUUAUAUUAUCUAGUCCGUCUGUAUACAAGGACUCCAAGCCUGGGAGUGCAACCUGUGCAAUUGAUGAUCCCUUUGGUUAAUAAUAUAUACAUAUACAUUCCUAAUAAUUAGACACAUGUAAAUAGAAAAUAAGAGGUUAAAGGAGAAUAUAUCAGUAUAACAAAGCACAAAAUUUAAACUAGAUUGAAGAAGAUCAAGAAAGAGAAAAGAAAAGAAAAGAAAAGCAAAAGCCUCUAGAUUCUGAAAAUCCAAUGAAACUUAAAAAAAAAAAAAAAAAAACCUCCAAAUUUUCCUUUCGAAAUGAGGUAAUAAGAGGAUUUUUUUUUCUUUUUUCUUUGCCUCUCUUUCAAAUUUGAUUAACUUCUAUGGAAAACGGAUUUUUUUUUUUUAAACUUUUAUAUAAGAUACAAGUAAUACUUUAAAAAAAUUGUGAUAUCUAAAAAAAUUUUUGAAAAAUUAUUUUUAAAGAAAUAAGGUAAAUCUAUACUUUUUGUAUAAGAUGUUCUACCUUUAUAUACAAAUUUCUGAUUUUUUUUUUUUUUGUUUAAAGUGUACCCAAAUGGACACUAAACUAUCUAGUUUUUAAUUUUUACAACUUUGAAUUGGAUUUUAUGGUAAACUAAUUUACAAUAUAAUGCAUGGAUUAAUCUUAGAUUCCAUCUAUAAAUUUUUUUAAUUAUCUAAUAUAAGACAUUAUAUUAAUGGAUUGAAUUAAUAAUGUAAUUAUAAUUUAUUUGGCAACUUUCUUCCUUCAAAUAUAUAAAAUGAAAACAAAUUUUAAAAAAUAAAAAAAUGAAAAAAAUAAAAAAUAAAAAAAGCUUUUUUUUAUAGUUUUUCUAAGAUGAUUUUGUAGAGUACUGUUAGUUUAUAGUUUUAACUUUAUUUCAUUUUACUUUUAACUUUAUUUAUUGAGGUAUGUUCUUUUUUGAAACUCUUGUUUAGAUUUUAUGGAGAAUAUAAAUUUUAAGAAAAAAAUGAAAUUUAAAUAAGAUAAGAAUAAAGAAACGCAAAAGGUGGAUGAAUUUUUUUAAGGCAAAAGUUUGAUAAUUGACACUAUCAUGUAAGAGGUGAAAUUUUUAAAUACUCAAUAAAGGCUAGUGAAACUUAAAUUAAAAGCAUGACAUGUACCUUUUUGACCAAAAAGAGCGAUUAUUGAAUUUUGUUGUCAAGUUCACCUAUCAAACCUAUUUCUUGAAAUAGUAUCUCCAUUUUACCACAAUUGAGCACUAUCAAUUUUUUUAAAAGUGCCCAUCUUGAAGUAAACCUUCUGAAGCAAAAUCUUUGGAGUUGGUGUAAAGUAUUGAGUAUGAGAGAGGUUAGUCUAGGGAAUAUUGCAUAUUAAUUCAAAUAAAACAUCAACAUUUUUUUUUUGUUAAAUUCUAAAUGAACACCACUAUAAAUUAAUGCAAUUUUGUAUGCUCAAUUAAAUAAACUUGUUCUUAAGGCAUCACAUGAAGUAUUUAAGUCUAAUUAAUAUUAAUUAAAAAUGAUUAUAUUAAAAAAAUCCAAAGUAAUUUAUUUUUAUCAUAAGUCAAGUAGGAUAAUUUUAUAAAUAAUUGGUUUUAGUUUCUAGUAUUCUUGUACACAAUCGCUAUGUUUGUUGCACCUCCAAAAAAUCUACUACUUGUAAUUAAUUGUAUAUUAUUCUCCAUAUUCACAUCAGUUUAUCUAGUAUGAUUAAUUUAGCAACAAAAUAUAAGUUUACUUAAAAUCGCUUUAAAUUCCUAUGAUAUUAAUGUUUAAGAUUAAAACAAUGUAACAUUAGCUAAAAAGAUUAAGAUCUAUAAUGUAACAUAUAAAAUUUAGAAAAUUCAAGGAAGGGUAAACUCGCACCUGUUCUACCCAGAAGAGUGGCUCAAGUUCACAUUCCAAACUUAUUUGUUGAAAGAGUAUCUCCACUUUAUCACAAUCAAGCACUUCCAAUUUUUUCAAAAGUGGCCAGCUUGAACUAAACCUUCCAGAGCAAAAUCUUUUGAGUUGGUGUAAAUCACGGAGUGUGAGAGAGGUAAGGUUAGGGAAUAAAAAUAAAGGUGCUGCUUCAUCUUCAUUUUCAUUGGUAACAAUUGCCUCCACUUCACCCCCCGAUAUAUGUAGGUCCUCAAGUUGCAUAAGAGCACUUGCCAUAGAAAGCGGAAAAAGAUUUAGCAAUUUGUUGCAUUUACUUACUCGCAAUUUCCUUAAUUUGGAAAAUGAAUUUGCUGGAAGUUGGUCAGGCCACAAUGCUCUUAUAUUAUGUAGGUUGCAUACAAACAAGGACUCCAAGCUUGGGAAUGCAACCUGUGCAAUUGAUGAUCCCUUUGGUUAAUAAUAUAUACAUAUACAUUCCUAAUAAUUAGAUACAUGUAAAUAGAAAAUAAGAGGUUAAAGGAAAAUAUAUCAGUAUAACAAAGCACAAAAUUUAAACUAGAUUGAAGAAAAUCAAGAAAGAGAAAAGAAAAAGCCUCUAGAUUUUGAAGAUCCAAUGAAACUUAAAAAAAAAAAAAAAAAAAAACCUCCAAAUUUUCCUUUCGAAAUGAGGUAAUAAGAGGAUUUUUUUUUUUCUUUUUUCUUUGCCUCUGUUUCAAAUUUGAUUAACUUCUAUGGAAAACGUAUUUUAACUAGCUAUGGAAAACGGAUUUUUUUUUUUGAACUUUUAUAUAAGAUACAAGUAAUACUUAAAAAAAAUUGUGAUAUCUAAAAAAAUUUUUGAAAAAUUAUUUUUAAAGAAAUAAGGUAAAUCUAUACUUUUUGUAUAAGAUGUUCUACCUUUAUAUACAAAUUUCUGUUUUUUUUUUUUUAAAGUGUAUCCAAAUGGACACUAAACUAUCUAGUUUUUAAUAUUUACAACUUUGAAUUGGAUUUUAUGGUAAACUAAUUUACAAUAUAAUGCAUGGAUUCAUCUUAGAUUCCAUCUAUAAAUUUUUUUAAUUAUCUAAUAUAAGACAUUAUAUUAAUGGGUUGAAUUAAUAAUGUAAUUUUAAUUUAUUUGGCAACUUUCUUCCUUCAAAUAUAUAAAAUGCAAAUAAAUUUUAAAAAAUAAAAAAAGCUUUUUUUAUAGUUUCUCUAAGAUGAUUUUGUAGAGUACUGCUAGUUUAUAGUUUUAACUUUAUUUCAUUUUACUUUUAACUUUAUUUAUUGAGGUAUGUUCUUUUUUGAAUCUCUUGUUUAGAUUUUAUAGAGAAUAUAAAUUUUAAGAAAGAAAAUGAAAUUUAAAUAAGAUAAGAAUAAAGAAACGCAAAAGGUGGAUGAUUUUUUUUAAGGCAAAAGUUUGAUAAUUGGCACUAUCAUGUAACGGGUGAAAUUUUUAAAUACUCAACAAAGGCUAGUGAAAUUUAAAUUAAAAGCUUGACAUGUACCUUUUCGACCAAAAAGAGUGAUUGUCGAAUUUUGUUGUCAAGUUCACAUUUCAAACCUACUUCUUGAAAUAGUAUCUCCACUUCACAAUUGAGCACUAUCAAUUUUUUUAAAAGUGCCCAUCUUGAAGUAAACCUUCUGAAGCAAAAUCUUUGGAGUUGGUGUAAAGUAUUGAGUAUGAGAGAGGUUAGUCUAGGGAAUAUUGCAUAUUAAUUCAAAUAAAACAUCAACAUUUUUUUUUUGUUAAAUUCUAAAUGAACACCACUAUAAAUUAAUGCGAUUUUGUAUGCUCAAUUAAAUAAACUCGUUCUUAAGGCAUCACAUGAAGUAUUUAAGUCUAAUUAAUAUUAAUUAAAAAUGAUUAUAUUAAAAAAAUCCAAAGUAAUUUAUUUUUGUCAUAAGUCAAGUAGGAUAAUUUUAUAAAUAAUUGGUUUUAGUUUCUAGUAUUCUUGUACACAAUCGCUAUGUUUGUUGCACCUCCAAAAAAUCUACUACUUGUAAUUAAUUGUAUAUUAUUCUCCAUGUUCACAUCAGUUUAUGUAGUAUGAUUAAUUUAGCAACAAAAUAUAAGUUUAUUUAAAAUCGCUUUAAAUUCCUAUGAUAUUAAAGUUUACGAUUAAAACAUUGUAACAUUAGCUAAAAAGAUUAAGAUCUAUAAUGUAACAUAUAAAAUUUAGAAAAUUCAAGGAAGGGUAAACUCGCACCUGUUCUACCCAGAAGAGUGGCUCAAGUUCACAUUCCAAACCUAUUUGUUGAAAGAGUAUCUCCACUUUAUCACAAUUGUCCACUUCUAAUUUUUUAAGAAGUGACCAGCUUGAACUAAACCUUCCAGAGCAAAAUCUUUUGAGUUGGUGUAAAUAACGGAGUGUGAGAGAGGUAAGGUUAGGGAAUAAGAGUAAAGGUGCUGCUUCAUCUUCAUUUUCAUUGGCAACAAUUGCCUCCACUCCACUCCAGGAUAUCCAUAGGUCCUCAAGUUGCACAAGAGCACUCGCCACAGAAAGCGGAAAAAGAUUUAGCAAUUUGUUGCAUAGAAUUACUUCCAAUUUCCUUAAUUUGGAAAAUGAAUUUGCUGGAAGUUGGUCAGGCCGCAAUGCUCUUAUAUUAUCCAGUGUGCCUACAAACAAGGACUCCAAGUUUGGGAGUGCAACCUGUGCAAUUGAUGAUCCCUUUAGUUAAUAAUAUGUACAUAUACAUUCCUAAUAAUUAGAUACAUAUACAAAGCACAAAAUUUAAACUAGAAUGAAGAAGAUCAAGAAAGAGAAAAGAAAAGAAAAGAAAAAGCCUCCAGAUUUUGAAGAUCCAAUGAAACUUAAAAAAAAAAAAAAACCUCCAAAUUUUGCUUUCCAAAUGAGGUAAUAAGAGGUUUUUAUUUUUAUUUUUAUUUUUAUUUUAUUUUAUUUAUUUUUUUAACUUUUAUAUAAGAUACAAGAACUCUUAGAGGGUUACAUUAUGUAAGUAAUACUUUUAAAAAAAUGUUUAAAAAAAUUAUGAAUACUAAAAAUUUUACUACCUCGGAUUUUAAAUUUUUAAAAAAUUAUUUUUAAGGAAAUAAGGUAAAUCUAUACAUUUUAUAUAAGAAAUUUUACUUUUAUAAACAAAUUUCUGAUUUUUUUUUUUUGAAGUGUAUCCAAAUGGACACUAAACUAUCUAGUUUCGAAUUUUUACAACUUUGAAUUGGAUUUUAUGGUAAACUAAUUUACACUAUGAUGCAUGGAUUCAUCUUAGAUUCCAUCUAUAAAUUUUUUAAUUAUCUAAUAUAAGACAUUAUAUUAAUGGGUUGAAUUAAUAAUUUAAUUAUAAUUUAUUUGGCAACUUUCUUCCUUCAAAUAUAUAAAACGAAAAUAAAUUUUAAAAAAAUAAAAAAAAUGAAAAAAAAGCUUAUUUAAUAGUUUUUCUAAGAUGAUUUUGUAGAGUGUUAGUUUAUAGUUUUAACUUUAUUUCAUUUUACUUUUAACUUUAUUUAUUGAGGUAUGUUCUUUUUUGAAACUCUUGUUUAGAUUUUAUAGAGAAUAUAGAUUUAAGAAAAAAAUGAAAUUUAAAUAAGAUAAGAAUAAAGAAACGCAAAAGGUGGAUGGAUUUUUUUAAGGCAAAAGUUUGAUAAUUGGUACUAUCAUGUAACAGGUGAAAUUUUUAAAUGCUCAACAAAGGCUAGAAAAAUUUAAAUUAAAAGCUCGACAUGUACCUUUUCAACCAAGAAGAGUGAUUGUUGAAUUUUGUUGUCAAGUUCACUUUUCAAAUCUAUUUCUUGAAAUAGUAUCUCCACUUUAUCACAAUCCCACACUUCCAAUUCUUUUAAAAGUGGCCAUCUUGAAGUAAACCUUCCGAAGCAAAAUCUUUGGAGUUGGGGUAAAGCAUUGAGUGUGAGAGAGGUUAGUCUAGGGAAUAAGAAUAAAGAUGUUGCUUCAUCUUCAUUCUCAUUAGCAACAAUUGCCUCUAGUACUUCACAAAAGGAUAUCUUUAGGUCCUCAAGUUGCACAAGGACUUUCGCCACGGAAAGGGGAAAAACAUUCAGCAAUUCAUCACAGCCAAUUAAUUCCAAGCCCUUUAGUUUGGAAAAGGAAUUUGUUGGAAGUUGGUUGUGCCACAAUGCUUUCAGAUUAUCUAGACGACGUACACGCAAGGACUCCAAGGCAGGGAAUGCAGCCUAUGCAAUUGAUCAUCCAUUUGAUUAAUACAUUCUCAAUAACUAGACACGUAUAAAUAGAACAAGAGAGGUGGAGGUGAAUAUGUCAAUAUGAAAAAGCACAAAAUAAAUUCAUAAUUUUAUCUGCGUAUUUUCUACAUUAUAUGAAACUAAACUAGACCUCACUACAAGCAGCUUGAAACUCAUUUAGAAGGAAAGUUUAUUUUUAUUAAUUGUCUAAAACUAAUAGACUUCUCAUUAUAUAAUACUUUGGUUUUAGUAUUUUUCAUUUAUUCAUUCUCCAAUACAAUUUUACUAACUUAAAACAAGUAGAGCAUUUAUAUGUUGGAGUAAUAUGUAUAUGAUUAUUUUAUCCUAAAUUUUUUUGAUUAAUUAAUUAUCAUUUUUAAAAGGUUUUAUUGAUGUGAUUUGAUAAAUGGUCAUAUUAAUAAUAUUAGAACAUAAAAACAAAUUAACUAUAUUUUAUCUAAUAUUUACCAAAAUAUUGAUUUACUAUCACAAAUUAUGUAAUUAAAAAUAUAAAAUAAAAUAUUGGUUUCCAAUAACUCCAACCUCGUCAUUUUAUUAAUAUCUAUAUUUUGUUUUUCUUUUUCUUCUUCUACAUUUUGUUUGGUGAUAGUUAUUUUUGGGCUAUAAACAAAGUAUUUCAUAUUUUAAAACUUUAUAACUCUUAUAAUUAGUAUUUCAUUCAUUCCAAAAUCGAUUCUUCUCCCUUGCUAUUGGUUUAGAAUACAAAAAUAAAUUUAUAAGUUUCUUUAAACGAUAUUAGUAUCAAUUAUUCCUUUCAUGAAAAUAAAGAGAGUUUAAUAUUGAAAGAAAAUUAACAAAAAUAUUUAUGUUAAAAAUAGUUAAGCAAAAAAUCAUAUAAUAAAAAAGAAUGAAUUAAGCCUUCAAAUUAUUAAAAAAAUUAACAUAAUAAAUUCAUGAAAAAAGAAAAGUGAAGAUUAGGCCUUAAAAUUUAUUCAGAAAAAUAAAAUAAAGAUAAUAAAUGUAUGAUAAAUAAGAAAAUAUAAGAAAGGAAGGAAGACAAGUACAAGUACAUUUUACUAAAAUUUUAUAUAAUUUUGGUUUUAAAGUUUACUUUUUAAUUCUGGUUUUUAUUUUUUAGAAUAUAUUUAUUUAGUGUAAAAGUAGUGUAAAUAAAUACUAGUAAUGGCAGAAAUUAGAUAUCGAGUAGUAAGAUACCUGUUGACUGAAAAAUGUCAUUGACUCCUGGGUACCACUGCAUCUUGUGGAGUAGAAGCUAAUGAGCUCUGGGAGAUCACUCAACUCCAAAUGUUGCAGUUGAGGAAAAGCUGAUUCCCUUCCAUGUUGUGUGGGAAGAGAGAAAACAUAUUUCAACCUCUCACAACUCUCUAGUCUUAGAAUUCUUAAGUUACCAAAAGACCCCAUCGGAAUUGGGCCAUGGCAUACUGCCUCCAAGUUAUCUAGGCCAUCAAGGAUCAGUUCCUCCAACAUACAGAAGGUAUUAGGUGGUGGAACCCAUUCCACUGAAGUACUGGAAUGAAGGAUGUAUUGAACGGUAGGACAUCCAGAGAGAGUGAGAUACUUGAGUUCAACGAAACCUUCCUUGUCUAACUCAUAAACCACAUGCUUAGUAUCAUCCAAUUCCCCCAAGUCUAGAACUUGACUUCUCUUCAACAGCUUGGAGAAGCACUUCACCAUAUAAAGACUUGUAACCCCUUGAAACACCAACCUUCUUGAGGAGGCUUUAUACUCAUCAUUUCGUAUCCGGUAAGGGCUUAUUACUAUUGAAUAUCUGGUCAAGUUGAGGUUUUCGAAGGGCACGCCAUCUUCUGGAAACAAACUGAGAUUUGAUAGUUGUAACUCCAAAGUCCUCAAACUAGACAGGUGUUUCAGCUCAGAAAGGCAAGCAUUAAUUCUUUCUCCCCUAUUAAAUCCUUCCGCCUCCCAUUCAAUACGAAAACUUCCUUUCAUACUCAAAUACUCUAAUUGGGAUAGACUUGAUAUAACAUUUCGUGGAAUUACUUCAAGGCUAUCGCAAUACCGCAAAUCCAACAUCCUUAGAUCACUCAAUUGCGCCACUUCAUUUGGCAGCUGUUCAAUGUUGGACUCUGCCAAACUAAGGACUUGUAGUUUCUUCAGUUCUCCAAUUACUGUUAUGUCUUGGAUCUGGCAUUGAUUUAGACGCAAUGUUUGAAGAUUUGAAAGAAAACCAAGUGAUGAAGGAGAUGGUGUAAGAGACACUUUAGACAAAUCUAAAAUUCUGAGUUGUUUGGUGUCUUGGAAAAAGGCAUCUGGAAUUUUCAAAUAAGGAUCAUCAUUACUUGAAUUCAAUAAAAAGAAUUCAAGUUGCGGACAUACCAAGCCCUGUGGAAGCUCAUCCAUAUUUCUGCAUAUCAAAGAGAUGCGAGUGCAAUUUCUGCACUCAUCCGUCUUCUGCCAUUCUCGUAAUUCAGCAGCUUCUUGUGAUCCAACAGCUUCUCUCACCACAAAUCGAUGAGGAUCUUUGGAUGCAAUUGAUCUGGCAACAUCACGAACAACAUCAUGCAUUCUGACAAAAGCUUGAUCAAAAAGCAAGCUCGAAGAGCUAUCACCAUCUCCUUCAUGGUCAAGCAACAAGCUUGAGACUUUGAGGUUUUCCACCAAUGUAAUUAGUUUAUUUAUUGCUUUCUCCCAUGAAUAUGUUCUUUCAAACAAAUUCAAACACAUAGCAAAUUGUAGCAAGCGAUCCAUGGAAAUAUCACCAUCCCCCAGCAAAGCGCAAAGUAAAAACAAUGACUUUACUUCAUCACCUUCCAAAUGGUUGUAGCUCAGCUCCAGACAUGAGUAGACGCCUUUAGUUACUCCUCUGAUGUUUGUUGGUGCAGACCUUCUCAGUUCUUCCAACGCAUUCUCCCAUACACCCACCAUCUCACCUCUUAAUGCAUUUGCAAUGGUGACAAUUGCAACUGGUAGACCGUCACAUUUUUUAGCUACAUCAACUGCUAUGGGACGCAGUUCAGGCUUCUCCACGGAUUCACCUGCUGUCUUCUUGAAUAAAUUCCAGGCUUCAUCUUCACUUAAAUGUUGAAGAUGGAACUCCUUUUGAGUAUACAUAUCUUUAGAUAAAACCUGACGCUCCCGGGAAGUCAGCAGCACUUUGCACCCCUUGUGAUCAUCUCCAUAAGGAAUUCCUAUUUUUCCCAACCCAAGUUUCUCCCAGAUAUCAUCUAAGAUCACCAGGAUUUUCUUCUCUCUCUUCAACCUUUGCAUCAGGCGACCUGCUCUAUCCUCCCCCGCCUCAAAUUUCAAACCCAACAUUCUUGCAAUUUUUUCUUGAAUUUCUGUGAUGUUGGGAGUUUGGGAUAUGUGUAACACCAGGACCACCUUGUGAAAGAGCUUGUCUUCCUCCGCUUGUUGAGCUACUUGUUUGACAAGAGUGGUUUUGCCCACGCCGCCCAUUCCCCAGACACCGAGCAUGCGCAUAUCUUCGUUUCUCAAGGCCUCCAUAAUUUGGUUAAAAGUAGACUCUCUUGACUGGAAAGCCUCAUAAUCUUUGAAAGAUGCAGAGCUGAUGAAUGGAGGAGGAGGAGGAGGAGCGCGAUGCGAUACUCUGCCACCAAAGUUAUGAGCUUCUUGGAUUUUAUCAACAAUCUCCGCAGCCUGCUUCUUUGCUUGCUUGCUUAGCUGGUAGCGGGACUUUAAAUAGAAACAGCUCUUGCUUGCUUUCCUUUCAUCUUCAUUGAAAUCAUCUCUCUUUUGGAUGAUCCCUUCUGCAUACGUCAGCCACUCCUGAACAUCAGAAAAGAUUUCAUCCCUUUGCCUAUUAGCAUCAUCCACAGGUAUCUGCAGCCUCUCCCUUUCAAGAUGGAGACUCUGAAUUUUUUGGUUGAGAUCCGUAAUGUUGUGACGGUAGUUAACCACAUAACCCAGUGGACGUAUAAUUGGACCAACCAGGUACUCUGCAACUUUUGCUGCAACGGAAAUAACAAUGUCAACCAUUUCCAACUUCUUUUUUCUAGAAAUAGAUGGGAAUUGAGCAAAGGCAGAUAAAGAAUUAAUAGAGCAACCACAGCAGGAGAAAGACAAUACACGAGAUUGAUAUUUGAUUGAAACUGUUGUGACAGAAGAAAUGGAAGGCUUGAGGUAUAAAAAGAGCAGAGUUUGUGGAAGAGAGCUGGAUUGUUUUUUUUUCUUUCAGGAAGAGAGGAGAGGAGAGGAGAGGAGAGACAGAAAUCAGGAAAGUGGAAAAGGAGAGUGAUUACUGGUAAAGAAGAAGAAAUAGUUGAUAAAAAAGAGAAAAGGGUUACAGAGUGAAGAGAUUGAGAAAGCUUUGGAUUUUGGAAUUCAGUGAUCCCCAAAACGAAAUAAGUAAAAGGCUUUCUGGCAAGAGGGAGAGACGGAGAGAAGGAAAAUGAAAAAAUGGGAAACAGCAGUGAGUAUUGGGUGAUAAAUCGACGAGGAAACGGUUGUUUUGGUGAAAGGAGAAAGGAGAGCAGCAAGCCAACUUCAGAAUAGCAGAACAGCAGAAUUGCAGAUUCCUGAAUGUGAAAAUAGUUUGGUUAGAAGGAAAGGGUGUUUUAUUAAUAAUAGGAAAACAAGUGAUGGCACGCAUGGAAUCUUCUGAGUUCUUGCUUUAUGGACUUUCGCCACCUAACCUCCAUUACUCACCAUCAUCAUACUAUUAUUAUAUUCACAGAAUUUUUAAAAAAUAUAACAAUUAAAACUUCCAUUUCUAAAUUUACGGUAUCUCAUGAUAACUCAAAUAAAAAAUUGCAUUCAAUUUAAGCAUCAUAUUUUGAUGUUAUAUUUUUCAGAUAUAACUUUAAAUUUUAAAAUUUAUACCAAAAUUGUUUUUUUCAAAAAUAAUUAAUAUGUACCUAUAAUUAAGAAGACUUCACUAUAUUUAUAAUCUCAAAAACUUUAUGGAAUAUUAUAAUAUCACUCUAUUAAAAUUAUUUAUUUAUUUGAAAAAAAAAUUAUUCAUUAUAAAUCUCAAAUUAAUAAUUAUUAUUUUUUAAUAUUUUUAUUUAAAAGGUUGUGAAAAUAUUAAAAUCCUUUGUUUCCAUGGAUGUUGGAUUAUGAAUCACCUAUUGUGCCAACUAAAUUAUUUUUAUUUAUCAUUUAUUGGGAUUUAAUCUCAUUAUUAUGUACCAUCAUAUUAUGAAAUUUUAAACCCUUUUAUUUAUAGUAAAAGAAAAUAAAAAAUAAAAAAUAAAAAAUGAGCAUGAAUAUUAGUUCACAUUAUAAAAUUUUAUAAUUAGAAGGGUCCAUUAAAAAAGAAAGUCAUACAUUUUUAUUUAUAUUUUAUUAUUUUUAUAAUUUUAUGAUUUUGAUAUUUGAUUUUAUGUAAAUAGUGAAUAAAGUUAUGUAUUAUUGAAAUAAAUAAAGAGAAUUCAGUCUUGGGUUAACACCUUGGAGGCAGCAAUGAAAUAAGGCCCUCACAUGAAAUGAGAAAAAUUAGAAAUUAAUCAAAAAAAAAAACCUAUUUGAAAACCCACACAUUAAAAACAAUUGAAAAUUUUAUAAAAAUAAUAAUCUUCGAGAAAUUUGAAAACAACAAUAAUUAAGUGUAUUUUCAUCAAAUUUCUAUAAUAUUAAUGAAAUUAACCUUUAAAAUACUUUUAAUCAUUUACUUUUAAAAAAUAGUUAAUUUUUUUCACACCUCUAGGUUUAGUAUAUCAUUAGUUUCAAAUUUAUCAUUUCAUCAUAUAACACCGUUAUAGAUAUAUUUUAUUUAUAAAAUUUAAUUUUUUUUAAAAAAAGAAUUAUGUUUUUUAGAAAAUUAUAAAAUAUACUUAUUUCAUAAAUCAUUUUUGAAAAAUAAAUUUUAUAAAAAUAAUAAUUUAAUAAUGGUGCUAAGGGAUGAAACUUGGAUUCAACAUUGAUUAAGUGUAGUUUUAUUAAAUUUCAGUAAUAUAAAUGGAAUUAUCCCUUUAAAAAUUAAAAAACCCCUUGAAGAUUCACACUUCGGGUUGAAAAUUGGAAGUUUCAUAAACAAUCGUGAAAAAUGUAAGAGUGAAAACAACCUAUUAAAGAAAAAGAAAGUUCCAAAAAAGGGUUUGUAAACCAACAACUUGAAAAAGGAUUAUUUCAUUAAAGGAAUGAAAUAAUUAUUGAUUUAUAAAAUCUCACCUUCUACGUCUUUUGGGCUUAAAAAUAUUCAUUUUUAAUAAAAAUAUGUUUUAAUUUAAAAAAAAAAAUUUUUGUAAAAUUUAUAAAUUUUAAUUUUUAUAAAUUUUAUAAAAAUAAUAAUUACUUUUUUUUUAUGGAAAUUAAAAGAGAGUGAUUACAGGUGAAGAAUGAGAAAUAGUUGAUAAAAAAAAAAAUUGAGAAAAAGGAUUACAGAGGGAAGAGAUUGAGAAAGCUUUGGAUCAUGGAUUUUACUUCUUGGAAGCAAAUGGAAAAGAAGCAGAGUAUAAGUUGAGGUCUUGAGGGGAAAAAGAGGAAGAGAGCAGGAAGGGAAUUAGAUACUGAGUAUUUUAGUCAUCUCAUGUAUCAUCUACAAUCAUUUUUAAAUAUGGAGGUUUAACAAAUAAAAUUAUUAUUUAAAUUAAUAAAAAUAAAUAUUAAUUAAAAUUAAUAAAGGUAAAUACCUCAAUUUGAUUAUAUAAAAUAAAUUUUAACUUUGUGGAGCAAUAUUAAUACGUAAAGUAAAAACUAAAGUAAUUUAAUUAUUAUGUUUACAGUUAUUAAAAAGAAUUUCUACUUGUCAAUUAAAAUUAAAUAAUAAAAAAUUCUCAUUCCAAUUGUAUGCAUAUUCAAUCAAGACUUUUGUGGUAUUCAAGAAUGGAGAACUAGUUGCUUUAUUGAUUCUUAUCAACAAUUCUUUUCAAGGAAUUUGGACCGCUUAUUCAAGUGGUCCCCAUGGAUGCUUCACUUUACAGCUAAUGAUGUGAAUAAUGGGACUUAAAAUAAAGUGAAGCAUAAAUGAUGGCUCUCAAAAUAAUUUGAACAUCAAAUAUCUAUAAAAGGUUUGGCCUAUUUUCAUUGAUUUUCAAUUGAUUUUUAGAUGAGAUAGUCAAAGUUCUAUACAAAAAUUGGUAUGGAUUUACGUGUGUAUUUUCUAAAAUUCUUGUUCUAGGGGGGAAAAAUAACCAUAUUUUCCGCAUCCAAUCUUUGUCUUAGGAUUCUUGCAACCGUUAUAAAAAAUGAAAGCGAAAAAGAAAGAGGAAAAGAUGAAAAAGGAUUAAUUUAUAUAUAUACACAUAUACCCAAAGUGCUUAUUUAUUCCUUUUUCGCUUUUCGUUUUUGCAUGCCUUCUUCUUCUUUAGCUGCAAGUGCUUUUCAGACACCGCAAUCUAUGCUUAAAAUCAUAAACAAGAGAAUUAUGAAACGAUCUCAUUCCCAUGUGAGUUUGGUAAUGAGUCGAUUCUCCAUUAUUCACAUCAUUAGCUGGACCGCUUUACCUGGACCAUCAUUCACAUCAUUAGCUGUAGAUGCAAGUGGUCCAGGUAAAGUGAAGCAUAAAUGGGGACCACUUGAAUAAUGGGUCCAAAUUCCUUGAAAAGAAUUGUUGAUAAGAAUCAAUAAUGCAGCCACCUAUCCAUUCUUGAAGACGACAAAAGUCUUAAUUGAAUAUGCAUACAAUUGGAAUGAGAAUUUUUUAUUAUUUAAUUUUAAUUGACAAUAGAAAUUCUUUUUAAUAAUUGUAAGCAUAAUAAUUAAAUUAUUUUAGUAUUUUGGAGAUGGGGUUGGAAUUGUGUUCCUUCAUUCUCUCACUUUCUCUCUCCCUCUCGGUAAUCCCCCAAACCCAAUUUAGGGGUAAAAUCGAAAUUUAGAAAUUAAUAAUUAGUUAAAGUAAUUUAAUAAGGGUAAAAAUGUCUUUUCGUAUUUAAAAUCCCUAUAUAUAAAUUAGAUUUUUCUUAUCUUCUCUAUUCAGAAAACCCUUUUACACAGAGAUAAAAAAGAUCAGAGAGCAUAAGGCUGAAGAUUUGUAGGUUUAGGGUUUGAAGAUCAAUUUUUCAGGUAAGAUUUUAAUCCUUAAAUUAAUAUUUUAUAUUCGUUAAUUAGUUUUAAAAACUUUAGAUAUUCUUUGGAAGAUCUCAAUCUAGAUUAGGGUUUGUUAAAUUAAUUUUUAGAUCAAAAGACUGGAAAUUUAUGAAUGUGAAUUAAUUUGUGAUGAAAAUAGGAAAAUUUAGAAAUUUUCUAUUAAAUAGAAAACGAGAUCAAUGAAAAAUCAAUGGAAGAAAAGAAAUUUUAGAUUUAGAAAAUAAAUAAAUAAAUUGUUUGUGUAGGCUUUACAUUUGAAAAAAAAUAAAUUGGAGUACGCAUGUGACUUAGGCAUUGGAAAAGAUUGUAUAUGUAAAUAUAUUUUUAUAAUAAUAAAUAAUGAGAAGAAACAUGAGGCUUAUUGUUUUAUUCUUAGGGCUUUGUGCGUAUAAUGAAGAUAGGAGGGUAAUGGAUUGGUUAUAUAUUGAAUUUGAAAAUUAAUAAAAAUUAUAAUAUUUAGUUUUAAGCUAACAAAGGAAAUAUUAAUAAUAAUAAUAGUUUCCUAUAUAGGUUUUAAUUUAAGUUAAGUAUAUAAAGAAAUAAAUAGUGAGGGUAAGAUUAAGAAAGAAAAUGAAUUUUAUAAUAAUUUGAAAACUCACUAAAUUAAUUUAUUAUUGUUUAGUAAGUUGAAAAAUAAUAUUGGGUAGUAAUAAUAUUAACAUAAGAAAUUAAUUAGGAUCCUAAUACUAAAUAAAAUAUUUUUAGGAUUUUCAAAUUUAUAUGUUUGGAUAAAUAAUCAAUAAUCAAUAAUCAAUAUUGUGUAUGAUAUUAUGUUAGGUGAGGAGGAAAUUCUUCAGAGUUAAAUACUUUAAGAUUUUGAGUGCUUUUUCAAGGUAAGGGAAACUCACUAAAUUAAUUUAUUAUUGUUUAGUAAGUUGAAAAAUAAUAUUGGGUAGUAAUAAUAUUAACAUGAGAAAUUAAUUAGGAUCCCUAAUACUAAAUAAAUUAUUUUUAGGAUUUUCAAAUUUAUAUGUUUAGAUAAAUAAUCAAUAAUCAAUAUUGUGUAUGAUAUUAUGUUAGGUGAUGAGGAAAUUCUUCAGAAUUAAAUACUUCAAGAUUUUGAGUGCUUUUUCAAGGUAAGGGAAAUUAAUGCAGAUUUUUAUAAAAGAAAAUAAUUUUUUUUUUAUGUUGUAUUUUGAAAUGUGUAAAAAUAUUAUUUUUAUCUUUUCGCAUGGAUCAAAUAUGUGUUUUGUAUGGAAAGCAUAUUUGAGAAUUUUCUUUGUUUAUGAAAAGAGAAAAAUUGAGGAGAUAUGAUAUUUUGUUUUGUAAGUUUGAAUUAAUGAAAUAAAGUGUUUGACUCUAGAUUAUAUGGCCUUAGUCAACGGAUUAUAAUAGUUGACAUUAUGGCCCUAGUCAACGGGCUAUAAUUGUUGACAUUUGUAUGACUCUAAUCAACGGGUUAAAUAGUUGAUAUUAUAUGGCCCUAGUCAACGGGUUAUAAUAGUUGACUUUAUGACCCUAGUCAACGGGUUAUAAUUGUUGACAUUUGGCUUUGUUCACCUUAACUAGAACAAAUUUGAAACUAACCACUCAUUUAUGAAGUCCCACUUAAUUGGGCACCAUUUGUUAUUUGAUAACCAAAGUAAAUAUAUUUUGAAUGUAUUUGAUUUGGUUUUUAUGAGAAAUUGUUUUGAAAUGGAUAUGAGAAAGUUUUGUUGAAAAGUUUGAAUGUAUUAGUAUUUUGAACUCAAAACUUUUUAUGAAAAUAAAUAUAUGUUAUAUCUCCUAUUUGCAAGCACGACUGAAAAUGUUUGAUUCAUGAAAUUGUAUUGAUGUUCUUUAUUGAGCUUUAAGAUCAUGCCCUUUUGUUGUUAAUUUUUCAGGUACUUUCAGUUCGGGCGAGGAGUGAUGGCUAGGCUUGGGAAUUUUUCUUUGUUAGGAUUUUGGUUCAAACUUUAUUUUUGGACAUUGUUUAGAUGUUAAAAUUUAAUUCCCGUUUAAAUUAUUUGAAUUUGGAGUUAUUUGGACAAUAACAUUCUGAUUGAUGUGUUGGUUUUUUUUUUAAGUUGAUACUUGGAAAUUUUAGAAUUUUGUCCUACUACUUUGAACAUGAAUUUGGUAAUUGGUAAAUUUCUAGUUACAAUACAAAUAUUUGUGUUGUUUCCACUUUGAGCCUUUGGGUUUGGGGUGUGAAAUAACCAUUAUGCCAUUGGAGUGGAUUUUGGGGCGUGACACUGUAGACCCUCAAUUUUUUCCUCAUAGCACAUGUCUUAUUAGAUACUUAUUCGAUACUUUACAGUAACUCCUUGGUGGCCCAUAUCUACUCACAUUACUUACCUUUUCUUGAACCACCUCGGAGACUCUGAUUGAGGGAUUGCCCAACCCCUUAUUAUGACCUUGACAACUCUAAUUUAGACUUAGACACUUUCCUAAACGCCUUAGGCCCACUUAGACACUUCAUUGGGCUUAGUUUACUUAGGUCCACUUUAGCACUUUUUUUUUUUAAACCCACUUUUUAUAUGACUUGCAUGAUUGCAUGGCCUACAUGACUUGUAUGGCUUAUAUAGAUUUCUUUAUUAUUUUUAUUUUAUUUUAUUUUAUCUUAUUACAAGUUUUCUAAAUCAUAUUUCUUGGCUUUUUGGGCAUGAGGAAACGGGCCGCCACCUAUUUGGAAGGAGAACCAACAAAAUUUUGAAAAAGAGGAGAUUUUGUUUUUUUUUAGAAGGAUAGCACAUAUAUUAUUUCCAUGGGGGAAUCGGUCGUAAAAAGGAAGGCAUGCAUUACAUAAAAAAGGAAAGAGAAAAAAGGGAUUUUCCUCGAGCAGAUUUGGGGAGUUCUUUGGGGGAAGACUGAUAUAUAUACAUGAGAGAGGAAGAAAAAAUGAAUUUUUUGGAGGAUUCUUUGAUGGUCAAGGGCAGAGAGAGAGGUUGUCAAGGGAAGAGGAAGGAAGCAUGGAAAAGACCAGUGGGAAAAAUCUGAGAAUACAAAAACCAGUGGAGAUUUUCUCACCGAAAGGAAGUGUUUCCAGGUAUGUUUACUGUAGACCCCUUCUUGAUUCCGAUUAUCCUUUUGAUGUAUGAAUUUUUGUUGGAUUCUGAGUCUCGUUUGGAUGCUAGGGGGUAGAAUGACGGAGGUCAUAUGUUUGUCUACAUUAGUACUUGAUUGCUUCUAUAGAUGUUGUUGAUUUGUCUCUUUGGAGUUCUCUAAUUUUGAUUUAGGGGUGAAAAGUUCUAUUUUUUUAAUUUCCUAUGCAUUACAUGAGAACUAUGGCUAUACUUGUUUGCUGGAAUAUGCUCGUACCUCUCUCACCAUUCCAAGCCCAUUGACAAAGCAAUGGAAUGUUGGCUUGGUUUGGUUAUUCUUUUUUUUUUUCUUAUCUCUACUCUGUUUUCUAGAGCUCUUUCUCUUUGUGUUCGUUUCUUCUUUUCUUUUCUUUUUCUAGUUUCUUUUUUUUUUGGGUACCCUGUUUCCGUUAGGCAGUAAUUUCUGGAACUCUUGGAAUGGGAAGAAUUCUGUCCGGCCAACGUUCUACCUUCUCCGGAUAUCUCACAUCCGGAAUUCUGUCCGACCGACAUUCCACCUUCUCCGGAUAUCUCACAUCCGGAAUUCUGUCCUGCCGACAUUCCACCUUCUCUGGAUAUCUCACAUCCGGAAUUCUCUCCGCUGACAUUCCACCUUCUCCGGAUAUCUCACAUCCGGAAUUUUGUCCCGCCGACAUUGCACCUUCUCCGGAUAUCUCACAUCUGGAAUUAUGUCCGGCCAACGUUCUACCUUCUCCGGAUAUCUCACAUCCGGAAUUCUGUCCGGCUGACAUUCCACCUUCUCUGGAUAUCUCACAUCCGGAAUUCUGUCUGACCAACGUUCCACCUUCUCCGGAUAUCUCACAUCCAGAAUUCUGUCCGGCCAACAUUCCACCUUCUCCGGAUAUCUCACAUCCGGAAUUCUAUCCAGUCGACGUUCCACCUUCUCCGGAUAUCUCACAUCUGGAAUUCUGUCCAACCAACGUUCCACCUUCUCCGGAUAUCUCACAUUCGGAAUGUCCGACCAACGUUCCACCUUCUCCGGAUAUCUCGCAUCCGGAAUAUCCGACCGACGUUCAACCUUCUCCUCUAUUUGCUUCUUUGAUUGGGAAUUUAUUGUUUUUUUAAUUGAAUUUUUGAAUCAUUUUUCAACUAAAUAUUCUCAGCAUUGAAAAAUCCAUCUUUAAUAAUCCUUUGCUGCCAUUUUUCCUCUUGGCAUGCACUUCCACUAUUUUCUUUGACUUUCAACCAUUUUCUUGAUUUUCUUGAUUUUUCACAAGCAUGAACAAAAUUCAUGAUUCCAAAUAAUGGAAUUUAUAGAAUCAACUCAUGCAAAAUUAAUUAGGGCUUUGGAGGGGGGCCCGACAUUCAUGAUAUUUCCUCAAAUAUUUUUUGUUUGAUAUUCGAUUGAUUGUGCUUCAUUUUGUGGUAUAUAUGAGAUUAUUUUGGAUAUGUUAUUUGGCUAAUUUUGUUUCCCAUAAAGGAGUACUAGCUUGCUACCCAGGUAUGCUCUUCCUCACUUAUUUUCGAGAAUUAUGUGGGCACGUAUGCUAUUGGUGAUUAGAUCCAUACAUGAUGUGAUUCUUAGAUGUUCAGAUACAUGCUUGAUUUGCUUAGAUAAAACAAAUGUUGUAUCACAUCUUCAAACUAAUCUUUGAUGUCUUGUGAUAGCGCUUAAGAAGCAGUCCAAGUACGUACCCUAAAUCUUCUUCAAGAUUGUGAUUGGUUUUCCUAUUAAGCAUGCUUUUUUUCAAAAUCACCUAGCCUACUUAGAUAUCCAUGAUUAAUCGUUUAAUCGCUAUAUUUCCCUCAACUUAGUCAGUAGAGACCUUUUUAGGGCUUAGAGGGGUGCUACCUCCUAGAGGUACCUUUCCAAUAAGUAACCUGAUCCCCGGACUUAGACUCAGGUUUCCCAAAGACAUGCUUUUUUCCAAAACUAUGGAGUCACUUUUUAGGGUUUUUCUUUCUUGUUUUACUUUCCCUUUAAAAUAAAAAUAAAAUAGGUGGCGACUCCAACUUUUCUAAAAUUAAUUUUUCACAAAUAAAAAAGCGAGUUUUGCCGAUCAAGUGGGGACGCACGUGAAAAAUGCGGGACCACAAAUUGGCGACUCCACUGGGGAUUUUGAGGAUCAAGCUUGAACACUAGUUGAAGAAAAUGUGGCGUUUAAUUGGUCGAUUAGUGGGUACCCCUUUUUUUAGGAAAGGUGAUUUGAUUUGCUUGCUUGUUUGGUUUUCUAUCUUAACAUGUUUGAUUGCCUUGGAUAAUCACUUGAUUGUUUUGCUCACUUUAACAUGAUUCACUCUCACAUAUGUUAGAUAGGACUUUUGUUUGUUUGAUAUUUAUCUGCUUAGCAUGACUGUUUGUUGCGUUUGCCUUGAACGAUCACUUAACUGUUUGCUCACUUUAGCAUGAUUCACUCUCACAUAUGCUAGGUAGGACUUUGAUUGUUUGAUAUUUAUCUGCUUCGCAUGAUUGCUUGUUGCAUGACAACCCUUUCUCUUGCAUGUUUGUAUGAUUGCUUGUCUUUGUUCACUAUCUCACUUUAGAUCUUAGGUUUUUUGGAUGCACCCACAUCCUUCAUUGUGCACUUUAGAUUAUCCUUGAGUGUUGAGAGAUGGGAGAGCCUUCACCAUUAAGAAACCCCUUGGGAACGCGAGGAAGUGCAUGUGUGGAGGUGAUGACCACCUUGCAUGGAAGCACCCCGUCCCCUUAGAGGCGUGCAGAGGGUUGCGUACCGCUGGAGGGUACGAUCGCUUCUGCUAAGGAUCCUUUAAACCACCCAUUCCAACCUAUAGAGCCACCUCAACCUUGUAAGUUAACCUAGACCCGAUUAAGACUUCAUUCCUACACAUGGGUGCAUCUGUGGACCUUCAGAGCUGCCUUGGUCACGAUUGCGAUUGGUUAUCCCUUCCGUAGUCUCUUUUUGGUGUGAUCAGAGAUGGGUAUCAGAUUGAGUACAUUUAGGUUUUACUUCUACGCACUUGAUUCCUACAGAGUCACAUUCGUACCGUACCUUAUCCAGUGUUUCCAUAUUUGUCCAGAAGCGUUUACUUUGACCGAUCUGGAUUUGCCCUUGUGGAUUAGAGUUAGAGGUAGAUUAACCAGAGUAUCAGACCAGUCAGAUCAAAGAUCAGAUCAGAGGGAUAUGGACUCACAGAUAGUUACCGUUGACCAGUUUUCCACAGCCAUGGCUUCUAUCCAGGAGGCUAUAGCUAACCUUGGUCAGAGAAUAGAUGGACAGCAAACCCAACAGGUCCCAGUUCAGGAGAGUGCCCAGUUCGAUACCAUAGUACCGCCACCAUCUCUGCCUAGUCAGUCAGUACCACAGACUGUACCUUUCACUCUGCAUAGUCAGAUCGAGGUUGCCCCGCCUCCUGUCACAUCGCCUAUCCCGACUUCAGAGGACCCACACACACGUAUGGAUAGACUUGAGUAGAAGUUGAGACAGAUGAGGGCUUCAGACGGAGUUGUUACUUGGGAGGAUUUUGAUGGAGCACCAGUGGCUAGUUUGUCGGCCAAGUUCAGGAUGCCCGAGAUUGAGAGAUACACAGGCAUAGGCUGUCCUCGCAUCCAUUUGAGGCUCUAUAGUACAGUUAUAAGGGCCCACAGACUGGAUGAGGCCUAGAUGGUUAUGCUUUUCCUUAUGUCUCUGAGUGGUACGACACAACGUUGGUUCGAUUCAUUAGAUGUAUCACGCCGUAGGAUUUGGGAUGACUUGGCCCAGGAGUUUUUGAGACAGUUUGCAUUUAACACUGUCAUUGAUGUUUCGAGGAGAGAGAUUGAGGCAUUACAUGACAGAGUACUCAGUGCAUUUGAUAUCCCGCCUAGACCCAUUGAGAUACUUAUUUGAUAUACCUGCAUUGACUGGUAGACUGAUGAGAUGGCUCGUACUUUUGAUAGAGUUUGAUAUCCAGUAUGUUUCUUAGAAGUCUAUUAAGGAAAGUAUUAUCGCCGAUCACCUAGCCUCACUACCGACAUAUGAGGAUAGACUAGUUGAUGAUGAUUUUUCAGAUGAGGAGUUUGUUGCUAUGACCAGCUUAUCAGGAUGGUGCAUGUACUUUGAUGGUGCAGCCAAUCAGUUAGGGUAUGGGAUAGGUGUUCUGUUGGUUUCCCCUCAGGGUGAUCAUAUUCCGAGGUCCGUUCGUUUGGCAUUUUCUGAUCGACAUCCUGCCACGAAUAACAUAGUUGAGUAUGAGGCUUGUAUCCUUGGUUUAGAGACCGCAUUAGAGCUUGACAUUAGACAGAUGGAGGUAUUUGAUGAUUCCAAUCUGGUACUUAGACAGAUUCAGGGGGAUUGGAAGACUAGGGAUGUGAAGCUUAAGCCAUAUCACGCCUAUUUGGAGUUGCUGGUUGCGAGAUUUGAUGACUUGAGAUAUGUUCAUCUACCUAGAGCGUAGAACCGGUUUGCCUACACCUUAGCUACCCUAACUUCUUCUGUGGACAUUCCAAUUGAUGUAGUUAUACGUCCAUUGCUGAUUGAGUUGAGGUCUGCACCCGCCUACUGCUGUUUGAUUGGAGAAAUAGAGGUCCAGGAUGAUCUUCCUUGGUAUCAUGACAUUUAUCAGUUUCUUAGAUCUGGCACAUACCCUAAGGUAGCCACUUCCAAAGACCGGAGAGCACUGAGGAAUUUAGCCACUAGAUUUGUGAUUUGUGGAUAUACCUUGUACAGAAGAUCAGUUGAUGGUAUGCUUCUAUUAUGUUUAGAUCGAGCCUCUGCAGAUCGAGUGAUGAGAGAGGUUCAUGCAGGAGUUUGUGGUCCGCAUAUGGGAGGACACAUGCUAGCCUGUAAUAUUAUGAGGACGGGUUAUUUUUGGUUGACUAUGGAGACAGAUUGUUGUCAGUUUGUUCAGAAAUGCCCAAAGUGUCAGAUUCAUGGUGAUCUUAUUCAUGCACCGCCAUCAGAGUUACACGCUUUGACAUCGCCAUGGCCAUUUUCCGUAUGAGGUAUUGAUAUUAUUGGGAAGGUUUCACCAAAAUCUUCCAGUGGUCAUGAGUUCAUCCUAGUUGCCAUAGAUUAUUUCACCAAGUGGGUGGAAGCCGCAUCAUAUGCGAGGUUGACAUCUGCCAGGGUUGCCAGUUUCAUCAGGUCACACAUCAUUUGCCGUUAUGGGGUUCCCCAUGAGUUGAUUUCAGAUAGAGGGGUGCACUUCCAAGCUGAGGUAGAUACUUUGUUGCAGAAGUAUGACAUUCGACAUCAUAGAUCUUCAACAUAUAGGCCACAGACCAACGGGGCAGUAGAGGCUGCGAAUAAGAAUAUUAAGAGGAUUUUGAGGAAGAUGGUUGAAACUUCUCGAGAUUGGUCAGAGAAACUUCCUUUCGCAUUGUGGGCAUACCGUACCUCUUUCCGCACCUCUACAGGAGCUACACCUUACUCUUUAGUAUAUGGUAUGGAGGUUGUUUUGUCGGUUGAGACAGAGAUGGGUUCUCUGAGAGUAGCCCUUGAGCAACAGAUUUCUGAGACAGAGUGGGCUCAGGCUCGGUUUGACCAGCUUAACCUUUUAGAUGAGAAGAGACUGAGAGCAACUGAUCAUAUUCAGGCCUAUCAAAGGAAGAUGACUCGUGCCUUCAGGAAACGGGUUAAGCCUAGACCAUUACAAAAAGGGGAUUUAGUUUUGAGGAUUCUCAGAGGUUUGAUUGGAGACCCUAGAGGAAAGUUCAGACCUAGUUGGAGUAGGCCUUAUGUUAUUCGAGAGUUGACUCCAGAAGGGGCUGCAUGGUUGACUGAUUUAGAUGGAAACUAGUUUUCAAAGCCUACCAAUGUGGAUCAGCUGAAGAAGUAUUAUGUUUGAGAUUAUGGUCAUAGGAUGGGUGGCCAUCCUUUCGGUUAGCCUUACACCUUAUCACCUUUAUUGAUAUAUUAAACCAUUGCUAGCCCAUUGAGCCUCACGGGGUAUGUUAUAGCCUUAUUUUUUUCUUAUAGCCUUGAUUACCAUUUCUACACCCGGGUUGGGACCCUUUGGUGUAUAUGCAUGCUUUGCUAUGAAAGUCUCAUGAGCUUUAGACUUAUAGGCCUAUCUUCUCAUUCUCGUCAUCAUCUCCUAAUUACCCCGUUUGUUCUAUUUUACUAUCAUCACAUUUUCAUUGUCUCUCUUGUGUUUAUCAUUAUUUGCUUCAUCUUAUCUCUUCUAUUUCUUGGGUUGAUGAUUCUUCACAUCUUGGUGCAAAAGAGGGCAGUCAUAUCACUCCAUCCAUCCCCUCAUUUAGCAUUGAUUCGGAGAUUUUAGUUUGAGAGGUUGUCUCAUGGGUUGGGGUUCAUGUAUUCAUUAGUGGUCUGAGAGAGUGUGUUCAUUCCUUGUAUCUUUCCCAUUGGAGUUCAAUUUAUUGAUGAUCAGAGCAUGCGCAUCCAAAAAAUAAAAAUAAAAAAUAAAAAAAAAUCAAAAAAAAGAAAAAGAAAAAAAGAGAGAGAAAAAGCGCAAUGACAUGUUUGUGUAUGGUGUCUUGCUCCAUUGGGCAUUUAUAUCACCUUUUGAGGUUUAUUUACUGGGUAUAUUUGUCAUUGUGGGUUCUUGUGAGAUUUUUAUACGAGUUUUCACUCCUUGAGCCACUCUUGUUAUGCAUUUGGAGUGUUGAGGGUUCAUGUGAGAGUUCUAUGGUAUCCUAUGCUUAUCGGAUCAUGGUUGAUAUGUAUUAGGUAUGAGAGAUGAGUAAUCUUUUUACUAGGGUCUCCGGAUCAUUGUUUUAUCCAUCAUUCUAUCAUUGGUGACAUGGGUCAAUCAUCAUCUAUUCUACUUUCUCAUUGCCUUAUUUUGUAUCCCAUUACCUCUUUCCGGAUAUUCAUUCCACCUUUUAUCUAUUCCCUACAUAUUGAUAGACAUUUCUAAUUCGAUACCUUCUUCACAUUAUUCACAUGUUUCAUUGAUGGUUUGACCACCCAUCCUUUUUCUCAUUUCGCCAUUGACAUUUCCUUCGGUUACCUUUAGGUCCAUGGCUCAUGAGAUUUUUUCUAUGCAUUACAUCUUAUACACGAGGGUAUGGGUUUGAUCAUUGGGUAUUUGAGCCUAGUUUCCCUUCAUUUCUUUCACCCUAUCACCCUGGCCUACGUUACGUCUCGUGUCUUAAGACCACCCUGAGGCCAUGAGAUCAGGCGUUAUCUUUGAUAGUCUUCACUUGGACAGGCUUUUGUAGACUGGUUGAAGUAUAGUCGUUAUCAGGUUCUCUUUUAUGGAAAAUACUUUUGGAAGAAUUUGGUCUUUCUCUUGCUUGACAUAUUGAUGCUUGAUGGAUUCUUGAGUUUGGAGACAGUUCAUUGAUGAUAUCGGAUUCAUCCUUUUGUUGACAUCAGAUAUGCAUACUAGGGCAUAUUCCCCUUUCAUUCGGUUGAGAUGAGACCCUAGUGGAGCACUUUCUUUGAACCUGGGUAUUUUCAUCGAUCCGAGAUCCCUAGUAGAGUAUGUUGAUAUCAGCUCCAGUGAAGCAUUAUUGAGCUCAUUGACAGUUUUCAGGAUUCUAGGUUCCAUCUGCGGAGUAUUUUUGAGAUCGACUAGUGGAUCAUUUUUUAGUUGGAGGCAGUUUUCAGUGCAGUGUAUAGAUCUUGUACACUGGGGUAUAUUCCCCCAUUUGGAGGUCACUAGAUUCCCAUCAGAUUUAGUUAGGGAUUCAUCAGAGACGUGCUUCUACUCUCGAGAUUAUUAUAUUCCUCAUCAUUUUGAUUAUUCAUUUGAGAUCAGAUUUAGAGAGUCUUCCCUAGGGUAUUGGCUGAUACUUCAUUCUGAUUUCUUAGCAGAUUAUUGUUGAGUUGGAGACAGUUGAUUGAUGAUGUUGGAUUCAUCCUUUUUGUGCGUUAGAUAUCCACACUAGGGCAUAUUUCCCCUUUUAUCUGAGGUUUUCUAGUUGUUGUUGGAUGAUAUGACUAUUCAUAUCCAUGGUCAUAGAGUUGUUUGAUUGAUUUUGACUGAUUCUCUAUUGUACAUCAGUUAUCCAUACUGGGGCAUAUUCCCCUCUCCAUGAUGAGAUUAUGUUCGGGCAGCGGUAUAUAGAUGGAUGAUCGUUGUUGGUUGUUUAUCUCACGACUUCGACAUCAGAUAUCAUACUGGGGCAUAUUCCCCUCUCCUUUGCGAGAUUUGUUUGGGCAAUGGUGUGAGGAUGGAUCAUUAGUGUCGUUUGUCUACCUCAUGAUUUUGAUAUCGGAUCUUAUAUUGGGGCAUAUUUCCCCAUUUUCUUUGAGUAUCCUUAAGAUCGAGACAGUGGCCAGCUCGGUUUUAGAUUGAGAUUAAUUUGGAGCUUUCGGCGAUUGAUUAUAUCAGGACCUCCCUACAUGGAUUUAUCGAAAUAGAGAUGGAUCAUAUUGGCUUUCACCAGAGGAGCAUGAUUGGAUCCUUUAGCCAGAUGUUCAUGAGAUAGAUUGCUUUUGUCAUUAUUACCUUGCAGAUUGGGUUAUCCAGACGAGCGGUAUUUUGUGCACUUUGAGAUUUGCUUUUAGAUGAGCCAUGAUAUAUGCACUUUGAGAUUUAAUUUUUGAGAUUUGUCAACAGAGCAACUUUUCAGACACAGAGAGUUCUUUCAGUUUUGAAUUUUCAAAGGUUUUUCGUGAUGCAUCGGUUUCUGACCCAUUGAUUUCAGCGGAUGAUUGAUUUAUUGGUUGUUUCAGCAGUGUGAGCACCCUGGAUACUGGGGCAUAUUUCCCUUCUUGAGUUCAGUAGUCCGAACCUUGGCAUUUUAAGUAUACGAAUUUGAGCCCAUUUACUUCCUAUCCCCUUUCGAGUUGGUCUUCUUUAUCUGUUCCUUCUAGGCCUUGAGCCUCAUAGCCCUGAGUUAUCCACUCCUUUUAGACCCUGAGUCUUAUGGCCUUGAUUUAUCUGUUCCUUUUAGGCCGUGAGCCUCAUAGCCCUGAGUUAUCCAUUCUUUCUAGACCCUGAGUCUUAUAGCCCUGAGCUCUCUUUCUUCCCUUAGGUCCUAAGCCUGGUAGCCCUGAGUUAUCAUUUCCUAUAGACCCGGAGUCUUUCCAGCCCUGAGCUGAGCCUUCAUCAUUUGGUCGCCCAUGAGUGUUUUGACAGGGAGUUUGCGUAUCGCAUUCUCCUUUUAGUAAAUCAGUCAUAGAGCCCGGAGCUCAUAGCCCUGAGCUAUUCAUUGUAACCCCGAGUUACUCGUUGCAUCAUGACCCAGAGUCAUUUAUGUCAUCCAUAGCCCUGAGCUAUUCAUCGUAACUCCAAGUUGCUUAUUGCAUCAUGACCUAGAGUCAUUCAUUCCACCCAUAGCCUUGAGCUGUUCAUCAUAACCCUGAGUUACUCAUCGCAUCAUGACCCAGAGUCAUUCAUAGCAUCCCGAGCCCUGAGCUUACGACCCAGAGUCAUUUGCGUCCUUCACAUCCCUAAGACAUUUUGUUUUAUCAUUCUAGCCACUUGCAAGUGGCCUCGACCCGACACCAUGAGCUGGAAAACAUCCUGAUCGGCUACCAUUUAGAGCCUUGAGCUCAUGACCCAAAGUCAUUUAUCUUAUUUAUGACCCAGAGUCAUUCUUUCCAUUUAGAGCCCUGAGCCCGUGACCCGGAGUCAUUCACUUCAUCUAUGACCCAGAGUCAUUCUUAGCAUUUAUAGCCCUGAGCUCAUGACCCAGAGUCAUUUAUCCUAUUUACGACCCAAAGUCGUUCAUCCAAUUUCCGACCCAGAGUUGUUUGUCCUAUUUUUGACCCAGAGUCGUUCAUCUUGUCCAUGACCUAGAGUUAUUCAUCUCAUCCAUGACUUCGAGUCAUCAUUUUCAUCUUUUUCCAUCUUUGUGCUACUCGUUACAUACCUUUCUCUCUUCACUAUCAUUCCCCCACGUAGAGUUGUCCCUUCCUUGUCGUUGUAGCCCCAUGUUCUGAUCUUACUCUCGUCAUGUGCUAAGACAAAAUCUCUGGUCCUUCUUUAGUUCUUCAGUAUAGUUCACUUCAUUUGGCUCAUUACUCAUAUUUCUACUCACAUUCUCUACGCUCGUGAUCCAUACCGAAGAGGGGCAUAUUUGUAGACCUCAAUUUUGUCCUCCUAGCACAUGUCUUAUUAGAUACUUAUUCGAUACUUUACAGUAGCUCCUUGGUGGCCCAUAUCUACUCACAUUACUUACCUUUUCUUGAACCACCUCGAAGACUCUGAUUGAGGGAUUGCCCAACCCCUUAUUAUGACCUCGGCAACUCUAAUUUAGAAUUAGACACUUUCCUAAACGCCUUAGGCCCACUUAGACACUUCAUUGGGCUUAGUUCACUUAGGUCCACUUUAGCACUUUUUUUUUUAAAACCCACUUUUUAUAUGACUUGCAUGAUUGCAUGGCCUACAUGACUUGUGUGGCUUAUAUAGAUUUCUUUAUUAUUUUUAUUUUAUUUUAUUUUAUCUUAUUACAAGUUUUCUAAAUCAUAUUUCUUGGCUUUUUGGGCAUGAGGAAAUAGGUCGCCACCUAUUUGGAAGGAGAACCAACAAAAUUUUGAAAAAGAGGAGAUUUUGUUUUUUUUUAGAAGGAUAGCACAUAUAUUAUUUCCAUGGGGGAAUCGGUCGUAAAAAGGAAGGCAUGCAUUGCAUAAAAAGGAAAGAGAAAAAACGGAUUUUCCUCGAGCAGAUUUGGGGGGUUCUUUGGGGGAAGGUUGAUAUAUAUACGUGAGAGAGGAAGAAAAAAUGAAUUUUUUGGAGGAUUCUUUGAUGGUCAAGGGCAGAGAGAGAGGUUGUCAAGGGAAGAGGAAGGAAGCACAGAAAAGACCAAUGGGAAAAAUCUGAGAAUACAAAAACUAGUGGAGAUUUUCUCACCGAAAGGAAGUGUUUCCAGGUAUGUUUACUGUAGACCCCUUCUUGAUUCCGAUUAUCCUUUUGAUGUAUGAAUUUUCGUUGGAUUUUGAGUCUCGUUUGGAUGCUAGGGGGUAGAAUGACGGAGGUCAUAUGUUUGUCUACAUUAGUACUUGAUUGCUUCUAUAGAUGUUGUUGAUUUGUCUCUUUGGAGUUCUCUAAUUUUGAUUUAGGGGUGAAAAGUUCUAUUUUUUUAAUUUCCUAUGCAUUAAAUGAGAACUAUGGCUAUACUUGUUUGCUGGAAUCUGCUCGUACCUCUCUCACCAUUCCAAGCCCAUUGACAAAGCAAUGGAAUGUUGGCUUGGUUUGGUUAUUCUUUUUUUAUUUUUAUUUUUUUUCUUAUCUCUACUCUGUUUUCUAGAGCUCUUUCUCUUUGUGUUCGUUUCUUCUUUUCUUUUCUUUUUCUAGUUUCUUUUUUUUGGGGUACCCUGUCUCCGUUAGGCAGCAAUUUCUGAAACUCUUGGAAUGGGAAGAAUUCUGUCCGGCCAAUGUUCUACCUUCUCCGGAUAUCUCACAUCCGGAAUUCUGUCCGGCCAGCAUUCCACCUUCUCCGGAUAUCUCACAUCCGGAAUUCUGUCCCGCCGACAUUCCACCUUCUCCGGAUAUCUCACAUCCGGAAUUCUGUCCCGCCGACAUUCCACCUUCUCCGGAUAUCUCACAUCUGGAAUUAUGUCCAGCCCACGUUCUACCUUCUUCGGAUAUCUCACAUUCGGAAUUCUUUCCGGCCGACAUUCCACCUUCUCUGGAUAUCUCACAUCCGAAAUUCUGUCCGGCCAACAUUCCACCUUCUCCGGAUAUCUCACAUCCGGAAUUCUGUCCCGCCGACAUUCCACCUUCUCUGGAUAUCUCACAUCUGGAAUUCUGUCAAGCCAACGUUCUACCUUCUCCGGAUAUCUCACAUCCGGAAUUAUGUCCGGCCGACAUUCCACCUUCUCUGGAUAUCUCACAUCCGGAAUUAUGUCUGGCCAACAUUCCACCUUCUUCGGAUAUCUCACAUCCGGAAUUCUGUCCGGCCAACAUUGCACCUUCUCCGGAUAUCUCACAUCCGGAAUUCUGUCCCGUCGACAUUCCACCUUCUCCAGAUAUCUCACAUCUAGAAUUCUGUCCGCCGACAUUCCACCUUCUCCAGAUAUCUCACAUCUGGAAUUCUGUCCAGUCGACGUUCCACCUUCUCCGGAUAUCUCACAUCCGGAAUUCUGUCCAGCCAACGUUCCACCUUCUCUGGAUAUCUGACAUCCGGAAUGUCUGGCCAACGUUUCACCUUCUCCGGAUAUCUCGCAUCCGGAAUAUCCGAUCGACGUUCAACCUUCUCCUCUAUUUGCUUCUUUGAUUAGGAAUUUAUUGUUUUUUUAAUUGAAUUUGUGAAUCAUUUUUCAACUAAAUAUUCUCAGCAUUGAAAAAUCCAUCUUUAAUAAUCCUUUGCUACCAUUUUUCCUCUCGGCAUGCACUUUCACUAUUUUCUUUGACUUUCAACCAUUUUCUUGAUUUUCUUGAUUUUUCACAAGCAUGAACAAAAUUCAUGAUUCCAAAUAAUGGAAUUUAUAGAAUCAACUCAUGCAAAAUUAAUUAGGGCUUUGGAGGGGGGCCCGACAUUCAUGAUAUUUCCUCAAAUAUUUUUUGUUUGAUAUUCGAUUGAUUGUGCUUCAUUUUGUGGUAUAUAUGAGAUUAUUUUGGAUAUGUUAUUUGGCUAAUUUUGUUUCCCAUAAAGGAGUACUAGCUUGCUACCCAGGUAUGCUCUUCCUCACUUAUUUUCGAGAAUUAUGUGGGCACGUAUGCUAUUGGUGAUUAGAUCCAUACAUGAUGUGAUUCUUAGAUGUUCAGAUACAUGCUUGAUUUGCUUAGAUAAAACAAAUGUUGUAUCACAUCUUCAAACUAAUCUUUGAUGUCUUGUGAUAGCGCUUAAGAAGCAGUCCAGGUACGUACCCUAAAUCUUCUUCAAGAUUGUGAUUGGUUUUCCUAUUAAGCAUGCUAUUUUUCGAAAUCACCUAGCCUACUUAGAUAUCCAUGAUUAAUCGUUUAAUCGCUAUAUUUCCCUCAACUUAGUCAGUAGAGACCUUUUUAGGGCUUAGAGGGGUGCUACCUCCUAGAGGUACCUUCCCAAUAAGUAACCUAAUUCCCGGACUUAGAUUCAGGUUUCCCAAAGACAUGUUUUUUUCCAAAACCAUGGAGUCACUUUUUAGGGUUUUUCUUUCUUGUUUUAUUUUCCCUUUAAAAUAAAAAUAAAAUAGGCGGCGACUCCAACUUUUCUAAAAUUAAUUUUUCACAAAUAAAAAAGCAAGUCUUGCCGAUCGAGUGGGGACGCACGUGAAAAAUGCGGGUCCACAGACACUCUCAACAAUUUUUCAGCCCUUAUUCUAGUUUGGUUUCGUAGCUUAGAUGGUGGUAGAGGCUAUUUGUGAGACUGAGGACUACUUUUGCAUUAGCAAAAGCUUAUUAUAAGCCUUACAAAUCGCUCUAGUGUCCAUCAACUCACUACCAUUUGAGAAGCUUGAAGCGUAUUUUGGGAACUAUAUUUUAAAAUAGUUUGCUUAGUCUAAGAAACAUUAUUUUCCAAACUCAAAAUUACAUUUGAUAGAUUUUGAUAGAGAACAAUGUUCUAAAAAUAGUUUAUUUUAUGAUAAUAUAUUUAAUUUUUUUAUAAUUGUUUUUAAAAAUAAUUAUACAAAUAUAGAAAAUGAUUAAAAAUACUGUACUAUAGAUAAAAAUUAUUUUUUAAAAAAUAUUUAAAAAUACAAAAACAUAAGUUGAGAACAUUCCAAAACUUUUAGAAAGUAUCAAAAAAUUCAAAAAAUAUUUUUUAAGAAUUGUUUUUGAAAAUCUUGUAAGACAGGCAUUUGAGUGUUUGGUAAAAUUUAAAACUUAUUACUUAACAUAUUAAGUUGAUUUUAAAUUAAAUUAUUUUUAAGUUGUUAACUUAAAACUCAACGGUUAGUUUUCACUUUAUGUAUUAAGAUUGUUUGACAAAGUUAACUUAAAAUUUAUUUUACAUAAUCAAAUUAACAUAUUUACCUUUAUUAAUUUUAAUUAAUAUUCAUUUUUAUUGAUCUUAAAUAAUAAUUUUAUUUGCUAAACCUCCAUAUUUAAAAAUUAUUGUAGAUGAUACAGGAGAUGACUAAAAAAUUUUAACAAUAAAAAAAUGAGUUAUGGAUGUGGAGUUAUGAUUGUAAAAUAUAUUUUCAUUAGUGUGAAUAAAUAUGACAAAAAAAAAUUUAAGAUUAAGAAUUAAAACAAAAUAUAUGUAGAAAUGAACAUAUAUUUUGUAUGAUGCCAAAAAGUCCAAACACUGCAAGAAGAUAAAUAGAUAAAGUGAAGGAGUAGUGUCCUUUUUUUGCAACACUGAACACUAGAUAGUGGUACUCAAAUGGCAAACAUAUCACAAAGUUAAUGUACUUAAAAAAUAAGAAAAGGGAAUGCAGUUGAAAUAAAAUAAAAUAAGGGAAAUACAUGAGAUUUCUUAUAAUAAGAAAUUUCAUAAUCAAUAUGUAAAUCAUAAAUACUGAUAUGUUUGUGGCAGACAAACAAAAAUAAUUCAAAAUUUUCUCAAAAACAAAGAAGAGAUUUGAAGGGAAAAUUUAUAAGACAAAACAGUUAGAAUAUUAAAGCACAUGCUACAAUUCAGAAUACUUCCCUCCUUAUUUUUCCUUCCAAAUCAAUCCUUAUUGUGAAAGAGCACUUGACUUUAAUUUUAAUAAAAUAACAACCCUCCAUGAGCUAAUUAACACUCAACACUAAAUUUUUUAUUUUUACAAAAAAAAAAAAUAUUUUUCUCAAUACUUUUUGAAAACUACAUGUAACAUCAAAACAAAAGUUUAAUAUUUAAAUUAUUAUAUAACAUGUAAAAUUUUAGAAACUCAAAGAAGGCUAGACUCCAACAUUUUUCACCCAAAAGAUCACUAUUGAAUUGUAUUAUCAAGUUCAUCUUUCAAGUAGGGAUGGUAAUGGGACGAUUUUAGGAUAGGUCACCCCCAUCCCGUUUAUUUAUAUAUAUUCUCAUUCCCACAAAAAAAGAAAGAAAUAAAUAAAUAAACGAGACAAGGUGGGGUGAGGGAAGUAUGGGAAAUUCUCAUACCUAACUCAUCUUGCCCUGUGUAAAAAUUUUCAACAAUUUUCAAUUUUUCAUUUUUAAAAUUUUAAUUUUUUAUAAAAAAAAAUUGAAUAUAAUUUAUAAAAAAAAAUUAUAAAUAUUUAUAAUUACUUUUAUGAAAACUAAUAUUUUAUUUAUGUUUAAAAAGUUAAAAAAUGAAAAAAUAAUUAAAAUAAUUUUUUAUUUAAAAUUAUAUAUAAUUAGGGCAAGCCAGGGCAAGACAAAGUCAUUACCAGAACCCACCCACACCUAUUUUGGGAUUUUAAAAACUUCGCAAACCUAUCUCAAACCUGUUUAUUUUUAUCCCAAACCCUUCUCAAAGUGGAUACUUGGUUCAUUGUCAUCCUUAUAUCUAAGCCUAUUUUGUAGACCAUAAACAUUUAAGGACUCCAAGCCAAGGAGUGUAGUUUGUGUAAUAAUUUAUUACAAGCCCUUUGGUUAAUAAUAUAUACAUAUACAUUCCCAAUUGCCAAACAUAUGUGAAUAGAAUAUGAGAGAUAGAAGGUAAACAUGUUAAUAUGACAAAGCAUAAAAUAAAAUUAGAUCGAAAGAAAAAGAAACAAAAAAAAUACAACCGUCAUAUUUUGAAAAUCAAAUGAAACUUAAAAAGACCUUCUAUAUUUUGAUUUUUUUUUUCUCUUUUUGCUAAUUUAUUUUGGAUAAUGGAUAUAAAGUAGUCAAAAUAGUCAUUUAUUUAUUUGUUUUGAAGCCAUCUAAGAAUGAUUCAAUUUUUUUUACCUUUAAUAAAAUUAGAAAAAAAAAGCUAUUAAUAUAAAUAUUUUUCUUCAUCUAAUUACAACCUAUAAAAAAUGUGAAGUUUUAUUUCUUUAUUUUUUUAAAAAAAAUUUGUUUUUUUUUUCUUUUUCUUCAUUUUCUUCAACAAACCUUUUGUUGUACUAGAGUUCUCAUCAUAUCAUACUUUAGUUUUAUUAUUUUUCGUUUAUACAUUAUCCAAUAUAAUUUUUAUUUCCUCAAAUUGAGUAGAUAACGUGACUGUCUCAUGUUAUUUAAGUUUAGAUAAUUGAUAUUAUAUGCUCAUUAAUCCAUCUUUAUCUUCUUCUUGUUUUAUCCCUAAAAUGCAUAUGAUUAUUUUUAUCUGCAAGUAGAAAUUUUGAAGGUUACUAUAGACCCCUUUUAAAAACCAAAUGCUAUUAGUUUUAUUUAUUGCCUUUAUAGCAUUUGGAGGUUUUUUUUGCUCUCACACUUGGGAAGAGCUGGCCACACCUUAAAGGAGUGGAGGACCCCUUUCUGCCGGGAACCAGAUGCAUGGACCUGUGGUGAACAUCAGCAGCUCGCCCAUGGUGGUGGUUGAAGAUGGGGACUUGCCGAGAGGUGAACAGGGGAGUGGAUAGUGGCUUGCGAGAGAAGACAUAAACAGGGGAGGAGAGUAUGGGGAUUUCGAGGAGAGUUUUUUUUUUUUUUUUUUGGGCUGGAGGAGAAAGCAGAUCGGUUUUUCUGGGUUAGUUUGAGAAGAAAAACAGAGGGAAGGCUAGGAGAUGUCUUGAGUGAAGGUUUUUGAGAGAUAUUUUAAAGAGGAGGGAGUUUGCAGCUCACUAGGAACCAAGUGACUUUGCUCCAAAGGAGUCAUUCAAGUUUGAUCAUCUCUCACUUUAGGUUCUUCACUUUUACAGUCAUACUUCACUCAUUUCUAAUGUUUGGGAUGUUUACUUUUAACUGUCUAAGACGUUAAGCUUGCUUUUCAUCUCUGUUUGCUUGAUCUCUGUUUCUUCCCGUAUGAGUUACAUGAUGAUUACGUUGUCUGUUUAUAUGUUGAAACCACUCAAACUGUCCCACCAGUUUUUUUUAGCUCUCUGAUUUCCAUGAAGUGAAGCUGUGUUUAAUGGAGUUAUCUUCUCUUGUAUGCACUCUGUUUUUUUCUUCACUUUAUCCUCUAUUUCUGACAAUCUUCUGGAGUGUUGGAUAUCUUGUUUGGGUCGGUCGUUUGGAUUGGAAUGUUCCUAAGGGAAAGCGGUGCCAGAGUCUUCGAAGAGGAAUCAUUUCAAGUUGAACGAAAGAGGAGUUUGUCAUUUUGGGUAUAGGAUUUUUCGAUAUUUAUUCCUCUACUUUUGGUGCGUUUGAAGAAUUGAGUAUCACAGUUGGUCCGACUACUUACUAGGUUGAUAGUUUAUGGUGGAAGUUUUGGGUAUUAUUCAUGUUAGUAAGGAGGACCAAAAGAGCGUAUUUGACUUGCUUGCUGUAAUUUCGUGGAUGGAAAAUGCCUCAUUUGCUAUGGUUGAUGAUUAAAAUCAUGUUGAAGCUAUGGCAGAUGAAGGUCUGAUCAAUGUUACUAAGUCAAUCAGAUGGAGUGUUGAGGGUUUAAAGUAGGUCUCAUCAACUCACAGGAUGAGGGUUGGAAGUGAUACAUUCUUUUGGGAUGUUCACUGAGGAAGGACAACUGUCACUGGUUUCAUUACCCCUUAUCCAUAUGCUGAGCUCAAAAUUGCCAAAGGUGUCUAAUCUGUUGAAGUUCCUAAGGUGGUAACGUGUGGAAAUACCUCUCUAGAGCCAUCUGAUACUCACUGUUAAUGAUUGGCUCCAUCAACACACCCAUCCCCAUUCAUACCUUCAUUUUUCAAGGCCCACCGAACCCAUUCUAUUUCACCUUGUUUCCACCAUUCAUGCCCGUCACACCCAUUUCUUACCCAUGCAUACGAUAAUCAUGCUUCAAUUCCCAUACCCACGUUCUCGUUAACCACUCCCCCAUGAAACCCAUUGCUUUCAUACCCAUUCUCUACAUCCCCAUACCCAUUCCACAUAGUCGCCCAUUUUCUCACUGCCCGUGUUUAUGCUUCAUAGCCUUUACCUCCAUUCCCAUGCAAACACCUCACUAAUCACCACAUCACUCUCCAUAUCCGCUACCCAUAAUUCGCCUUGCACAGUUUCCACCACCACGCCUCCACAUCUUGAUACCCAUUUCUUCUCUUCCAUACACACCAUUUUUCGUUCAUCUCCAAUACCAUACCCAUCAUCCACCACUAAUACCCACACCGUUACCACCCCGACAUAUCCAAUGCCAUGCACCAUUCAUCCCACCCCAUGCAUGUCACAUUUCUUUUUUAACACCACUUGUUUUUAUACUCCUAUCUUCAUGCCCACUACCUUUCCAUACCUAAAUCUCAUGCCCCCCAUGCAUAUACUCGUCGAGCCACCCCACAUAAACCCACUUCUCUCUCUAAGUCUUCACAUACCUAUCACCACAUUUUCUCUCUCUACACCACACCACAUACCCAUUUUUUCUUCAAAUGCCCUUCAAACUCAUUCCCUUCACCUUUGCAUGGCCAUGUUAACCUCCAUACCCGUAUCUCAUACCCCCAUGCAUACCCAUCUAACCACACCAUUAAAAUGCCUUCUUUCUCUAUACCCUCAUGCCCACGCCGUAAUUCGCCCCUCUUAGCUUAAACCACCCUUCAUACCCACUGUCCAUUUCCCACUUAUAUGACCCACAUGCUAUCCCGUGGUUGUAUCCCCAUAACGUACCUUUUUAUUGAUUUCAAAGAACAAACUCUCAUAUCUGAUGAGGGUCCAGAAGCUCGUCCUCAGCGUAUCUAGUGAAUAAAGUGGAGAUAAAAAUAAAAUAUACUUGAAAUGAUGCUUAGAGGUGGGUUCGGACCUAGGUAGUCGAAGCUUGGGUCAUCAUGGAUCUUCCUUUUUGGAGUGGACUUCUUGAACAAUCAAGUUGAUGGAAGGAUUGCCGAGUCAGACAAUGGUUCAACAUGUAAUCAAGCUGCUAUGUGUUCAUUCAAUGUGGCUGCAGGCUUGAUCGUCCCUGAUAAGGAUGAAGAAACACAGAAGGUUAGUAUAUUGCCCAAACAUAAGCGUGUGGUUAGACAUGGUAUGCACUACAGGAAGAGGAGUUAAGAUUAAUUACACUGAAGACACGGAAGCCUCAACAUCAGGUAGAAAAUAUGAUCGCCUACCAACUCACAAGGUUGAUAAAGUGCAAGAAGCGCUUAAACCCAGUUCUUUGGAGUUGCGAGCUCUGGUGAAAGACCCUCUUCCUGAAGCAUUGCAGUUGGCUAAAGUUGUAUUAUCUGCAUGGCACGCAUGACAUUUUUUUUAGCACGUACAGAAAUGCAUGAAGACACUUGAAAGCUUCUAUGCCACGUACUGGUGUAUUCUCAAGCAAAGAACAAUUGAUCUUAGUCUUUGCCCAAGGGAUCUGCAACCUGGCCAGAGAAGAAGAUUCUCACUCCUAAUUCACUUGUAUCAUCUAUAAUGUGCGAAUCUCAGUACAAGUUUAAGAAAAUAUCUUGCUAGAGCAUGUUUGGUUCUCCUCAAGCAUGGAAAGGUGGUAGAACACGAGAUUAUACAUGACCAUGUGACCAAACGCUCCCAAGGAUUUGGGUUCAUUGUAUUUGACAAUGAACAGGUUGUUGAUGAUCUACUGACAAACGAAAAUAUGAUUGAUAUGGAGGGUACUCAAGUUGAGAUCAAGAAGGCAGAACCAAAGAAAUCCUCCUCAAAGCUAGGUCGCACCUUUUCAUUUGGUGGUGAUUCUAGGACGCAAAUGUACAAUGAUGAUUUUAGUGGAUACGACAGCGAUCCUUAUAGUGGUCUGGGCAGUGGUGGCUAUGGGCCUGAUUCCUACCGGGCACUUGGAGGUAUUGACAGUAGGCUUGGUGAUUAUGGUGGGUAUAGUGGAAGUGGCAAUGAAUUUGAGGCCACGUGUCAUCGCCCACUUCCUCGUCCCAUGAUUUUCAAAAUAAUUUUCCUGAACAUCAUUUUAUUAAUAAUUCCUCCAAUUGUUUUUGUUUUUUAGAUAAUGUCAAAUCUCCAAAUUCUUCAUCCUUGUUCUGUUUUCUUAAAUGAUUUCUCACAUUCCUAGUUUUCAAAUAAUUUUUUAAAAUUAUUGUUUUCUUAAAUAAUUUUCCAAUUUCCAAAUCCUUCAAACAAUUUUUGCUUUUCAAAUUUUUCAUCCUUAGAUUUUUUUUAGGUCCUAAAAAUCCCAUUUUCUAUGAAAUUUGGCCACCAUUUUCUUUCUGGCAAGCCAUUUUUGAAUUUUCUUUGAUUUUUAAAAUAUUUUAAAAUAAGUGUGAAUUUAUUUUUGUAAUUAUUAGUGAUGGAAUUUACAAGAUUGAUUCACUCAAAAAUAAAUUGGGCUUUGGUGGGGGCCCAAUAUUAUUGGAUGUUUCCUUUGAAAAUCAAUUUGAUUGAAUUGUGAUAUGUGAUGAUUUCGUACUCGAUUUAAUGGCAUAUGAGCUAUGUUUUAUGUCAAUUAUUUAUGCACUAACCCUAUUUCAUGAUAGCGCGUUGCCGUUUGCUGAUUAGGUGCACACCCGCUCUCACUCUGGCCAUUCUUUAUUGAGUGUUUUGAUUCUCACAUGUGCAUGAUCGUUUUGGGUAUCCAUUAAUUUCCUUACCAAUUGCCAUGAUUGCUUCAUUUUAUUAAUAGAUACCCGUUUUUAGGAACUUAGAGGGGUGCUAUGGUCUUUACUAUACCUUCCUGAUAAGUAACUUGACCUCCAAACUCGAUCCGGUUUUUCACAGACCACCUUUUCCAAAAUAAGGAUGUCAUACUUAGAGUUUUCUUUCUUAUUUUGUUUACCCUUUAAAAAUAAAACAAAAAUAAGUGACGGAUCAAAGUCAUUUUCUUAAUAAAUAAAAUCAUUUUCAAAAUAAAAAGCAAGCUCGCCGUUGAGUGGAAGCGCAUGAGCCGAAAUACGGGGUCCACAGUUACUUUUUUUUUCUUAGAAUUUAUUUAUUUAUAGUAAAAAGUAGAGUAAAUAAAAACCAAUAAUGACAUAAAAAUAUCAUUAACUUUAGGCUACUAGUAUUUAUUUUAUUCACAUUUCACCAAUUUUAUAUUUUAUCAUUUUUCUUUAUAUUUAUUAAUUUUAUGAUGUUAUAUUUGAUUUAUGUAAAUAGUGAAUAAUCAUUACAUAUUAUUAUAAUGGUAAUUAUAAACAAAAAGAAUUUUGUCUUUGGUUAACACCUUUCUCUUUUUAAUUGGGAGGAGCCUUGAAAUGGGGCCGCCCACAUGACAUUUGAAAAAAGUUGUUAAAAAACCCACAUUUUAAAAGAAGUGGGUUGAUAAUGCUUUUGAUCAUUUGCUUUUGGAAAAGUUAAAAAACUAUUUGAAAAAUUAAAAAUCUAUUUGUAAACCUAUGCUUUGGGAAAAGAGGGUGAAACUCGACGCCAUAAAGAAGAUAAGGUUUUUAAAAAGCUGUUUGAAAACCAACUUUUUGAAAUUGGACAAUUAUGGGUAUUGGUGUUCACAUUCGAUGAUUAGGCAAACACUCCUAAAGAUGUAUAAUUGAUGUGAAGUUCUUGAAAAUUUAUGAACAAAAACAUCUUUUAUGUACAUUUACACAUUUUAUUUAUUUUUAUAUUAAAUUAUUGGAAAUAUUGUUUACAUGCAUCUAUAAAAAUCAAAUAUAAUUUUUAUUUUUAUUUUUUAUAUUUUCAUAUAUAUACAAGGUACAUGUACUAAAUAUAUAUGAUAUUUGUACUAAUUGUAGAAGACAUGUAUAAGUUUGUCUAUUAUGAAUAUAUUUACGCAUUUUUUUUACUAUUUUUCAUACCAUUAGAAACAUCAUUGACAAAUAUACAUGAAUGUCACAUGCAAUUUUAUUUUUUAAAAUUAUCACACAUGUACAAGGUACUUGUAUUAAAUAUAUAAGACAUUCAUAUUAAUUGCAAAAAGUUUGUACAAAUGUACUUAUUAUAAAUAUAUUUACAUGUUUUUAUGAAUGUUCGUAAAUUUUGAAAAUGUGUUAUACAUUUAGUAUAACUAUGUUGUAUAUCUAUGAAAAUGCCAAAAAAAAAAAAUUAUAUUUGACAUUUAUGCAUAUGUAUCUAAUAAUUUGUUAUGUACAACUAUUAUGCAAAUCAUGAAAAAGAAUAAUAAUAGAAUAAAAGAAUAAGAAAAACGAAAUCAAAAUACACAAAUCAACCAAUCAUGCUUCUAUUUAUGGAUGAGAGGGAAUUAUUCUACUAUAAAAGAAUACUACAAAGCCUCCUUGUAUCCAUAUCCUAAUGAGCCCUCUCGCUCUAUUAGGUAUCUCUUGUUCUUCCUCAUAUUUUUAUGUAUUUACACGUUUUAUUUCUUUUUUAUAUUAAAUUAUUGGAAAUAUUUUUUUACAUACAUCUAUAAAUGUCAAAUAUAAUUUUUAUUUUUAUUUUUGAUAUUUUCAUAUAUAUACAAGGUAUCUAUACUACAUAUACACUUCAUUUGUAUUAACUGUACAAGACAUGUAUAAGUUUGUCUAUUAUGAAUAUAUUUAUGGUUUUUUUACUAUUUUUUAUACUACUAGGAACAUUGUUUACACAUAAACGUGAAUGUCAAAUAUAAUUUUUUUAAUUAAAUUAUCACACAUGUACAAGGUGCUUGUAUUAAAUGUAUAAGGCAUUUGUACUAAUUGUACAAGGUUUGUACAAACAUAUUAUUGUAAAUAUAUUUAUGUGUUUUUAUGAAUAUUUGUAAAAAUGUAAAAAUGUGUUGUACAUUUAGUAUAACUAUGUUGUUUGUGUGAAAAAUCCAAAAAAAAAAAAAUUAACAUUUAUACAUGUGCAUAAAUAAAUUUUCUAAUAAUUUGGCAUGCAAAAAAGAAAAAGAAAAUGAAGAACAACAUGUAAUAAAUUCUUGAUAUACAAGUUUGCACAUGUCUUACACAAUUUAUAUGCAUGCAAAUAUAAAGAAAAUGAAUUUGACAUAUUUAUGUCGAACAUUGUUUUCUUGCGGUUUAAUAUGAUGUAUAAAAAACAAAAUCAAGAAAAUAUUUUAAGAAAUUGAAAAUAAUAUAUCUUGUAUCUUUCUUGUUCAGUUAAUGUGCAUUUACCUUAGAUAUCAUCUCUAAAAGUGAAGCAAAGGAAUUGAUAUAAUAAUCACUAAAAUCUCAAAUAAAUAAUAUAAGUAAUUAACUAAAAUUUGAUUGUUAUUAUUUAUCAUUUGAAAUAUCCUAGUAAGCCAUAUUAUCACUCAUAAUUUAAAUUAAAGAUAUAUGUGGACCCUCACCCGAUCCACCGGACCGACGCGACUCGCUUUUAAAAGAAAAGAAAGAAAUGAAAAAGUUGGUGUCUUCCAAUUUUGAAAAACCCGCCCCCGGUGAGGAACGGUGUUGUUUGGAGUCUCCACUUACUUUUUAUUUUUGUUUUUUAAAAUGGGGAAAAUUAAGUAAGAACAAAAACCCCUAAUGACCCCAGUAUGGAAAAAACGGUCUAUGAAAACUAGAUUCUAGGUCUGAGGAUCAGGUUACCCGUUGGGAAGGUACCUCAUGCGAGGUAGCACCUCUCUAGGCCCGAAACUCGGUCUCUACUAAUGAAUUGGGUAUGUGGGAGCAUAUGGGUCAAAGGUCAAAUGAAAUCCUAGGCUAAAUAGAUGUCAUGAAUCACACAAUCCUAAUUGGUAUUUGGCAUGCAUAUGAAUUCAACCAAACAAAACAAUGGGUGCGUACCUGUGGUCCUUAGCCAAGCGCUGCACAAAAGGUCAGCCAAACACAUAUAAACACAUAACAAACAUUCAAGAUUAAGCACCAUGCAUGCAUAUGAAUUCAACAACCAAAGCCAACGAUGAGUACCUGUGGUCCCUAGCCAAGCGCUGCAGGAGAGGGUGAGUCAGUCACGCAACAUGUAUUCAAAAUCAAGCAUCAAAGCUUGUGCCAAAAAGGAAGAUAGCUGGUUGAAAUGAGGUAAGAGACUUCCCAAAUGUCAUACAAAUCGAACUAGACUCAUCUAGACCACACCACCCAUAACUUCAAAAUUGCUCAUACUAACUGAAAUCAAACACUGACUUAAACCUUCAAGAUGGCUCACAAGUGCCCUAUAACAAAUGGGUUUGAGCCCCCCAUGGAUAAGGGCUCGAAAAAUGCUAAAAUCGAGGGCUACCUAAAGUCCUCCAGUAGAACAGGUUGAACUAGUUCUCAACUGGUACAACCUAUUGAGAAGAAUUCCCAAAUUUUUCUAGAAAACUCCUAAAUGAGUGAGGAUUCAAACCAAAGAAAUGACACUCAAUCCCGAGCCCGGAUGAGUGAGAACCAGACAAAGAAAGGCAGGUGUUCCUCAUGGCUGACAGAGGCUGCCAGCUAUGGUGCUGAACCGGUUCCCAACCAGUACAUCCGGUUGAUAAAAAAUCCCAAAUUUGGUAAGAAAGUUCCUAAGUGAUUAAGGAAGCAAACAAAAGAAACGGUUCUCAAUUCCGAGCCCGGAUGAGUGAGAACCAGACAAAGAAAGGCAAGUGUUCCUCAUGGCUGACAGAGGUUGCCAGCUAUGGUGCUGAACCGGUUGAACCGGUUCCAAACUGGUUCAGCUGGUUGGUAAAAAAUCCAAAAUUCAGUCAAAAAGUUUCUAAGUGAUUAAGGAAGAAAACAAAAGAAACGGUUCUCAAUUCCGAGCCCGGAUGAGUGAGAACCAGACAAAGAAAGGCAAGUGUUCCUCAUGGCUGACAGAGGCUGCCAGCUAUGGUGCUGAACCGGUUGGUAAAAAAUCCCAAAUUCGGUCAUAAAAUUCCUAAGUGAUUAAGAAAGCAAAAAAAAGAAACGGUUCUCAAUUCCGAUCCCGGGUGAGUGAGAACUAGACAAAGAAAGGCAAGUGUUCCUCAUGGCUGACAGAGGCUGCCAGCUAUGGUGCUGAACCGGUUGAACCGGUUCCAAGCCGAUUCAACCGGUUGGUAAAAAAUCCCAAAUUCGGUCAGAAAGUUCGUAAGUGAUUAAGGAAGCAAAAAAAAAGAAACGGUUCUCAAUUCCGAGCCCGGAUGAGUGAGAACCAGACAAAGAAAGGCAAGUGUUCCUCAUGGCUGACAGAGGCUGCCAGCUAUGGUGCUGAACCAGUUGAACUGGUUCCAAGCCGGUUCAGCCUGUUGGUAAAAAAUCCCAAAUUUUGUCAGAAAGUUUCUAUGUGAUUAAGGAAGCAAACAAAAGAAACGGUUCUCAAUUCCUAGCCCGGAUGAGUGAGAACCAGACAAAGAAAGGCAAGUGUUCCUCAUGGCUGACAGAGGCUGCCAGCUAUGGUGCUGAACCGGUUGAACCGGUUCCAAACCAGUUCAACCGGUUGGUAAAAAAUCCCAAAUUCGGUCCAAAAAUUCCUAAGUGAUUAAGGAAGCAAAAAAAAACAAACGGUUCUCAAUUCCGAGCCCGGAUGAGUGAGAACCAGACAAAGAAAGGCAAGUGUUCCUUAUGGCUGAUAGAGGCUGCCAGCUAUGGUGCUGAACCGGUUGAACCGGUUCCAAGCCGGUUCAGUCGGUUGGUAAAAAAUCCCAAAUUUGGUCAGAAAGUUCCUAAGUGAUUAAGGAAGAAAACAACAACAAUCAUGUGUGGCCUUUAUUAUCCACACCCAAGCAAUACAAUCUUCAUAUCAAAGGGAAGAAAAGAUGAUGAGGAAGGAGAAAAAGCAUAUGAAGACAAGGAAGAUAAAGUGUAAGUAAAGAAAAUUCAGCAUGCUUACCUCAGAAUCUCCACCAAAUAUGAUCUGUGUAUGCAGAUGAUGACUUCUAAAACUGAGAUGAUGUCACUCUCCUCUUCAAAAAACCACAGUGCUGAAGCUUUCCCCCACGCUCUCAACUUAGAAGAUGCUACUGACCUUUUGUUUUUCUCACCAGCAAAAUUUCCCCUCUCCAAAAUGUCUCCUCCUCCUUUGCUCUCCUAUCCUCUCACCUUUUAUACUCAUACCCCUCUUAGCAUUUGAGCCUCCUGGAUUCCUUCCCCUUCAGCACCAAAAUCCCCUUCAUCAGCAUGGGAACCACACCCCUCAUUACUUCUCUUAAACUUACAAGGCCAGCUCACUCCUUCAGUUUUCAGCUUGCUUCACCACCAAGAAUCCAUAUGGAUUCGUGGUGGGCUGCAAGGAACCCAAACCAAGGCCCAAAAUGGACCCACAACAUUGCCCAAAACUGAUCUGGAGCUUACGGGCCUGAGCCAUGUAGGAUUUGGGCCUCAAAAUUACUAGAAUUAGUGUUUUACCUCAGCUAACUCAAGGAACCGGCUGAACCGGCUGAACUGGAUACCAACUGGUCGAACUGAUGGAAAAAAAUUCUGAAAAUUUUAAAGAAUGUUCCUAGUAGAGCAAGGAAUCCAUUAAAAAAAACGGUGCAUGAUUCCAAGUUCGGAAGAGGGAGAUAUGAUCAAAACAAUUACCAAAAAUCAGUGUUCUACACCGGCUAACUCGAUGAACCGGCUGAACUGGCUGCCAACCAGUCGACCGGAUGCAAAAAAUUUUGAAAAUUUUACAGAAUGUUCCUGGAAGAAUAAGGAAUCCAUAAAAAGAAACGGUUCUUGAUUCUGAGUUUGGAUAAGGGAUAUACGAUCAAAACAAGCCUGAGUGCUCCGAACCUCAACAUGCCCCUAUAAACUCCAACUAAGCUAAGACAUCGGGAUGACCCCACUUCCUUCCUAUAGCAUGAUAUGAAUGACUAGGAAAAUGGCCAUGGUGACCCUCCAAAAUGAACCACAUAUGCACCACAAUGGACCACAAACAAACCCACAUGAGGCUCGGACACCGACUAAGCCCAAAAGGGGCCCUAGUGGUGCCAUAUGCGAACGAUGGGUAGAUGUGACACCCGAAGGAUAAAUGCCAGUGUCGAGGGACAAAAUUGAGGGUCUACAAAUAUGACCCUCUUCAGUAGAGUGAAUGAACGAGUGAAUUGUGAGUGCGAAGUGCAUGUAAUGCAAGAGUGAAAUGAACUCUAGUGAAGAACCCAAAUGACCAACAAUUUUGUCCCCACCCAACAAUAAAGAAGGCUAAGGGAAAUAAGUCAUGCUGACCGAAUGGACUAUGGGAUCUAGGCACGAUGCCGGAGAAAGAUAAAAGGAGACCCGAUCAUGAUGCCAGGAAAGAUUAGGGAUUUGAUCCGGGCAAUUACUGGAGAAGGGUUCGGGCAAGUACUGAAAAAUGGUGGAAUCCGGGUGAGUACCGGAAAAGGGUUAGGGCAAGUACCGACAAAUGGUGGAAUCCGGGCGAGUACCGAAAACGGGUAAAAUUCGGGCGAGUACCGGAGAAGGGUCCGGGCGAGUACCGGAGAAGGGUCCGGGCGAGUACCGGAGAAGGUUCCGGGCAAGUACCGGAGAAGGGUUCGGGCAAGUACCGAAAAAGCUCCGGGCGAGUACCGGAGAAGGGUAAAAUUCGGGCGAGUACCGAAAACGGGUAAAAUUCGGGCAAGUACCGAAAACGGGUAAAAUUCGGGCAAGUACCGAAAACAGGUAAAAUUCGGGCAAGUACCGGAGAAAGGUUCGGGCAAGUACCGAAAAAGCUCCGGGCGAGUACCAGAGAAGGUUCCAGGCGAGUACCGGAGAAGGUUCCGAGCAAGUACCGGAGAAGGGUCCGGGGCGAGUACCGGAAAAGCUCCGGGCAAGUACCGGAGAAGGGUCCGGGUGAGUACCGGAAAAUGGUGGAAUCCAGGCGAUCGAACUCGAGCAUGAUGCCGAGGAACCACCGAACUAAAAGGGGGUAGGGAUGCCAUUACUAAGGCUCAAAACACCUAAACAGACAGAGGAUGCCUUAAAACAAAACUCAGAGUAAAAUAGGGGGACUCAAGAUGCAACUGUUGAUAUACUAACCAUGAUAACAAAGGGGUAUGCCCCAGUAUGACGUCCAGGGACUGCCAACAAAUGACUCGAAGAAGCCAGAAUCAAACACCUUCAUCAUGACAAAAGAAAGGGGUAUGCCUCGGUGUAACACCAGAAAAUGCCGAUAAAUGACAAGCGAGAAAUCACAAUCACCACUAACAAAUGGAAAGAAGGGGGUAUGCCCCUAUAGGACAAACUCACAAAUGUGACCAAGGGUGAAAGGAAGGAGUUAUGCCCCAGUCUAAGAUAUCAAUAUCAUGUCAGAAUCCCAUAACCGCACAUAUGGUUAAAGCCAGAGAGCUGAAAAUAUCACAAUCAUCCAUUUCUAAGGAAAAAAAACCCUUCACUCUAAUCCACAACAUCCAAUAUCCACAAAAACUGAUAGGGGAUAUGCCCCAGUGUGUACAUCUGAAACUCAAAUAUCUUAAUGAAAACUCUGGAAUACAUUGCUGAAGACCCAUGCAUUUGAACUAACGAACAAGACAAUGGAUGGGGUAUGCACCCCUACUGGGUCAAUGAAUACCGUGAAUCUGAUCUCGGGUCAGACCCCAGAAGCACUCUGCUAUAUGAAAAAACUGAGCUGAAUGCGGGUCUUACUCAAACUUUGAUGUCCAUAACAUUGUUAGGCGAAACAGAAUGCCUGCGUACAUGUAUAAAGAGCCAAAGCCAGCAUGCAAGGAUGGGAGCAUGCCCUAGUAUAAAUGUGUCAAAACAUUAGGCAAAGGUGCCCUCAACGAUCCCAACUCUCUGUAUCAUCUAUCUCUGAUCAUGGACCUGAGGCAAGUAAACUGAAUGGAAAGACAAUAUGUGACCCUCGAUAUCCCCCGAAGUAAUGGAGACCUGUCAACAUCCCAUACUCAAUCAGUAGACGAAGCCUGUCCGAAUGAACCGCAUCGAAGCAAACACGAGAUCUCAUGGCCUCAGGGUGGUCUUACGACUCGGACCGUAAUGUAGGCCAGGGGUAAAAGGUGAAUGAAACGAUGGGAAACAAAUGCCCAAAUCUCCUAAUAGAUAAUGCCAAACCCUUGUGUGCGCAAUGUCAAAUAUCGCAGGACCAUGUGAGCAAGGUGACUCAACCCUGCAUCCAAAUAAAAAACAAACAAUAGGUGAUACACACCAAAGAACUCAUUGUUCAUGAAGUGAAACGACGAUCGACGAGGAUAGAAGCAGACGAAAAGGGACAAGAUGAAUGAUGAAUGGGUGUAGAAGAAAAUGGAGAAACCAACUGGGAUACAAAUAUAACAAUAUGUGACAACGACGAAUAACUCAUCCUAAGAACGCCAAAUCAAAGCAAGUCACUAUAUGAUGGGAAUGGUGAUGUAGACAAUGAUCCAAGGGCCUAGUGCCAAGGAAACCCAAACCUCACUCCCAAUGUGUCACCCAAAUCCAUGGUGAGAAGGAUCGUACAAUGCUCUCAUCCGACUCUUAAAAGAAAAAGAAAUCUCUCAAACCCAAAACCACCUCUGAUGAUCCCAAGUAUAUCAACGAAUACCAAACAAGCACAAUUUUUCCUUUUUUUCAUUUUUAUUUUAUUUUAUUUUUUCCUUUUUCCUUUUUUUUUUUUUUGGGGCCGAAUUCCAUACUAUCACAAUCCAACAAAAAGAACCCCAAACCUCCAAUCUUGACCGACCCCUUCAACCUAAGAAUCUUGGAUCAAAGCCUACAGGCGGAACGAAGGGUGUGACAAACCUGACUGGUAGCUCUGGGACGAGAGCGCAUCAUCAUCACACAAGGGAAAACAGAAGCGAAGUGAAUAGAGAUGAUAGAAACUGGACUAACAGGUAGACGGUGUGAAGAUGCAAAAUGGAGACGAAAAGAAACAGGCAAUGAUGCAAGAAAGAACAAACAAAGAAUGACACCAUGCCCACAAUGCUCAUAGAUCCAAUCAAUAAAUACAAAGCACACAAGGGUAGGCCCCCAAACCAGGUCAAAAAAGGUAUGCAAGGCUGAAUGAAAGAAAAUGUCAUAAUAAACCACGUGAGGCUCAAAGGGCUAGCAAUAGUAUAUAUCAAUGUAUGGGUGUGCAAUAGGGAAUAUGACUACUCAAAGUGACGACCACCCAUCCUCUGACCAUGAUCUCACGCAUAAAACUUCUUCAGCUGAUCCACAUUAACUGGCUCUAUGAACUGAUUUCCGUUUAGGUCUGUCAACCAACCAGCUCCCUCUCGAGUCAGAUCUCGGAUGACAUAAGGCCCGCUCCAACUCGGUCUAAACUUACCUCUAGGGUCGUUAAUCAAUCCCCUGAGGACUUUCAAGACUAGGUCACCUCUCUGGAAUUUCCUAGGCUUGACCCUCUUUCUGAAUGCACGGGUCAUCUUCAUCUGAUAGGCCUAAACAUGAUCUGCCGCCCUCAAUCUCUUCUCAUCCAACAGGCUAAGCUGAUCAUAACGAGACUGGGCCCACUCGGCCUCGGAUAUAUGCUGCUCUAGUGCUACUCUCAAAGAUCUCAUCUUAAUCUCAACAGGUAGCACUGCCUCCAUACCAUACACCAAAGAAUACGGGGUAGCUCCAAUAGAGGUACGAAAAGAUGUACGAUAAGCCCACAAUGCGAAAGGGAGCUUCUCUGACCAAUCCCGAGAGGUCUCGACCAUCUUUCUCAAAAUCCUCUUGAUAUUCUUAUUUGCGUCCUCAACUGCUCCAUUAGUCUGCGGCCUGUAUGCAGACGGUCUGUGAUGCUGAAUGCCAUACUCUUGAAUCAACGUGUCCACCUCGCCCUUGAAAUGCACCCUCUGUCUGAGAUCAGCUCAUGNNNNNNNNNNNNNNNNNNNNNNNNNNNNNNNNNNNNNNNNNNNNNNNNNNNNNNNNNNNNNNNNNNNNNNNNNNNNNNNNNNNNNNNNNNNNNNNNNNNNUCUCCAUGGUCAACCAAAAGUAGCCAGUCCUCAUGAUCUUACGUGCUAGCAUAUGACUUCCCAUGUGUGGGCCACAAACCCCUGCAUGAACCUCUCUUAUCACUCGAUCUGCAGAUGCACGGUCUAAACAUAAUAAUAACAAGCCAUCAGGUGAUCUCCUAUACAGCGCAUCCCCGCAAACAACAAAUCUGGUGGCCAACUGUCUCAAUGCUCUCCUAUCCUUAGCCGAGGCUAACUCUGGGUAAGCGCCGCAUGAUUGAAACUGAUAAAUAUCAUGAUACCAUGGCAACUCAAUCUGAUCCUCUAUCUCUCCAAUUAGACAACAGUAAGUUGGUGCAGACCUAGUCUCAAUUAACAAUGGCUUAACAUUCACCCCCGCAGGAAUCACAAUCAGAGAAGCCAAGGUGGCUAAUGCAUAUGCAAACUGAUUCUCCGUCCUGGGCAAAUGUAUAUACCUUAACACAUCGAAUCUAUCAAUCAACAAGUCCAAGUAAGCAUGGUAGGGUUUCAGCUUCUCAUCCCGUGUCCUCCAGAUACCUUGAGUCUGCUUUAUAACCAAGUUGGAAUCCCCGUGGAUCUCCAAUUGUCUAAUGCCAAGAUCAAGUGCAGUCUCCAAACCUGUAAUGCAAGCCUCAUACUCUACAAUAUUAUUCGUCAACCGGUGAUGAUCAGAAAAUGCUAAUCGAACUGAUCUGGGGAUAUGAUCACCCUGUGAUGAUAUCAAUAAGAUACCAAUGCCAAACCCGACUGAUUGGCGGCACCAUCAAAGUACAACCGCCACCCCGUAAUACUAGUCAUUGAAACAAUCUGCUCAUCAGGGAAAUCAUCAUCAACUGAUCGGUCAUCGGAUAUCGGCAAAGAAGCUAGAUGAUCUGCAACAAUGCUUCCCUUUACUGACUUCUGCGUGACAUAAUGAAUAUCAAACUCUGUCAACAAUACCAGCUAUCUCAUGAGCCUACCGGUCAGAACAGGCCUGUCAAAUAGAUACCUCAACGAGUCCAAUCGUGAGACCAAGAGCACAAAAUACUCUGUCAUGUAAUGUCUAAGUCUCCUAGUGGCCCAAACCACUGCUAAGCAAAGGCGCUCAAUCAUAAUGUACUUGCACUCAUACUCAAGCAUCCUUUUACUCAAAUAAUAGAUGGCUCGCUCCUUCCUCAAAUCAUCAAGCUGAGCUAACAUGUAUCCUAAGGCCAUGUCUGAAACUGAUAAGUACAGAAGCAAAGGACACCCCGGUGUGGGAGGCACUAAAACUGGAGGAGAAAGGAGACACUCCUUAAUCCUCUCAAAAGCGCGCUGACAAUCAUCAUUCCAAACUGUAGGCUGAUUCUUCCUCAGAAGGCAGAAGAUAGGCUCACAAAUGUCUGUCAGUCUAGCAAUGAAACGACUGAUGUAUUGCAAUCUACCUAGGAAUCCCCUUAUCUCUUUCUCAGUCCUCGGGGUAGGCAUGUCAAGUAUGGCUCUGAUUUUCUCUGGAUCAACCUCUAUACCUCGCUCACUAACAAUGUGUCCCAGCAAUUUUCCAGAAGUCACCCCAAAGGUGCACUUCUUGGGAUUCAAUCUUAGCCUGAACUGUCUGAUCCUCUCAAAAAACCUUUGUAAGGCUGCUAAGUGAUCUGCCCUGUCUCGGGACUUUACUAUCAUGUCAUCCACAUAGACCUCGACAUCUCUAUGCAUCAUAUCAUGGAACAGAGUAGUAGCAGCUCUCUGAUAAGUGGCUCCCGCAUUCUUCAACCCAAAUGGCAUAACUCGGUAGCAGUAAGUACCCCACUCAGUAAUGAAAGAAGUCUUCACCAUAUCCUCUGGAGCCAUCAAAAUCUGAUUAUACCUAGAAAAACCAUCCAUGAAGGAUAACAUCGGAUGCCCUGUAGUGCUAUCAACCAGCAUAUCAAUGUGUGGAAGGGGAAAAUCAUCCUUAGGGCUGGCCUUAUUCAGAUCUCGAAAGUCAACACAAACUCUAACCUUGCCGUCCUUUUUGGGAACAGGGACGACAUUAGCCAGCCACUCAGGAUACUUAACCACUGACAAGAAGCCAACACUAAGUUGCUUCUGAAUUUCUUCCUUAACUUGCAAACUCCAUCGAGGGUGUAGUCUCCUCAAUUUCUGCUUAACGGGCCUAGCAUGUGGUAAAAUGGGCAGGUGAUGCUGCACUAUGGUGGGGUCAAGGUCCGGCAUGUCCUCAUAUGACCAUGCAAAUACAUCCAAGUAUGAUCUAAGCAGGUUAAUCAAUCUACUCCUCUCAUCAGGAGAUAGAGAAGAGCCAAUCCUAAUCUCCCUGAGCUGAUCUGGUGCCCCAAAAUCUAUCAACUCUGUGCUACUAGAAAUGGGUGUGACUUUCCUAUCCUCUGUAUCAGAAUCACACUCUGACUGACCACCCAGUGGGUCAUCUGUAUCUCCCACAUCAUCAACAUCAUAUAUAUGUGUCGUGGGUGCUGGUGGUGCAAUCAAAGGAAAAUGUUGUGACACAUUCAAGUACUCGAAAAUACUCAUAUCAUUAUUACCAUCAGAAAUAUCAUCAAAGCGGGUGACAAACCUGGACAUAGUGUCAAAAGAAAGAGGUGGGUCCACAGAGUCGGACGCUCCCUCAACAGAAGCAAAAUCAGAAGUAACGACAUCAAGGAUUGACUCAUCAUCAAGUACGGAAACUCCAGAUAUGUCAAAAGUAGAAAGGGACCCGCGUGGGGCUGCAUCAAGGAUAUGACCAAUGCCUAUAAAAUCCAUAUCAUCAAUGUAGGCAUCAGGAAUAGAGUCAUCCUCAUCAGUCUUGAGUACAAAAACUCUGAACAUGUCGAAAACAGUAUGGGGCCCAUGUGGCGCUGCAUCGAAGAUACGGCCUAUGCCGAUCAUGUCCAUCUCGUCAGUGCCAUAUCCCAAAUCCAUAGGUAGGUCAUAGUCAGGGACCUCCUCGGGGAAACACAUAGAGAACAUACUAGCUCGGUCCGGUGAUGGGGGUGUGACUAUCAUGGCACCAGGUGCCUCAGUAGUCCUGGUGUCCAAAUGAAUCUGACCCAGGGCCUGCUGGAUGUCCUAAAUCUCAACUGUCUUUGGAAUAUGAACAGUCCCCUCUGUGCGAGGUGUAUGCUCUGAACCCCUAAUGAAGUAGUCGGCCAACUGGAAAGUGUAUGGGCGGAGGGGAUAAUCAAAUGGAAUGCCAGACAUGCGAGCCCUCACCCUAUCCCUGCGCAGCUGUGACAUAUAACGUGCAUCAGCCUCUAUGGGGAUGUAACCUAAUCCGUAGGGCGUGUCGUGAUCAACAGUGAAAGUAAACUCGUGGGGCCCCUGCUGGCAGCGACCCAAUCCCAUACCAGGCAAAUAAGACAUGCCUCUCAUCAUGUUGAGCACCAAAGUGCUGCUGUGCUGGUCAAAUGACAUAAGUACCAUAUCUCUGCUGCCAUCCUCUAAGCUGACAACCAGAACCUCAUCGAACGUAAACCCGGUCAAAUGUAAGUCAUUCUCACUAUGGCUGAUAUGUAAUACUGGCUCAGACGAAGUGAUAAUAUCUCUAUCAGACUAUAUCGUGAUAAUGCGCCCCUCGUGUAUGAACUUCACCUUCUGAUGAAGGGAAGAUGGUAUAGCACCGGCCUCAUGAAUCCACGGGCGGCCAAGAAGCAGGUUAAAGGAUGACUGAAUCCUCAAAACCUGAAAUACUAUGGAGUAACUAACUGGCCUAAUCAUGACAUGUGUACUGAGUGUACCCAUAAUUGUCCUCGGAGUCCCAUCAUAAGCUCUAACAGUCUGUGUAGAAGGCCCAAAAUCAUCUGGUGAAAACCCAAGCGCAAUGGCAGUAACCAAUGGACAGACGUUCAGGGCAGAGCCAUUGUCCAAUAGAACAGACGACACCCAACGGCCUAAACAAGCAACAUCAAUGAAUAAGGGUCGAACAUGAUUUGAUCCCUCUGGUGGCAAGUCAUCAUCAGAAAACAUUAUACAUGUAGCUCUAUUAGCUGUCAACAUGUGAAUAAGCCCCUCUGGGGUAGUAGCAGUGUCAACCCUAAUCUAGCCAAGGGCUCUGACUAAUGCAUCUCUGUGUGUACUAGAUGAGGCCAAAAGGCUCCAAAUGGAUAUGCGAGCCUGAGUAGUGCGUAACUGGCGUAAUAUCUCAUCAUCUUCUCUCUGAACCUCCUCUCUAGCAGCUAUACCAGCAAAUGGCCUGUCAACGGGUGGAGGUUGUGCUACCCUUCCACUCCAUGUAACUAUCUGAACAUCUCUAUGAGGGGGCCUAUAUUCCUCUGGGAACAGAAUGAAGGGUGUCAUAGGUGGCACAUGCUGUAAGUAUACUAGUGAUACUGGAGGCGGCCCAUAAAUCUUGUCCGAGGUCAAAUUGAAUGGCCUGGGGAUCUGCUGUCUAGGUAUAUAUCCAACAAAAUCUGACUCCUCAUAUAGACUGAUCGGCUGAGGAGCCUCUCCAUCCCAACCCAUCAUAAAUAUCUCAUCCCCUGCAAACUCAAUCAAAUGUACCCCUUCCGGGGGUGGAGGUACCGCUCUAGUGUCAUGAGUAGGUAGCGGGUCUGUGGCUACACCCGGGCGCCCCAAAUCAACCAAGCCCUGAUCAAUCAAAUCCUGAAUGGCAUGUCUCAGUGCUGAACAACUGUCUGUAUCAUAGCCUGCUCUCUGAUGGUAGGCACAGUGAAGAUCUGUCCUGAAUCCUGGGGGGGUAGGCUGUAGUGGUGGUCUAGGCGGUAGUGGGGCAAUCAGUCCCCUCUCAACCAAUCUCUAAAAAGCUCGGCUCAGUGGCAUCCCAAGCUGUGUGAAUUUUCUAACUGGCCUUGGUGGAGGCGGUGCUCUAUACUGAUGAUGGAACUGCAUAGGCGGCCUCUGGGGUGCCUGUGUAGCAUAUACCGGCUGUGGUGGCGGAUGUAGAUAAGUAGGCCCUACUGGCCUAAUGGGAGCAACUGGUCUGUAUUGACCAUGCUGUAUCAUCUGAUAAGGAGUGCCUAAAAACUGACUUUGAAACAAAGGACGACGUGAAGACCGGUGUCCUGUCAUGCCAAUAGUACCAACAUCUGAGGACCUUGAUUACUACUCAAAAAGUGCUAUUUGAUAGCCUAUAAUUAAUCCUUUUAAACACUUUUGAGUAGUAGUUUUGGCCUUUUAACUCAAUUGGCAUGUUAAGGACCCUUGAAAGCAAUUUUGAUCACUUUGUGUAAGUUUUGGUGUUUUUGUUAGUAUUUUGAUCACCAAAGCAAGUCAAGACUGAGGAGAGCUAUGAGGAAUCUUGGGCAAAGCUUAGAAGUCAUUUUCCAAGAGUAAAUCCGGAUUGCAAGGAGAAAAAGUAAAGAGAAUCUGCCAUAAAGCAUAUUCUUGAUGACAGUCGUAGCAGCCACUUUUGGAGCACUUUGUGAAGUCCAAAUGAUGCAUGCUAUAUACCAUUUCAAAUCUCAGGAAGUCAAAAAUCCAAUGCUUCAAACGGUGUGCAAUUCGGAGUUGAAACGAAGAAGUUGCAGCCAUUACAAGCCAAUCACUCCGAGCUGAAGGAAGCAUUUUGCAAAGUGUUGCGAAAUCACCCUUUUGUUGCGAAGUGAUUUCGCAGCCUUUUUGAACAGUGUAAUGUUUCUCCUUCUGACGAUGCCCGAUUUAUGCCGCGAGAAGGAAGCUUGGAACCUCAAGGUGGAAGCCAACUUCGCAGCCCUGCGAGUUUAGCUUGGUGUUGCGAAAUUAUUUCGCAGCCCUCUUGAGUGUCUGCGAAAUCUCGCAGACACCAUUUUCUCUUGCGAAAUGGUUCCUGAAGCCUCCCGAUAUUUGCUACCGACAUUGGGAGAUAUUUUCCAUUAGAUUUUUGUUGUCUAAAUCCCAAAAUACUCCUUGUAAACCACCAAUUACAAGAUUCCUUAGCUUUUAAGUUAGUAAAAAGACUAAAUAUCUAUGUAAUAAUUAGUUUUAUAUUAUGUUCAUAUAUAUACCUCUCGGGAGCCUGUUCUCGAAGAGGAGAUCCUUUUGUAAAAGUUUUGGUAAGCAAGUAAAGUUUAUUUUCUUUCUACUGCCUUACCUUCUCACUUUGUAUUUUUAUUUUAUUUCUAAGUUAUGAAUUCUCUGAGGAGUUUUCCCCAGAGAAUGAGUAACUAAACCUCUAAUUCCUUGGAGCUAAGGUUGCCGGGGAAGGUUCCAAGUGCAAGAAUGCAAAGCUUUGUGGUUUUAGCUAUUAAUGAAGAGGAAGUGAAAUCCUUUAGUGAUUUCUAUGUUUUUAGUUAACUUAAAACACCUUAGAGUCACCUGGGCCAACACUUGGUAAGGCAAGUGAUUUCCAACCAUGGAAAUGCACUAGUUUACCCCUUGCGAGCCUCUGGGAGGUGACUUCAAGGUAGGAUUUUCUAGAAUAGCCAACACUUGGUAAGCUUUUGGACUCCAAGGAGACAUCCAUUAGUUAUCUCUUACGAGCUUUUGACGGGUAAUCCAAGGUUAAAGAUCACCUUGAAUGGUUAAGGCUUAGUGAGAGACUUAAACCAUUGCAAGUUGCAUCAGUGAGAGAAUUAAAGUGAAAUCUAAUUGAAGGAGUCUCUGUACAACACCGGUUAGAGAAUUGACUAUAUGUUGAAUCUCUAACACGAGGAAAUGAACCAUCUGACCGGAGCUAUGUCUUUUGCAUGAAGAACCACCCCAGUGAACCUAACUCUCCAGGGAAUGCUUUUCUUCCUAAAUUAUUCCAAACUUCUGUUAUGUUAGUUAGUUUAAGUCUAAACCUUUACCAAUCAAAGUUUGUGUUUUACUUCUUAAGCUAACCAUGAAAUGAAACAAAACCAAUUCACUUGGAAUUGGUAUCAUUGAGAGCUUGUUAAUCUUUCCCAGUGGACGAUCCUAGAGCCACUAUACUAUAGUAGCUUUUUCUUUGCUACCCUAGUAUAUGGUGUUAUAGGUUAUAAAUUUUGUUGAUUACUCCCUCAAUCAAGGAGCACCAGCUGGACACAAAUCAGCUGAGACACCAAUUGGGCACGAAUCAGGCCUGGGGCUUGAUCCCUACUUCUUCCCCUUUGAGUCUGAAGGGGAAGAAUCUGCCCAUAAACCUCUAGAUAUACCAUCCUCAAUGCAUAGAGGGCUUGCACUAAUGAGCCAAAGUCUGUCUGAGGGAAGCCCAUGAGAUGCCUAGCAAAGCGGGGUUGAAGGCUGCGCAUAAUCAUACUGAUCUGAUCGUGCUCUGAAGGUCUAUCAAUAAUAUGUGCUAUCUUCUCCCUCCAACAGAAGAUGAAUGAAGUGACUGUCUCAUCCGGCCCCUGCCUAAGGGCCUCUAACUCCCUCCGGGAUAUAUCCACUAUAGUAUUGAAAGAAUACUGUCUAAUAAACUCCUGUCCCAAAUCAGCCCAUGUCCUACGUCUCGAAGGGUCCAAUGAGGCAAACCAACGUUGAGCAGCACCACUCAAUGACAGAGGGAAUAACAUAAUCAUUUAUGCCUCAUCCAGUCUAUGCCCGCGCAUAACAGUGUUGUAUAACUACAAGUGAAUACGGGGGCACCCUAUCCCCAUGUAUCUCUCAAUGUCCGGCAUGCGGAACUCAACAGGCAAAGCUGCUACUGGCAUAUCAUCAUAUCCAUCCCAACCCAUAAUCCCAUCAGAAACAUGUAGUGAUCUCAUUCUCUGCUCAAUCCUAUCAAUACGAGCCUGGGUAUCAUCAACAAUCUGUGUCGGUGCCACAACAAAAUGCGGCGUAGUCUCAGUCUGACCAUGCAACACAAAUGCUCUAGCCUGGGGAGCUGACUGAACCAGUGGUGGUGGUGGUGGUGGUAGUGGAACUAUGUAGUCCUACUGUAUAGUAGGUUCAGAUGGCCCAGAUGGUGGUGGUGGUGGUGGUGUGGUAGAGUCAUGCAGGGUGCUCCCCGGAAUCGGCAAUGGUUGGGCCUGGUGCCCAUCAAUCCUCUGACCCAAUCCUAAGAUAGUGUCCCUAAGUGACGCCAUGGUAUCGGUAAUCUCAGCCAACUAGUCAACGGUAGCGUACUGAGGGUCUAUAUCUCUAUGAUCUGGUAUCUACUCUAACUGGCUGGGUGAAUCCGAUCCUCUAACCAGUCUAUCUCCAAUCCGGAUCCAAGCUCGGGAACCCAGGUCGAUCUCAAUCAAUAAUCCUAUAAAAGGAAAGGGGUACGUCAGUCCCCGUGACUAUCAAUCCUGAAAUCAAACUAGGAACGUAUAACUAAAAUCUUCCGAGAGAAUGAACUGACAUGUGAUGUCAAUAGCUAAACUGAUAUACAGUUCCACAGGCAGGAACGAGAUUCUGACAUGGUGAUACCUCAGGGGUAAUAUGGCUCAAAAGUAAAAAAAAAAAAAGAGAAAAGGCAAGUCCUAAAAGACUAGAUGACUGUACCCACAAGGAUACGCAACCUAAGGUCCUAACUAACAAUCAAUCAACAAUCAAAGUGACAUGCUGGCCACGCAUGUAUCCAUGAAAUCCAGCUCAGGGCUAUACAGGUCUUCAUUGCUCAGAUAUCCAUCUUUUCCAUAGUGCUCCCAAACAUCGAUAUAGCCUUUAUGCUAGACCCUAUUCCAAACCCCUAGCUUGGUCGAAGGCGAACAAUUGGGAAUGACUCCCAAGAAACACAAGCAAUCCAUGAGGAAUAGUUGACCAAGACUAGUGAUUCGGAAGUAAGGGGAUACACAUGUGCCCCACAAACACAAGCAGCAAGCAGUCAUGCAAGGGAAUGAGCAGUCAUACAGCAAAUAGUCAUGCACAAAGAGAUAGCCUACCACACAUCUACACACAAUCUAAUCAUCUAAGUCUAAUCCCAAAUGUCAUAGCUAGAUACCAAACAACAAUGAGCAAGCAUGCUAGAAUCCAACAGGUGAACACACAAGCAACAACACAUCAUAGGUGCAAUCCAAAUACCAGCCAACUACGUGAUCAUCAGUCAUCUAUGUAGCCUAAGAGUCUACUUAUCAAUGAACCAUGUGCUCCGAUAUACCCAACUCAAGUUCAAGCUUGAUCCUCUUAUGAAACCAGAGAUUCUGGGUUCGAUCCCCAGUGGAGUCGCCAAUUUGUGGACCCUCACCCGAUCCACCGGACCGAUGCGACUCGCUUUUAAAAGAAAAGAAAGAAAUGAAAAAGUUGGUGUCUUCCAAUUUUGAAAAACCUGCCCCCAGUGAGGAACGGUGUUGUUUGGAGUCACCACUUACUUUUUAUUUUUGUUUUUUAAAAUGGGGAAAAUUAAGUAAGAACAAAAACCCCUAAUGACCCUAGUAUGGAAAAAACGGUCUGCGAAAACUAGAUUCUGGGUCCGGGGAUCAGGUUACCUGUUGGGAAGGUACCUCAUGCGAGGUAGCACCCUUCUAGGCCCGAAACUCGGUCUCUACUAAUGAAUUGGGUAUGUGGGAGCAUAUGGGUCAAAGGUCAAAUGAAACCCUAGGCUAAAUAGAUGUCAUGAAUCACACAAUCCUAAUUGGUAUUUGGAAUGCAUAUGAAUUCAACCAAACAAAACAAUGGGUGCGUACCUGUGGUCCCUAGCCAAACGCUGCAUAAAAGGUCAGCCAAACACAUAUAAACACAUAACAAACAUUCAAGAUUAAGCACCAUGCAUGCAUAUGAAUUCAACAACCAAAGCCAACGAUGCGUACCUGUGGUCCCUAGCCAAGUGCUGCAGCAGAGGGUGAGUUAGUCACGCAACAUGUAUUCAAAAUCAAUCAUCAAAGCUUGUGCCAAAAAGGAAGAUAGUUGGUUGAAAUGAGGUAAGGGACUCACCAAAUGUCAUACAAAUCGAACUAGACUCAUCUAGACCACACCACCCAUAACUUCAAAAUUGCCCAUACUAACUGAAAUCAAACACUGACUUAAACCUUCAAGAUGGCUCACAAGUACCCUAUAGCAAAUGGGUUUGAGCCCCCCAUGGAUAAGGGCUCCAAAAAUGCUAAAAUCGAGGGCUACCUAAAGUCCUCCAGCAGAACAGGUUGAACUAGUUCUCAACUGGUACAACCUAUUGAGAAGAACUCCCAAAUUUUUCUAGAAAACUCCUAAAUGAGUGAGGAUUCAAACAAAAGAAACGACACUCAAUCCCGAGCCCAGAUGAGUGAGAACCAGACAAAGAAAGGCAGGUGUUCCUCAUGGCUGACAGAGGCUGCCAGCUAUGGUGCUGAACUGGUUGAACCGGUUCCAAACCGGUUCAGCCAGUUGGUAAAAAAUCCCAAAUUCGGUCAUAAAAUUCCUAAGUGAUUAAGAAAGCAAACAAAAGAAACGGUUCUCAAUUCCGAUCCUGGAUGAGUGAGCACCAGACAAAGAAAGGCAAGUGUUCCUCAUGGCUGAUAGAGGCUGCCAGCUAUGGUGCUGAACCGGUUCCAAGCCAGUUCAGUCGGUUGGUAAAAAAUUCCAAAUUCGAUCAGAAAAUUCCUAAGUGAUUAAGGAAGCAAAAAAAAAAAGAAACGGUUCUCAAUUUCGAGCCCGGAUGAGUGAGAACCAGACAAAGAAAGGCAAGUGUUCCUCAUGGCUGACAGAGGCUGCCAGCUAUGGUGCUGAACCGGUUGAACCGGUUCCAAGCUGGUUCAUCCGGUUGGUAAAAAAUCCCAAAUUUGGUCAGAAAGUUUCUAAGUGAUUAAGGAAGCAAACAAAAGAAACGGUUCUCAAUUCCAAGCCCGGAUGAGUGAGAACCAGACAAAGAAAGGCAAGUGUUCCUCAUGGCUGAUAGAGGCUGCCAGCUAUGGUGCUGAACCGGUUCCAAGCCAGUUCAGCCGGUUGGUAAAAAAUCCCAAAUUCAGUCAGAAAAUUCCUAAGUGAUUAAGGAAGCAAAAAAAAGAAACGGUUCUCAAUUCCGAGCCCGGAUGAGUGAGAACCAGACAAAGAAAGGCAAGUGUUCCUCAUGGCUGACAGAGGCUGCCAGCUAUGGUGCUGAACCGGUUCCAAACAGGUUCAGCCGGUUGGUAAAAAAUCCCAAAUUCGGUCAGAAAGUUCCUAAGUGAUUAAGGAAGCAAACAACAACAAUCAUGUGUGGCCUUUAUGAUCCACACCCAAGCAAUACAAUCUUCAUAUCAAAGGGAAGAAAAGAUGAUGAGGAAGGAGAAAAAGCAUAUGAAGACGAGGAAGAUAAACUGUAAGUAAAGAAAAUUCAGCAUGCUUACCUCAGAAUCUCCACCAAAUAUGAUCUGUGUAUACAGAUGAAGACUUCCAAAACUGAGAUGCUGUCACUCUCCUCUUCAAAAAACCACAGUGCUGAAGCUUUCCCCCACGCUCUCAACUUAGAAGAUGCUACUGACCUUUUGUUUUUCUCACCAGCAAAAUUUCCCCUCUCCAAAAUGUCCCCUCCUCCUUUGCUCUCCUAUCCUCUCACCUUUUAUACUCAUACCCCUCUUAGCAUUUGAGCCUCCUGGAUUCCUUCCCCUUCAGCACCAAAAUCCCCUUCAUCAACAUGGGAACCACACCCCUCAUUACUUCUCUUAAACUUACAAGGCCAGCUCACUCCUUCAGUUUUCAGCUUGCUUCACCACCAAGAAUCCAUAUGGAUUCGUGGUGGGCUGCAAGGAACCCAAACCAAGGCCCAAAAUGGACCCACAACAUUACCCAAAACUGAUCUAGAGCUUACGGGCCUGAGCCAUGUAGGAUUUGGGCCUCAAAAUUACUAGAAUUAGUGUUUUACCUCAGCUGACUCAAUGAACCGGCUGAACCGGCUGAACCGGAUGCCAACUGGUCGAACCAAUGGAAAAAAAUUCUGAAAAUUUGACAGAAUGUUCCUAGUAGAGUAAGGAAUCCACUUAAAAAAAAAGGUGCAUGAUUCCAAGUUCGGAAGAGGGAGAUAUGAUAAAAAAAAUUACCAAAAAUCAGUGUUCUACACCGGCUGACUCGAUGAACCGGCUGAACGUGCUGCCAACCAGCCGACCGGAUGCAAAAAAUUUUGAAAAUUUUACAGAAUGUUCCUGGAAGAAUAAGGAAUCCAUAAAAAGAAACGGUUCUUGAUUCCGAGUUUGGAUGAGGGAGAUACGUUCAAAACAAGCCCGAGUGCUCCGAACCUCAACAUGCCCUUAUAAACUCCAACUAAGCUAAGACAUCGGGAUGACCCCACUUCCUUCCUAUAGCGUGAUGUGAACGACUAGGAAAAUGGCCAUGGUGACCCUCCAAAAUGAACCACAUAUGCACCACAAUGGACCACAGACAAACCCACACGAGGCUCGGACACCGACUAAGCCCAAAAGGGGCCCUAGUGGUGCCAUAUGCGAACGAUGGGUGGAUGUGACACCCGAAGGAUAAAUGCCAGUGUCGAGGGACAAAAUUGAGGGUCUACAAUAUAUUUCUUAAUUUGAACAAUUAAGUAAUAUUAAGUCUUAUCAAGAUUAAAUAAAAAUAAAAAUAAUAAUAAUAAUAAUAAUUCUCUAAAAGUGAAGCAAAGGAAUUGAUAUAAUAAUCACUAAAAUCUCAAAUAAAUAAUAUAAGUAAUUAACUAAAAUCUGAUUGUUAUUAUUUAUAAUUUGAAAUAUCCUAGUAAGCCAUAUUAUCACUCAUAAUUUAAAUAAAUAAAUAAAAACUAACAUAAUAGUUGUGGCUUGGGCCUACCCAAAAACCAUCCGCUAAGUCGGGUCGGUUUGGGCCAGGAUUAAAAGCCCAACUAGCCUAAUAAUAAUAAUAAUAAUAAUUAAAUUAAUGAAAAAUAAACUAACAUAAUAGUUGUGGCCUGGGCCUACCCAAAAACCAUCCGCUAAGUCGGGUUGGUUUGGGCCAAGAUUAAAAGCCUAACUAGCCUAAUGGCUCAGCUAGCUUAAAUAGCCCAACAGGUAAAAUGGGGAAUAAAAUGUGAGAGAACAAUCCACGAGGAGUGGAGGCAGUUAACACUUAAGGCGGUAACUAUUUGGAGUGGCCAAAAGGUGCUUUUGUGAUCUCCAUACCAAUCAAUAGCUAAAAAUUAUAUGAAUGCAAGAAAAAUAGGGACACGAAAAAAAUAUGACAUUUUCUAAAAGAAAAACCCUAGAUAACUUAAUCAUUAGAGUGAUCCUAGGGAAAAACCAGACUAGCCUUGUGUGGCAGGUACAAGGAAGCGUGCAACAAGAAGAGGAUAAUUGCUCAAGAAAUUCUCAACUCCAACAAGUGGCAGUUAACACUUGAGGCGGUAAAAGUUUGGAGUGGCCAAAAAGUGCUCCUGUGAUCUCCACGCCAAUUGGUAGCUAAAAGGUAUAUGAAUGCAAUAAAAUUAAGGACAAUAUACAUAUAUAUAUAUAUAUAUAUAUAUAUAUAUAUAUAUAUAUAUAUAUAUAUAUAUAUAUUGUUAGUCCAAGGAUUCUCCUAAUCAGGUUUUGAUGAUAACAAACCAUUGUUAAGUUACUAAAUGGUUUGAUUUAUAAAGAAUUUCAGGUGUUAAUUUGAAAAUUCAUCAAAUGACCUAAUGAAUGCAAGAUCAAGACCUUUGGAAGACCUUUAAUCAUAGGAAACAUAUGGAAGAUGAAUGAAUGGGUGUACUUAGGUUUUACAUAUCAUUUCAUGCAUAUUUCAAAAACUCGGUUUAUUAUUUAAAGUUACAGUUUCAUCAAAACCCGAGUUUUAUCAAAUGAACCUUAGGCAAAUCUUUUUCAAAAUUAGCAUGUUAAUUUACCUAAAGACCUUGCCUAAGUAUUAGAAGAGAAAAGAAUAGAAAAAAAAUAGGUUUUCGGGCAAAAAAUGGUGAACCAGUUGAGGCACUGGCCAACCGGCUCAAUCGAUUAGGGGUGUCGAUCGGCCAAUUCCCUUUUCCCGAUCGAGGUCCGGUCAAGAUGAGCAAAAAACACUUUCUCUCUUCCAGUAGACUUUUCUUCCAAGUUGAGGGCCGGUCGAGGGUAAUGGUCAUUUACCAAGCAUUAAAUGCUCCAAUGGCUAGUGAACCGGUCAACCCCUAGCUCGACCGGUUGAGACUACUUUUUGGUUUUCUUGACUCCCGAGGUUAGAAACCUAUAAAUAGAGAGCUUCGCUUCAUUUAUGAGUAAGAGAACACCUGCAUUUAUUCAUCUACCCACUUGUUCUUGCCUUAAAAGCUCUCAUUCUUUUCUUGGUGCAUUAAAUCCCCAUUUGCAUAUUCUUUAGUGCACCUUUGUGAUUCAUCCCAGCCUUAAGUUGUAUUUGAGAUAUUGUUGAGCUAGGUUGAGAGAUUCAUUCUUGUUAAUUGAGUGUUAAAGCCUUCAAGUGAGUUGAAACUUGAAGAGAUUGUGUAAAAGCCCACUGGAGUCGGAAUCCAAGUGUAAAGGUGAUUAGAAGCUUCAAGGUAAUGGAACCCUCACUUGGUUAGGAGCUUGAGGAGAGUGGACAUAGGUAAUGAAGUGCUAAACCACUAUAAAAUCUGAGUUUGAUUUCUCUAACUCUAUCUCUUUAUAUUUGCUUUUCUUGUGCUUAAAUUUGUUGUGUUUAAUUUUUUUUUCUAAAAAAAAAAAAACCCAAUUCACCCCCUUCUUGGGUGUUUUUCUCAUUUAAGAUUAGCCUUUAUUUUCUCAAUUGGUAUCAGAGCUAGACCUCUUGUUUAAGACUUAAUCAUCUAAGAAGAAAUGGCUAAUCUUGAGCUCAUUUCACAUUGAAAUUUUUGCAAAAAAUAAACCUCCAUUUUUUACAGGAACCGAUUAUCUCUAUUAGAAAACUAAAAUGACUUGGUUUUUACAAUCAACCAAUUUAGACAUAUGAGAUGUCAUUGAAGAUGGCCCAACUUUUCCUUCAAAACUAGUUGACGGAGUCAUGGUUCCAAAACCCAAGCAAGAAUGGGAUGAGUGUGAUAGAAGAAAUUUUCAAUUAAAUGCUAAGGUCGUUUAUGCUUUGCAAUGUUGUAUGGAUAGAAAUGAAUAUAGUAGAAUAUGUCAAUGCAAAUCGGCUAAAGAAAUUUGGAGAUUGCUUGAAAUAACUCAUGAAGGAACAAAUCAAGUGAAAUAGUAAAAAAUCAAUUUACUUGUUCAUAGCUAUGAAUUGUUUUUUUUUUUAAAGAUAAUGAGACUAUUGUUGAGAUGAUCACUAGGUUCAUCGACAUUGUCAAUGGUCUUAAAGCCUAGGGAAAGACCUAUAAUGAAUCUAAAAAGAUAAUGAAGAUCUUGAGGUCACUUCCAUCAAUGUGGCAUACAAAAGGUCACCGCAAUUCAAGAAGCCAAAGACUUGAUCAAGCUACCUUUAGAGGAGCUCAUAGGGUCAUUGAUGACAUAUGAGAUCAAUUUGGAAAAUAAGCAACAAGAAGAUGAAGACAAAAAGAAGAAGAGCAUAACUCUCAAAGCUACAACUAAGGAAGAAGAAGAAGUUGAAGAAGAAAAACAAAGUGAAGAAUAUGAAGAUUUAGCCCUCAUCAUAAGAAAGUUCAACAAAUUCAUGAGGGAUGAAAGGUUUAGAAGAAUAAGGUUCACUUUUAGAAGAGGCUUUUCUAAAAAGGAAUCUUCAUCUCAUGGUGACAAGGAGAGAUGCGAAGAGAAAAGAGACUUGGUGUGUUUCAAAUGCAAGAAACCGAGACACAUUAAAUAUGAUUAUCCUCUCUACAAAAGUGAAGCCAAGAGGAGAAAAAAAGAAGGCAAUGAUGACCACUUAGAGUGAAAGUGAAGAAUCCUCCGAAGAAGAAAAUGAGAAAGGAGUGGCAAACAUAUGCUUCAUGACAAUAGAUGAACUUGAUGAGGUAAACUCUAACCUUAGUGAUGAAAAUAUACAUGAUGCAUUUGAAGAAUUGUAUGAGGAUUUUGAAAAACUUAGUUGAAAAAUAUUUCUCUUAAAAAGAAAGUUCAACAACUUGAAAAAGAACUUGGAGAAGUAAAAGAAAAAUUUUCAAAUGUCGAAAUUUCUAAAACUCAUCUCGAAAAAGAAAAUGAGAUUCUAAUAAAGAAAAAUGAAUGGUUGACCUCCUUUCUUUCAAUAUUUUCUUGUGGACAAAAAUCUUUUGAAAUGAUUCUAGCUAGCCAAAAAUACGUUUUUGACAAACAAGGGCUAGGAUUCAAAUCUUCAAAAAAUCAAAGUAUUUUAAAAACUAUUUUGUAAAGGAAUCCACAAGUACAAAUCUUUCCACUAUUGGCAACUUUUGUGGAAGAGAAGGGCACAUUAGUAAUACACGUCCUUUAAGGAAUGGUUCUCAAAAGAAUUCAAAUGCAAAAGUUAAAAAGAUUUGGAUUGAAAAAUCCAAGGUCACUAACCCUCAAGGACUCAAAAAGAUAUGAUACCUAAAUCAACUUGAGUUUUAUGUUGUAGGGUUCAAAGAAGGAUAAGUGGUUCUUGGAUAGUGGAUGCUCAAGACACAUGAUCAAGGAUGAAUCCAAAUUUGCUUUUCUUACAAAGAAAAAUGGAGGAUAUGUUAUCGUUGGAGACAAUGCAAAAGGAAGGAUCAUUGGUCAAGGCAACAUUGGUAAUGACACAUCCUCUCUCAUUGAAAGUGUUUUAUUAAUAGAUGGUUUAAAACAUAACCUUUAAAGCAUUAGUCAACUUCGUGACAAAGGUUUUAAAUUAACUUUUGAAGUAUCUCAUUGCAUCAUCAAAGAUAUUCAAAAUGAUAAAACCAUCUUCAUGGGCCAUAAAUGUGAUAAUGUUUACACUAUAAAUAUUUCAAAAUAUGAUGGCCAUGAUAGAUGCUUUUCAAGCAUGCAUGAUCAAAGUUGGUUAUGGCAUAGGAGGUUGGGACAUGCUAACAUGGACCUCAUUUCUCAACUCAACGAAGAUGAACUUGUUAGAGGCUUUCCCAAAAUAAAUUUUCAAAAAGAUGAAGUUUGUGAAGCUUGUCAAGUAAGAAAGCAAAUAAAAAACUCUUUCAUAAACAAAAACUUCAUUUCCACAUCUAGGCCACUUGAGUUGUUGCAUAUGGAUUUAUUUGGUCCCUCUAGAAUACCAAGUCUUGGAGAAAAGUCUUAUGCAUAUGUUAUUGUAGACGACUUCUCUAGAUACACAUGGGUCUUGUUUUUAAGUCAAAAGAAUGAAGCCUUUUAUGAGUUGUCAAAGUUUUGCAAUAAGGUUCAAAAUGAAAAAGGUUUUUCAAUUACUAGUAUAAGAAGUGAUCAUAUGAGAGAAUUUGAAAAUAUUGAUUUUGAAGAAUAUUGCAAUGAGCAUGGAAUUGACCAUAAUUUUUCAGCUCCUAGAACUCCUCAAUUAAAUGGGGUAAUUGGAAGGAAAAAUAAAACUCUUCAAGAGAUGGCAAGAACCAUGCUAAAUGAAAAUAACUUACCAAAAUAUUUUUGGGAUGAAGCGGUUAACACUUCUUGUUAUGUUUUAAAUAGAAUAUUAUUGAGGCCCAUUCUUAAGAAAACUCCCUAUGAGCUUUGGACAAACAAGAAGCCCAACAUUAGCUAUUUCAAAGUCUUUGGAUGCAAAUGUUUUAUAUUAAACACCAAAGACAAUCUUUGAAAAUUUGAUGCAAAAUUGGAUGUUGGAAUUUUCCUUGGUUACUCAACUUUAAGUAAAGCUUUUAGGGUGUUUAACAAAAGAACCAUGAUUGUAGAGGAGUCUAUCCAUGUUAUUUUUUAUAAAUCUAACAAAUUUCUCCAAGAAAGAGAGAGUUUUGAUGAUGAUUUAGGUUUGGAGACCUCCAUGGGAAGAUUGCAAAUUGAAGAUAGAAUACAACAAGAAGAAAAUGGAGAGGAUCCUAAGAAAGAAGGAUCACCAUUGGCACUACCCCCUCCUCAACAAGUGCAAGGUGAAUCAAGCCAAGACCUUUCUAAAGAAUGAAAGUUUGUCAUCAAUCACCCACAAGAUCAAAUUAUAGGUAAUCCAUCUAGUGGGGUAAAAACUAGAUUCUCUCUUAGAAAUAUUUGCAAAAAUCUAGCUUUUAUCUCUUAAAUUGAGCCUAAAAAUAUAAAUGAUGCUUUAGAUGAUGAAAAUUGGAUGAUUGCUAUGCAACAAGAGUUAAAUCAAUUUGAAAAAAGUGAAGUAUGGGAAUUAGUACCAAGACCUUCAAAUCAAAGUGUUAUUGGAACUAGAUGGGUCUUUGGAAAUAAAAUGGAUGAAAAUGGCAUAAUUGUUAGAAAUAAAGCAAGAUUGGUAGCCCAAGGUUUUAAUCAAGAAGAAAAAAUAGAUUAUGAAGAAACCUUUGCCCCUGUAGCUAGGUUGGAAGCCAUUAGGAUGCUACUUGCCUUUGCAUGUUUUAAAGACUUUGUUUUAUAUCAAAUAGAUGUGAAAAAUGCUUUUUUAAAUGGUUUUAUAAAUGAAGAAGUAUAUGUUGAACAACCACCCGGCUCUCAAAGUUUCAAUUUUCCUAACCAUGUUUUUAAGCCUAAAAAGGCACUUUAUAGUUUGAAACAAGCACCUAGAGCAUGGUAUGAAAGAUUGAGUAAAUUUCUUUUGAAAACAGGUUUUAAAAUGGGAAAAAUUGACACAACUCUUUUCAUAAAAACUAAAGAAAAUGAUAUGCUCUUAGUUCAAAUAGAUGUUGAUGAUAUCAUUUUUGGUGCUACUAAUGUCUCUCUUUGUGAAGAAUUUUCUAAGUUCAUGCAUAGCGAGUUUGAAAUGAGCAUGAUGGGAGAACUCAAUUUCUUCCUUGGGCUUCAAAUCAAGCAACUAAAGGAAGGCCCAUUAGACACCACACUAGGUCCAUUUAGUCACUUUAGGCCCAUUAGGCACCAUCCUAGGCCCACUUAGGCACCCUAGGCCCAUUUAGGCACCCUUAGCCCAUUUAGGCACCUUAGACAUGAAUGCAUGGUUGCAUGGCUUCAUGGCUCACGUUUUUGCAUGAGAGAUUUAUCAUUGGAGAGUUUGGAUUCUUUAGGAAAGGAAACUUGGAGGCUGUGAUUGAGAGAUAUUUAGUCCACGUUUGAAAAUAAUAAUAAUAAUAAUAAUAAAGAAAGGAAAGAGAGACCCGGGAUGGAAAGAUAGGAAGAUGCUUUUUUAGGCCAUGAGGUAGACAGAGAGUGAGUCCACGUUUAAAGAAGAUGGGGAAAGUGUAGCCGCAUGAUUGAAGGAAAAAAUAUGAUUUUUUGGGCAAGGAGGAGCAGAUAUGGGGAGAAUUGACAAAACAUUUUAUGGUGAGCUGAAUGAAUCUGACUUUCGGGAAAGAUACAAAGAGGUUUUGAAAGGCAUUAUGCGGAUUUUGAGGUGUGAUAUUCAGAGUUUUAUUUAGAAAGAAAUGAGAGUUUUGGGAUAGAGAAGAUUCAGUCGGAAAAGUGGAGGAAGAGGGAGAUUUCUAGAGGGAGAGAGGACUGAAAGAAAAAAAAAAAAAAAAACAAGGGUAAUUUGGAGAGGCCACACCUUGAGAGAUUUUUUUCGAGAACAAUCGCACGAAGUGAAGGAAGAGAAGAGGUGAUAUGGAGAAGCGACACCAAGUGAAGGAAAGAGAAAGGUGAUCUGGAGAGGCCGCACCCUUGAGAGAUUUUCCGGAAGAGCCGCACCAUUGAGAGGAAGAAGGAUCUUCAUCCAAUUGUACUGUUCUUCAAGCAAGCAUUUUUUGAGGAAUCAUAUAAACUAUGCAUGCUAUCCAGGUACGCUCUCUAUCACUUAUGUUUUGAAAUUUUAUGAAUAUGCAUGUUGUUGUGAAUUUUAUUUAUUCUUGAUGUGAUCCUUAGGUGCUUAGAUGUAUGCUUGAUUGCCUUAAUAUAUGUUUGAUUGUUUGAUUUGCCCUUAUUAAAAAAAAUGUUGUGUGUUAUACUUCCAAACUAAUUUUGAUGUGUUGUAAUAACGCUUAAGAAGCAGUCCAGGUACGCACCCUAAAUUUCCUUUAUGAGUAUGAUUGGUUUUUCUUGUUUGGCAUGCUAGUUUGAAAUCACCUUAGCCUACCUAGGUAUCCAUGAUCAACUAGUUAAUUACCACAUUUCCCUCAACUUCGUCAAUAGAGACCUUUGUAGGGCUUAGAGGGGUGCUAUCUCUUAGAGGUACCUUCCCAAUAAGUAACCUAAUCCUCGGACCUAGACUCAAGUUUUUUAAAGACACGGUUUUCUAAAAACUAUGGAGUCACUUCUUUAGGGUUUUCUUUCUUGUUUUAUUUUCCCUUUAAAAUAAAAUAAAAUAAGUGGCAACUCCGAUUUUUCCAAAAACAAUUUUUUCACAAAUAAAAAGCGAGUCUCGUAGAUCGAGUGGGGGCACAUGUGAAAAAUGUUGGUCCACAAAUUGAAAACUCCGUUGGGGAUUUUGAGAAUCAAGCUUGAACACUAGUUGAGGAAAAUGUGGCGUUUAAUUGGUCGAUUAGAGAGUACCUCUGUUUUUUUUAGGCAAGAUGAUUCAGUUUGCUUGCUUGAUUGGCUCGCUAUCUUAACAUGUUUGAUUGCCUUGAAUGAUCACUUAACUAUUUCGUUCACUUCAACAUGAUUCACUCUCACAUAUGCUAGAUAGGAAUUUUUUUGUAUGACGCUUAUCUGCUUCGCAUGACUGCUUGUUGCAUGACAAUCCUCUCCCUUGCAUGAUUGUAUGAUUGCUUAUCUCUGUUCACUAUCUCACUUUAGAUCUUUGGUUUUUUCGGAUGCACCUAUAUCCUUCACUAUGCACUUUAGAUUAUCCCUGAGUGUUAAGAGAUGUGAGAGCCUUCACCGUUAGGAAACCCCUUGGGAAUGCUAGGAAGUGCAUGUGUGAAGGUGAUGACCACCUUGCAUGGAAGCACCCCGUUUUCUUGGAGAGUGUAGAGGGUUGCGUAUUGAUUCGACUCAUGGUAGCUUAGCUUUAAAGGCGUAUCAACAAAAUUUAUACCUUGAAUACUAUUACUAAAGUAGCCAAACUACUAUAGCAUAGUGGUUCUAGGAUCGUUCACUGGGAAGGGUUUUCGCAAACACAAGUGAUAUUCAAAUUAGGAAAAUAGGUGAUUUUCUUAUGGAUGUUAGCUUUAAAAGAAGAUGUAAAUGUUUUAGAAAGAUUUAAACUAAUCUAAGCUAACAUUAAAGACUAAAAUGAAAGGGUGUAAAAACAAGUUUCUCAAAGAUAGGAUAGCUAUGCUCUGGCUCUUAUGCAAAUUGGAAAUCUCAGGAUAGGCUCCUCGCGUUGGGGUUGCAACUAUGGUGAUGCUUGCUUCUCGAACCGGUAUGGAUUUAGCAAAUCAAGUUUUAAUCCUUUAAAAUGGCAAAACAGAUGGUAGUGAAUUUCAUCAAUGGUUAUUCACCUUAGACUUCCUUUGAAUGGCUCGUAAGAGAUAACUAAUGGUCUAAAGCCAAAAGCUUACCAAAUAUUGACAACUCAAAGUCAUUCCAAGUGAUAAACUCACCUUUCAAUGGCCAUUGAAAUUGGUUCUAACGGAUUAAUGCAAAACUUGGAAUUGAAAACCUCACCUUCCAAUAGCUCGUAGGAGAUAACUAAUGGAUAGAAAUCCAAAAGCUUAUCAAGUAUUGGCCGUUGGAAGUUGUCCAAAGGAAAUAAAAACCAAACUUUGCAUUAAUGAACCAUUAAUGAAAAAACGUCUACCUUACCUUCCGGGUGCGAGAAAUUUCCAUGGGAUUGCAUCCAAGCUAUCACAUAACAUUCAUACUUUGAGAAACUAAAAGUUUUAGCCAAUCAUCCUUUGAGGAAAAGCCCUCAGAGGCUGUUUGGCUACUAAGAAAAUAGAAAUGGGGAAGAACAGGAGAAGAGAGAAAAACAGAGCAAGGCUCUGUAUAUUCUAUAUAUUGAUCGAUAUCUAUUACAAUGGAUGCAAGGGAAUAUAUAUAGAGAAGGUUUUCCAACCUUCCUAGCUAAGAAAUUACAUGAGUGGUGGAUUACAAGGAGAAGAAUGGAAAUUUAUACAAAAAUAUCCAAAAGAAAAGAUCUCGUGUGGAGUCGGCAGAAACAGGGGAAAAUUCGCACCAUGCAAGGGGGUGUGCGAAUUUGGAAGGUGUUGUGCGAAAAUUUCGCACACCCCUGGAGCAGUUGUCUUCCGAAGGCCAUAUCUUCCUCAUUUCAGCUCCAAAUCGUACACAGUUUGAAGCGUUGGAUUUUUGACUUCCUGAGCUUUGAAACGGUAUAUAGCAUGUAAAAAAUGGACUUCGGGAAGUACUCCAAAAGUGCCAAAGAAGACUGCAGAUGCUGUCCUCUGUUUUCCUCCUUGCUUCUCUUUACUUUGCUUUCCUCUUCUCCAUUGUUCUUUCCUUGCAUACUUUGAACGAAUUUGGCAAAGGGAUAUGGAGCUCCAAAGCUUGGUUCUUCAUGAAUUUGAGCUUCCAAAAGCUUUGCCAUAACUUGUCCAAGUAGCUCCUCUAUCAUUUGGCAUGCUUGAAUUGAUUCACAAGCUGAUAUAAACAUGUAAACUUGCCACAAAAUGGUUAAAACCAAUUACUAAGGACCUUAAUGAAUUAAUUGGGUUAAAUGAAUAUGAUUACUACUCAAAGGUGCUUAAAACCAUUAUAAUUAGGUCUACAAAAUAGCACUUUUUGGUAGUAAUCACGUAUUGUCAGAGGGUACAAUCGCUUCUACUAGGGAUUUAUCUUAUAGAUCCACUUCAACCUUGUAGGUUAGCCUAGACCCAAUUAGGAUUUCAUUCCUACAUGUGGGUGCAUCUAUGGACCUUUAAAGCUGCCUUGGUUAGAAUUGGGUUCGGUUACCAUCUCCAUAGUCUCAUUUUGGUAUGAUCGGAUACGAGGAUCAGUUUGAGUAUACAUGGGUUAUAUGCUUGAUUACCUUUUAGUCGGUUCCUACAAAGCUACCCUUGUAUAACGUCUCAUCUAGUGUUUCCAUGUUUAUAGGAGUAUUUUUAGUGCCCAGUCUAGAUUCGCCUUCUUGAACCAGAGUUAGAGGCAGGUUGACCAGAGUAUCAGAUCAACCAGACCAGAGAGUAGAUUAGAGAGAUAUGGACUCCCAGGUAGUCACUGUUGACCAGUUUGCCGUAACCAUGACUUCGAUUUAGGAAGCUAUAACCGGCCUCGGCUAGAGAAUAGAUGGGCAGCAGGCCCUACAGGCCCUGCCUCAGGAUAGUGCACAGUAUGACUCUGCGGCACCACCACCCCCUCCACUCAGUUAGUCGGUUCCACACCCUACACCGUAUGUUUUACAUAGUCAAACUGAUGCUACACCACUUCCUGUUGUAGCACCCAUUCAGGAAUUAGAUGAUGCACAUGCUCAUAUGGAUAGACUUGAGCAGAGGAUGAAACAGAUGAGGGUUUCAGAUGGAGCUAUCAAUUGGAAUGACUUUGAUGGGGCACUAGUGGCCAGUUUACCAGCCCAGUUUAGGAUGCUAGAGAUUGAGAGGUAUACAUGCAUGGGUUGCCUUAAGAUUCAUUUGAGGUGAUACAGUAGUAUGAUGAGAGCCCAAUGGUUGGAUGAGGCCCACUUUAUUAUGCUUUUUCCCAUGUCCUUGAGUGGUACAACACAACGUUGGUUUGCUUCUUUAGAUGCUUCACGUCGUAGGACUUGGGAUAAUUUGACCCAAGAGUUUUUGAGACAGUUUGCUUUUAAUACUGUCAUUGAUGUCUUGAGGAGAGAGCUCGAAGCCUUGAGAUAGAGACUAGAGGAGUCAGUGACUUCAUUUAUCUCCUGAUGGAGGGAAAAAAUCGCCCAGACUAUUGAUCGUCCUUCGGAGAAAGACUAGAUUAGUAUGAUUUUGAGGAGCUUACAACCCAGAUUUGUCAGACAUUUGAUGGGAUUUCCCCACACAGAUUUUGGAUCCUUGGUAUAGGCUCUGUACGAUAUAGAUGAGGGCAUUGCUAAAGGAUUGUGGCCCGAGUCUUCCCUUACUGACUCAAAGGAGAAGAAGCCCUCAGGAGGACAGAGACCUGAAGAUGUGGGUACUAUCAAUUUAGAAAGAUCGAGAUCUCCCAGGCGCUAUCAGACAUUUGGGCAGACUUCAAGAGCCUAUUACCCAUAGCUUUAUGUUUAGUAUAGAUCGCCCAGGCCCAUGACUCCUACAUACCUACAUCUGACCCUAGAGCCUGUUUUUGCUACAUAGGUCUCAAAGAGACCUCCUACCUUAUACCCUUGGCCCUGAGUCCCAUAGACUGCUAUUCCUCGUGCACAGAGGUCGAUACGACAAUUCUCUUAGCUAGGUAUGCCCUUGAGUCGAGCUUUCCAAAAGCUCAUAGAGGGUGGUUUGUUGACUCAGUUAGCUUCUAGGCUUAUACCCCAACCCGUGCCACCUCAGUUCAAGAUGGACCUUCACUGUGCUUAUCAUCAAGGUUUAAGACAUGACACUGAUCGUUGCUCUGCUCUAAGACAUGCUAUAUAGGACUUGAUAGACCAGGGUUUGGUUAACUUAGGGCAGCCAAGUGUAACCAUGAACCCUCUACCGGGUCACUCUAGGCAUGCAGUGCCACCAUCCUCGGGCAGUAUCCAUCACAUAGAUUUUGUAGAGGAUGACAGUAUACACAUGCUGAGUUGGGAUGAUGGAUUGCUAGAGUCGAUUGUUUUGGAUGAUGGUUAUGAGGUUGACACAGUGGGUUCUCAAACUUUUACAUCGUCUAGUUUGAUUUCAAAUUGGGUACCUUUUGAGGUGACUCCUACUACACCGUCAGCUACGGCACGUCAGGGCUCGUCCAUCCCAUUUACCCUAUAACCAAAUGAUGAUGAUUUGGAGGAGAGAGAUGUACAGAUUGUGAACCAUAGUGGGAGAGUAGCUCAACCCCCACCUCUAGUAGCUAGGCCAUUUGAUGGCGUAGUUUCUCAUGAGGAGGUUAGGAGAAAGGAUGAUAAGAUACUUUGGCAGUUACUGAGUACACAGACCCGCAUAUCUAUUUGGAGUUUGCUAGCAUCUUCUAGUACUCAUAGAAAUUCAUUGAUUCAGGCUUUAACCCAGAUCCGUGUGGAGACCACCACUACCUUAGAGGGGUUGAUUCAUAUUAUGACGGCCGACAGGGCCACAUGUAUUAUGUUUUCAGAUGAUGACUUGUCACCAAAGGGUUCAGACCAUACACGCCUCUAUAUAUUACAGUUGGUUGUUCAGGUCACAAAGUUCCAUCCGUCCUGUUGGACAAUGGCUGGGCCUUAAACGUCUGCCUAUUGUCUACUACUAUUGCUCUUGGUUAUGCACCUUUAGACUUUGGUCCCUUUACACAGACGGUCAGAGCAUAUGACAGCACUAAGAGGAAGGUCAUGGGUACUUUGAUGAUAGAGUUGCUAAUUGGUCCGGCUACAUUCCCUAUACUAUUCCAAGUUUUGAAGAUUCCCACAUCCUUUAACCUACUUCUGAGCCGACCUUGGAUUCAUAGGGCCAAGGCUAUAUUCCAUCUUCCCUUCAUUAGAAGAUGAAGUUUAUACAUGACAGACAGGUCAUCAUAAUAUAGUCUCCUAGAGAUAUGUUUGCCUCCUCCGAGCCGGUGCUUCAGAUCAAUCAUAGUGAGGAUGACCUAUUUUUUAUUGGGUUUACAUUUGAUGAGGUGCAAACUCUCGAGGUUGGGGACUUCUGCAAAGAUCUCGUAGCUAUGUCAUUUGAUCAGGAUAGCAGUACGGUGGUACUCAACAUGAUGAGGGGUAUGUCUUUUAUGCCUGGUUUGGGGUAAGGAUGACGUCAGCAUGGACCCAUGGAGUUUGUGGCUACUAUCGAUCAUGCUACACCAUUUGGGCUUGGGUUUGUUCAUACAGAGGCUAACUAUAGGAAUAUGGUGCAUCUACACCAGGAGAGAGUGAGAGCCCGUCUAAUUUGCACACCAUUCGAUUAUCCUAUUCAUCCUUAUAGGAUGAGCUUGGCAGACUAUUUUGUUAGAGGAUUAGAGACCCAUCCUCAUAUGAGGGAUUUUGACGUUGUGACUGAUAUAAAGGGAGUGGAUGACCUUCAGCAUCAAUUUCACCAUUUACAGUUAGGAGAUGAGACUUUUGGCGUACUAGUGUUAGUGAUGAUUGUUCAUUCAUUACCAGAUCGAGCCAGCUUCUUAUCUCUGUGUUUUCCAAAGGAGACUACUAAUUGUGGAGUAGACGUUGAGCCUACUAGGGUGACUGAUGGAGUUGUUCCUUGUGAUGAGUAUAGGAUUGAGAUGGAUAAGAUGAGUAUGAGUUAGAUUAUUGAGAUGAUUCAACCUGAGUCUGCUUCACCGUUCGAUCUGUUUGGGGUGUCUACUAUCGAGGUUGUCGAGGAGAUCUAGACAGUUCUUACUCUAGAGCUUAUGGAGGAUGUUACAGUUGGUGAUGAUGAGUUUGAGGACACUUUUGGCUUUAUUAAGGGAGUGUUCGACUUUGUGGACCCACCUCUUUUAUUUGACAUUUUAUUGGGAUUCAUUUCCUGCUCUGACGAUGUUUAUGAUUUCAUAUCUAUGGAUUUUCGAGUAUUUGCUUGUAUCUUGUGAUAGUAUUUAUAUAUCUGCACCCUACUUCCUCAUUCCACAUAUACUUGAUAUAGAUGAUGAGAUCGCACAACCUGAUUCAAAUAGAGACUCUUCUGAUCAUGACUCAGAUUCCAUAAAUGAGAGAGUUUCACCUGCUACAGAGGAUGUUGAGACUAUUGAUUUUGGUAUAGAGGAUCAGCCUAGAAAGCUAAAGAUUGGUCCACCCCUGUCUAUAGACGAGAGGGAUAUACUUAUUCAUUUACUCAAGUCAUACUUGGAUGUUUUUGCAUGGUCUUAUGAGGACAUGCCGGGUCUGGAUCCCUCUAUAGUCCAACACCAUCUGCCUAUCUUGCCACAUAUCAGACCCGUUAAGCAGAAACUGAGGCAAUUGCACCCAUGUUGGAGUCUACAGGUGAAAUAAGAAAUUUAGAAACAACUCAGUAUUGGAUUUAUAUCAGUGGUUGAGUAUCUAGAGUGGUUGGAUAAUGUCGUCCCUGUUCCCAAAAAGAAUGGCAAAGUUAGAGUUUGUGUUGAUUUCAGAGACCUUAAUAAAGCUAGUCCUAAGGAUGAUUUUCCUCUCCCACACAUUGAUUUGUUAGUUGAUAGCAUUAUAGGUCAUUUGAUGUUGUCCUUCAUGGAUGGAUUUUUCGGGCAUAAUCAGAUUCUGAUGGCUUUAGAGGAUAUGGAGAAGACAACCUUCAUUACCGAGUGGGGUACCUACUGUUAUAGAGUUAUGCCAUUUGGGUUGAAGAAUGCAGGAGUUACUUAUCAGAGAGUUGCUACCACUUUGUUUCAUGACAUGAUGCAUAGGAAUGUGGAAGUUUAUGUAGAUGAUAUGAUUAUGAAAUCCCGAAGCAGAGUGGAUCACCUAACGGCUCUAGAGAGAUUCUUUUAGAGGAUUCGAAAAUUCAGGUUGAGGCUAAACCCCAAGAAAUGCACCUUUGAAGUGACUUCUAGGAAAUUGUUGGGGCAUAUGGUCAAUGAGCGGGGUCUAGAGGUUGACCCAGAUAAGAUCAGAGCCAUACUCGACAUGCCUGUGCCGAGGACAUGAGAAAGAGAUUAGGAGUUUUCUGAGCAGAUUAUAGUACAUCAAUCGUUUCAUAGCCAGAUUGACAAACAUAUAAGAGCCCAUAUUUCGUCUUUUCAGGAAGAACCAACCAACGGUUUGGAAUGAUGUACUUGGGGUACUUGAUGAUGAUACACAUGAUCUCAUGUUGCAAGAGCAUGACUUGCGUACUCCUUUAUGGUCGUUUCCUCACCAAAGUGUUCAAGGAUGUCAACAUUGACUUAAGUAGAGAGACAGAUUUUGAGGUUCCUAGUACUUAUGACAUGUGUGAUGAUCAAUCGAUGGCGAGGAUGAAAUUUGAGAAGGUUCCCGAUGGUUCUUGGGUAAAGAAAGCAGAGGGAGCACCAACAUAGGCCUUAGGAUAGGGAUAGGCACAUCUCGGAGUAGAAAAGGAGGCCGAGAUACGAGAGAUGGAGGGAAGAGUAGACCCUUAGAGUGGCUAUCGGUAGAGAGAGCUCGAGCUUGACAUUCUUCCACUUCAGUCAGAGGUUGUUCAGUUUAAGGCUACCUUCUCUAAGCCGAUGAUGUUUGAGCCGACUUAUACAACAGAACCAUCUACUCAGCCGUCAUUCAUUGAUUGUUCCUCUAGACCUGGAUUCACUGAGCCUCUUCACACUGAGUACCACCUCCUCAGGAACCUCUCGUUUCUGACCAUACUCCUUGGAUGAAUAUAUCUGCUUAGAUUAGCUCUCUAGGUAGUCGCAUGGAGGAGCUUGUUGUAGUAAGUGAUACUCAGUUCUAUUCCAUGGAAGAUCGCAUGAUCAAUAUCAGGCUAGUUUCACUUCACAGUUUGAGCAUCUCCAAUAGAGGUUUGAACGUAUUGAGGAUCGAAUGGAUCAGCAUCAGGCUGGCUUCACUUCACAGUUUGAGCAUCUCCAAUAGAGGAUUGAGGAUCGCUUGGAAAGUUAGCAUGAGGAGAUGAUGGCUUACAUGCGUUCUAUGUUUCCACCUCCACCUCCUUAACCUUGAUUUCGUAGAGACCCCUUUUGUUCCUUUUUAUGUUGCCAAAAGGGGGAGAUAUUUAGUCUAUAGGAGACUUACAUGCAUCUCAUUGUCAUAUCAUAUGUUUGGAUCGUACAUAUUGGAUAGUGAUACAUUUGACUUAUAUAUGAUAUGUUUAUUUGUUUCAUGUCCAUUUGACUUAUAUAUGAUAUGCUUAUAUAUUUCAUGACUUAUAUUGUUUCUUAUUGCAAAUUCAUUCUAUCUAGCAUGCCUUGAUUUUCUUGGUUUUAACUUCGUAAAUUUUGAUUGUUGACCCAUGAUUGGUUUGAGGGGGAGAUUCUUCUUCUCCUAGAUAACCAAGGUUUGUCAUCAUCGAAAAAUGAGAGAUUGUUAGCCUAAGGGUUCUCCUAAUCAGGUUUUGAUGAUAACAAACCAUUGUUAAGUUACUAAUUGGUUUGAUUUUUAAAGAAUUUCAGGUGUUAAUAUGAAAAUUCAUCAAAGGACCUAAUGAAUGCAAGAUCAAGACCUUUGAAAGACCUUUAAUCAUAGGAAACAUAUGUAAGAUGAAUGCAUGGGUGCACUUAGGUUUUACAUAUCAUUUCAUGCAUCUUUGAAAAACUCGAUUUAUUCUUUAAAGUUACAGUUUCAUCAAAACCCGAGUUUUAUCAAAUGAACCUUAGGCAAAUCUCUUCAAAAUUGGCAUAUUGAUUUACCUAAAGACCUUGCCUAAGUGUUAGAAGAGAAAAGAACAAAAAAAGAUAGGUUUUCGGGCCAAAUAUGGUGAACUAGUCGAGGCACUGGCCAACCGGCUCAACUGACUAGGGGUAUCGGUCGAUUGAUUCCCUUUUCUCGAUCGAGGUUUGAUCGAGAGAAGCAAAAAACACUUUCUCUUUUCCAAUAGCCUUUCCUUCCAGUUCGAGGUAUUUGCCUUCUUGGUCAACCUCCGGUUGAGGGUAACAAUCACCUGCCAAGCAUUAAAUGCUCUAAUGACUAGUGAACCGGUUGACCCCCAACUCCACUGGUUGAGGCUGCUUUUUGGUUUUCUUGGUUCCCGAGGUUAGAAACCUAUAAAUAGAGAGCUCCACUUCAUUUAUGAGUAAGAGAAUACUUGCAUUUAUUUGCCUACCCACUUGUUCUUACCUUAAAAGCUCUCAUUCUUUUCUUGAUGCAUUAAACCCCCAUUUGUAUAUCCUUUGGUGCACCUUUGUGAUCAUCCUAGCCUUAAGUUGUAUUUGAGUUAUUGUUGAGCUAAGUUGAGAGAUUCAUUCUUGUUAAUUGAGUGUUAAAGCCUUCAAGUGAGUUGAAACUUGCAGAGAUUGUGUAAGAACCCAUUGGAGUCAGAAUACAAGUGUAAAAGUGAUUAGAAACUUGGUUGAAGCUUCAAGUUAAUGGAACCCUCACUUGGUUAGGAGCUUAAGCAGAGUGGACAUAAGCAAGGAAGUUUUAUAAUAUGAUAAGUAUUUAUUGCUUUAUAUUUUGUUCCUAUUUUUUUGCACCUUUGCCUUAUUACUUUGUAAUUAAUCCUAUUUUCUUUUGUGCCUUCAUCCCAUUAUUUCAAUCCUCAAGGUAAAAAAUUUAACAACUAGAUCUUGAUUUGGUGCCUUAAACUUUUUCAUUAUUUAUUUUCGUCAUUAUAUAUAUUAUUAUAUUGGCAAAUUUAAAAAAUUGUUCAUGGUAUUGAAAAAAAAAUAUCAAUUUUUAAAAAUAUUUCUUAAAAUAUGAUAAGUAAAAAAUUAUUCUUAAACUUAUGGUAUAAUAUGAUAAAUCAAGAAGUUAUCUUUUAAGACAAGCCAGUUAGAACAUUAAACCAUAUGCUACAAGUCUAUCAACAAAAAGACACACGCCUCUUGAAAUUGAUUGAAUAAAUCAUCAAUACAUGGUAAUGAACAUCGAUUAAGAAUGGUAACCUUAUUAGAAUCUCAAUAAUCUAUGCAAAACCUCGUAUUACCGUCCUUGUGUACAAAGAGGACAUGGGCUCCCCAUGGUGACACACUUGAUCGUAUGAGUCACAUAUCCAAUAACUCCUAUAAUUGGACCUUCAACUCCCUAAGCUCUGUUGGAGCCAUACGGUAUGGUAUGGCACCUUGGAUGUUGGUGUAGUUCUUGGCACCAAGUUUAUGGCAAAGUCCAUCUCUCUCGCUGGUGGUAAUCUAGGUGAUUACUACCAAAAAGUGCUAUUUUGUAGACCUAAUUAUAAUGGUUUUAAGCACCUUUGGGUAGUAAUCAUAUUCAUUUAACCCAAUUAAUUCAUUAAGGUCCUUAGUAAUUGGUUUUAACCAUUUUGUGGCAAGUUUACAUGUUUUUAUCAGCUUAUGAAUCAAUUCAAGCAUGCCAAAUGAUGGAGGAGCUACUUGGACAAGUUAAAGCAAGCUUUUAGCUACACCAAAGCAAGCCAACAAAAGGAGAAAAGCAAAGAGAAGCAAAGAGAAGCAAAAAGAAGCAAAGAGGAAAACAGAGGACAGCAGCUGCAGUCUUCUUUGGCACUUUUGGAGCACUUUCUGAAGUCCAUUUUAUACAUGCUAUAUACCAUUUAAAAUCUCAGGAAGUCAAGAAUCCAACGCUUCAAACCGUGUACAAUUUGGAGCUGAAAUGAGGAAGAUAUGGCCUCCGGAAGACAACUGCAUCAAGCUGAGGGACAAUUUCGCACGAUGGAAAUCAAGGUGCGAAUUCCUCAGUCCAAAGUGUGGGAAUUUCGCACACCUGAAACCAAAGUGCGAAAUUGGAACUACAACGUGCGAAAAUUGGAUAUUUUUGCCGACUCUUUUUCUUUUGGAUAUUUUUGUAUAAAUUUCCAUUCUUCUCCUUGUAAUCCACCAAUCAUAAGAUUUCUUAACUAGGAAGGUUGGAAAAACUUCUCUAUUUAUAUCCCCUUGCAUCCGUUGUGACAAAUAGGGGGAGAUUGAUAUAUUGAUAUAUUGAUAUAUAGACUUAGAAUAUUUACAGAGCUCUCCCGUUUCUAUUUUCUUAGUAGCCAAACAGCCUUUGAGGGUUUUUCCUCAAAGGAUGAUUGGCUAAAACUUUUAGUUUCUCAAAGUAUGGAUGUUAUGUGAUGACUUGGAUGCAAUCCCAUGGAAAUUUCUCGCACUCGGAAGGUAAGGUAGUCGUUUUUCAUUAAUGGUUCAUUAAUGCAAAGUUUGGUUUUUAUUUCCUUUUGACAACUUCCAACGGCCAAUACUUGAUAAGCUUUUGGAUUUCUAUCCAUUAGUUAUCUCCUACGAGAUAUUGGAAGGUGAGGUUUUCAAUUCCAAGUUUUGCAUUAAUCCGUUAGAACCAAUUUCAAUGGCCAUUGAAAGGUGAGUUUAUCACCUGGAAUGACUUUGAGUUGCCAAUAUUUGGUAAGCUUUUGGCUUUAGACCAUUAGUUAUCUCUUACGAGCCAUUCAAAGGAAGUCUAAGGUGAAUAACCAUUGAUGAAAUUGACUACCAUCUGUUUUGUCAUUUUAAAGGAUUAAAACUUGAUUUGCUAAAUCCAUACCGGUUCGGGAAGCAAGCAUCACCAUAGUUGCAACCCCAACGCGAGGAGCCUAUCCUGAGAUUUCCAAUUUGCAUAAGAGCCAGAGGAUAGCUAUCCUAUCUUUGAGAAACUUGUUUUUACACCCUUUCAUUUUAGUCUUUAAUGUUAGCUUAGAUUAGUUUAAAUCUUUCUAAAAACAUUUACAUCUUCUUUUAAAGCUAACAUUCAUAAGAAAAUCACCUAUUUUCCUAAUUUGAAUAUCACUUGUGUUUGCGAAAACCCUUCCCAGUGAACGAUCCUAGAACCACUAUGCUAUAGUAGCUUGGCUACUUUAGUAAUAGUAUUCAAGGUAUAAAUUUUGUUGAUACGCCUUUAAAGCUAAGCUACCAUGAGUCGAAUCACUAGGCAAGUCUUUUAGAAAAGCCUCUAGAAACUCACAUGCCACUGGUAUGUCCUCAAGUCAUGGCUCUAUAGCAUGACUAUCCACAACAUGAGCAAGGAAACCCCAACAACCCUCUCUUAUCAAAUCACUGCUUACAUCGGUGAGAUCAAAUAUAGUGGUGCUAAGACCCUUGAACACUUAACUCCAACCUCAAGGGCACCUGGUAAUUUGAAAAAUAAUUGAUAAAAGCAUGAUAUGUGGCUAACCAAUCUAUCAUGAGAAUAACAUCAAAGUCUUGCAUAGUCAUGAGUACCAAGUCUACUUGCAACUCCCAGUAACUAAUGGUCACAACACAUCCUCUAUAUAUCAUGUUUACAAUCACCCCAUCCCGAUUGGAGUAUUUUUAUUUUUAUUUUUAUUUUUAAAUUUUCAAAUGAUAACUUAAAAUAAAAAACACUAAUAUAAAAUUAUAAAACUAAUAAAACGAGAAUAAAAUUAAAUUAUAAAAUUAAUUUUUUUAUUUAAUAAAAUUAAAGAUAUUCAUAUAUCUACAUUUUAUUCACAUUUCACUAAUUUUAAAUUUUUUCAUUGCUAUUUAUAUUUUAUUAAUUUUAUGAUGUUAUUAUUUGAUUUUCUAUAAAUGGUGAAUAAUCAUUAUAUAUUAUUAUAAUGGUAAUUAUAAACAGAAGGAAUUUGGUCUUUGGUUAACACUGAUUCGUUCCCAAUUGGUGUCUCAGUUGAUUCAUGUCCUCUCAAUGGUACCUGACAGUGGUGCCAUUUGAUACGUGUCCAACUGGUGUCCCUUGAUUGUGGUCCUCAGGGAGUAAUCAACAAAAUUUAUAACCUAUUACACCAUGUACUAGGAUAGCCUUAGCUAGCGUAGCAUAGUGGCUCUAGGGUCGUUCAUUGGGAUGGGUUUUCACUUCACAAUUGAUAUUAAUUCAAAGAUGAAUUGGUGUCUUUUCAUUUCAAGGUUAGCUUUAAAAGAAAACAUAAAGAUAUUUAAAUGAAAAAGGUUUGGUUUUAAACUAACCAAAAAUAGUAACUGAUUUUACUUACAAAGAAAAGUGUUUCUUGGAGUUUAGAUCACUAAGCUCAGGUUCCUCAUACAAAAAGGAGAGUUCUGGUUGCUUGUUUAUUUUCCUCGCAUUAGAGAAUUAACAUAUAGUUAAUUCUCUAACCGGUGUGGUACAGAUGCUUCCCUUUAAUGGGUUCAAACACUAAAUCCCUCUCACUGAUGCAACUUGCAAUGGCUCGUGCCUCUCACCUAGCAUUUGCCAUUUAAGGUGAUCUUUAACCUUGGAUUACCCGUCAAAAGCUCGCAAGAGAUAACUAAUGGAUGUCUCCUUGGAGUCCAAAAGCUUACCAAGUGUUGGCUAUUCUAGAAAAUCCUACCUCUAAACCACCUCCCAAAGGCUCGCAAGAGAUAAACAAGUGUAUCUCAAUGGAUGGAGAUCACUUGCCUUACCAAGUGUUGGCCCAGGUGAUUUAAAGGCGUUUUAAGUUAACUAAAAAGAUAGAAACCAUUAACGGGUCACACUUUCUCUUCAUUAAAAACUAAAACAACAAAACUUCCAAUUUAUGCAUGUGAAAACUUACCCGGCUUUCUUCACUCCAAGAGACAAAGAGCCUAGCCUCUCAUCCUCUGAGGAAAAAUCCUCAGAGUUUGGUUGGCUAGAAAGAAAACUAACGAGAAAACAAAUAUAUAUGAAAAGCAGAGCAAGUGCUCUGUAUUUUACUUCCUUCCAAAACUGUACAAAGGAUCCGUUCUAAGAACAAGCUCCCGAGAUCUAUAUAUAUAAGAGGUUAUUCACCCCUUUGUUCUUACUUAAAGACUAAGGAAUCCUAUGAUAGGUGGGUUACAAGGAGACUUUGGGGAUUUACACAACAAAUAUCUGAAGCAAAAUAUCUCACGAUGUUGGUAGAAAAUUUCUCAAGAUGUCGGUCGAAAAUAUCUCAAGAUGUCGGUCAGAAAUACUAGGAAGCUUCAGGAGAACACCAUGACACUGUAUACUGACAGAAAAACUCUCCGGGUAAGCGCUAUCAGAGGAUCCGGAUAUGUCUGACCGGAGAAGUUGAAACAUCUUCCUCUCCCAUCCGACUGUGAGAUAUCCGGAUGUAAAAUGUCGGCGCACGGAAUUCCGGAUAUGAAAUGUCGGCGCAUGGAAUUCCGGAUAUGAAAUAUCCGGAGAAGGUGAAAAGUCGGCCGGAUAGAAUUCUUCCCCGGGUGGAAUGAGCUAUGCUACGCAAGGGGGACCGUCCGCGUGUGCAAGGUGUAGGGACCCCUCUCCUGGAUGACACAGAGCGCGCAAGGCUAUCCGGAUCAACUCCAUCCGGAUUCCCCAAGAGGACAUGUGGCGCGCUCCCCCUAUCCGAACUCCCUCAGGGAGAGGCACACGACACUCGUGAACAUCACACCCGGACGAUAGCAUAUCCUAUCCGAAUAUGUUGUCUGGAUCAUUGACUAAAAGUGAGCAAGUCUUGCUACGUCAUUCGGACAGCCUGCCAUAGACCAUGUUCCGCCGCCAUCCUGUCCGAACGCCCUGUCCGGACAUCUUUUACUCUUUGCAUUCUGGAUCUGCUUAUGGCAAAGGACUUUAAAGCUUCGGUUCUUCAUGUUUUUGAGCUUUCCAUUGCUUUGCCAUGGAUUCCAAAGAACUCUCCUCAAUCUCUGAUUGCUUUGGUGAUCAAAAGCUAUCAAAACACCAAAACUUAACACAAUUUGAUUAGAAUUGAUUGCAAGGGUCCUUAAUAUGUUAAUUGGGUUAAAAGGUGAUAACUACUACUCAAAAGUGUUUAUAAGAGUUAAUUACAAGCUAUGAAAUAGCACUUUUUGAGUAGUAAUCAAACACCUUUCCCCUUUUACAUAAAGAAGAGCCCUAAAAUGGGGCUGCCCACUACCCACAUGACAUUUGAAAUAUUAAAGUUUAAAAAAAGCUGUUUGAAAACUCACAAUUUAAAAAAAGUUUGGGUGAUAAUAGUUUUGAUCAUUUGCUUUUGAAAAAAAUUAAAAAGUUGUUUGAAAACCCAUUGAUAUGUGUCUGGAAAAUUAAAAAUCUAUCUGUAAACCUAUCCUUUGGAAAAAGUGGGGCGAAAACCGAUACUUCAAAGAAAUUAAAGUUUCAAAAGGCCAUUUGAAAACAAACUUUUUAUGACUAGGUGUACCUUAAAAGAUGUAUAAUUGAUGCUAACUUCAUGAAAAUUUAUGUACAAUAACAUCUUUUAGUAUUCACACAUGUAUUUACACCUUUUUCCUCAUUUUCAUUAUUUACUUUUUAUAUUAAAUUAUUGAAAAUAUUAUUUACACGCAUGCAUAAAUAUCAAAUAUAAUUUUUAUUUUUAUCUUAUAUAUAUAAACACUUGUAUUCAAUGUACACGACAUUUGUACUAUUAAUAGAAUACAUGUAUAAGUUUAUAUAUUUAUGCAUUUUUUUCAUUUUCUUUGACUAUUUUUUUUAUAGUAUUGGAAACAUUAUUUUCAUAGAUGCAUGAAUGUCAAAUACAAUUUUUUAAAUUUGUCACACAUGUACAAGUUACUUAUACUAAAUAUAUAAGACAUUUAUACUAGUUGUAUAAGGUUUGUACAAAUGUACAUGUUAUGAAUAUGAAAAUAUUAAAAUGUUGUACAUCCUUUUUAUCCGGUUAAUAUGCAAAUAACUUAUAGAUCAUCUCUAAAAGUGAAGCAAAGGAAUUGAUAUAAUGAUCACUAAAAUUGCAAAUAAAAAAUAGAAGUAAUUAAUUAGAAUUUGAUUAUUAUUAUUUAUAAUUUGAAAUAUCCUAUUAACCCAUAUUAUCACUUAUAAUUUAAAUUAAAGAUAUAUUUUCUUAAUUUGAACAAUUAAGUAAUACUAAGUCUUAUUGAGAUUAAAUAGUAUGCAAUUUAAUAUAAUUCUAUAGUUUAAUUGUAAAUAUGUUGUUACUUAAUGAAAUUUCAAAAUUUUAAAAUAAAAAAUUAUAAUAAUUGAACCUUAAAUUAAUAAAAAAAUAAACUAAGAUACACUACAACAAAUAUGAGGUUUUGUCAUAAAUUAAUUUUUUAUUAAAAGAUAUUAUUUUGUAGUAGAAGAUUUUUUUCUUCCACAAAAAAAAUUAUUUGUGGUGAGUUUGUUGCUAUAAACCCAUGAGCAAUUAUUUUUAACCAUAAAUUUUAAUCUUAUAGCAAAAACAAUUUUCUACAAAAUAAAAUGUGGCAACAUAUCAUUUUUUUUAUCAUAAAAUAAGUUUAUAGCAGCAUGUCAUUUUUGGCAUGAAAAUAUUCAUGGUAAAAGGUUGAUGACCAUGUUCCAGGCCAAUGUGAACCAUCGGCCAUCCAAGUAGCUUUUGGAACAUUAAUGGCUUCCAAAAGAUGACCAAUUUCAGAAAAAUGGUAAAAAUAUGGACCUUGAGAAGUCACCACGACGUCCAUCCCUAUUAUUUUAGGGUCCAGAAGACAUUGCCAUUGUUACUCUCAUCAGAUUCCAUGUUAUCCAAGUGGAGAACUCAGGAUAAUAUAUUGUAUUGAUAGUAGUCUCAUUUCUAUGAUAGAAAUAUAGUCCACUCUUUGUAGACAGGAUGGCAUUUAUGAGCAUAUCUUUACGUUUAACUCUUCUUAAUUUUUUCCUCUUUGUAUAAAGAAUCCGCUAUUAUCAACACAUAUUUAAUACAGCUCUUAAGUAAUUCCUAACAUAGUUUAAGUUUGAGAAACUAUUCAUGAACAGGGCAUACCUUAUCAGCUGCCUCCUUGGUUUAGGACAAGUGACCACAUCAUUCUGACCAAGACAUGAUUUAAGUAGGAUAAACACGUAAAAAUUGUGAGAAUUCCACAUUUAAACUAGAAACUGAAGUCUGGUAGUAGCAAAUUUAAGGUAGCCUUGAAUUCUUAGCAACCAAACAGACCAUUAACCAGCAAAAAAAUGCAACUGAACCACUUCUUUUUAACAUGGAGAAAAUCGAAGAAACUCAAACAAAGAUCCAGCCUUCAUUUUCUCUCAUUCCAAAUGCAGAAAACCCUAAGCCUUGAAUUUUUCACUCUCGUCCAAAUGGAGCACAGUAAACCUUAAUUUACUUUGUAGAUGAAUUAACAAUGCCUGACCAAACAAACACAUAAUAUUUUUAGCAAUUAGAUAAAAAGAUUUAAUGGUUUGAAAUGAUAUUGUAGAUUUUUUCAUAAAAUUAGUAAUAUAAUAAAAUUAGUAUUGAAUGAUCCUAAGCAUCCUAUUUAAUACUAGUUAAAUUAUAAGAAAAUUAAAUAAAAAUUUAAAGUUGAAAGAAGUAGAGCCCUAACUCUCUUGUUGUCGAAGGUGUUUAGUUUUUUGAGAAUAAAGAGUUAGGGCUUGCAUAGAAAUUAUUUUUUAAAAUAAUAUUUUAUUCUCUGUAACAAAAAAUUGCUUUUAUAACUUAAAAAGCACGUUUAACAAAUUUUUAACAACAAAUAUUUUUUUUUAAGAAUUUGUUUUGAAAGUAAACUGUUUUUUAUAUUAAAUUUGAGGUGUUUUCCAUUGUUUUUUGUACAACAUUCUAAAUAAUAAUUGAAAAUGUAAAGAAUAUUUUUAAAAUGCAAUAAUAAUAAUAAUAAUAAUAAUAAUAAAUAUAAUUAAGGAGGAGAGGAUGAGUUUGAAGUAGAUAAUAAUAAUAAUAAUAAUAAUAAUAAUAAUAAUAAAAUAUAAUUAAGGAGGAGAAGAUGGGUUUGAAGUAGAGAAUAGGGUUCCCUUCCUUCCCCCUCGACCUUGAUUACUCAUCCCUACCUAAUUAGGGAUAGAUCCUUGCGAAGAUCCACCUUGAUGGGUAUUUUCGUUACCCCUAUUAAAAGCAUCUCCUAAUAUUUGGAAGCAUAUUUGAAAAUCACAUUAAAAAUUCAAAAAAUCACUUCUGAACAAUUACUUCAUAGGUGGCCAAUUCUUCCAAAAAUCCAUUUUUUGUAAUAUUUAGUUUACAUCAAAACACUAAGUAGUUCUUCAUAAAAAUAUUUCUAAUGGGAGCAAUACUAUUAAAAGCGUUAUAUACUAAGAGCUCGCUUGAGAGUAAUUUGGAGAGAAGUUAACUAAAAAUGCUUCCUUACAAAAAUUAUUUGUUCAAAAUUUUUAAAUAAAGGAAACAUCAUUAGCAGACAUUUCUCUACCACAAAUGUUAAUCUAUGCAUCUCCUCAAAAUAAAAAGUCCAACAUACCUAAAAAAGGACAUUAAGAACAAAGGCCCUUCUAAGAUGUAAUAAUAUACAUGCACAAAAGAAAACAAAAAAAGAAAAAAAAAAAAAAAACAAUUGAAGGCAGUGUUUCACUCACAUAGACUAUGUAGAAAAAACAAACACCUCUUCCUUGUUUUGCAUAUGGAAAAUGAAAUCAGUCUUCUUCAAAAUCCUCCUCCCUAAGAUUUGAAUUGAUAGAAUCCAAUUUUUCAGAUUCUUCCUCUUUAUAACCCUAAGCAUUUUGCAAACAAAGAGCCUCAUAUUAGAUAGGAAAGAUGAAAAUUACAAUGAUGAAGGUUAACAUAAUUAGAACGAAAAUUAAUUUGGAUUGGAGGGUGAAUCAUAGAAUGCUAGAUCAAACUAAUGUUUCAUAUUAUCCUUGUAUUCUCUGAAAGUGAUAUUAUUUAUUUAAUGCAUAUUCUUAAAUUACAUUUAGGUAACAAUAUUGAUAAAGAUUAUAAAUUGCCUUAAGUAUUAACUAGUUCUUCUAUAUAAAAAUGAGACCCUCUAUGUAGAAUCUUGGUGUAGAACUUCAAAUAAUUGUCUACCUUUAACUUUUAAAAAAAGGAAAAAUAUUGUCAUGACCAGUAAUAUCCUAUAUUAGAUAGAAAAAGUUUCUAUAACUUUAUGGUGGAUUUCUCUUAACUAGAUAGAUGAUUUUUAAUGCUCUGAGAGCUCAUUAGGACCAAAGUGGAUAAUAUUUACAUAACAAGAACAAAUUGUCACAAAAGAUAUUAGAAUUAAUCUCUGAGCUUAGGAUGGGAUGAGGUCAUUACAUGACCAUUUAAAUUAUUUUUUGCUAAAUGCUCUAUGUUUUUGUUAACAAAAUCAAAGAUGAUAAAAGACUACACAAUUGAGAAUUCUUACAUUACCUUUUGCCCUUAAAUGAUGUUUGCACUAUCAAAAAAUAAUUUUUUAGAUUGAAAUGGAAAUAGGACAUAUUCCUUUUUUUCUUUUUAUUUUUUCUAUUUGGGACUAGCUAAAUUGAUACUUUACUAAACCCAACACAAUAUCCUUCACUCUUUAGGUUUUAGCAAGAAUUUAUUUAUUUAUUUUUUAUCCAAUUAGACUUCUUAAUCUACAAACCAAAAGAAAAUGAGAACAUUGUCCAUAAUAGGUAAAUAUCCCCAUUCAAUAUCUCACAGUAGUUCAAAUCUAUAUUAAAUCUCAAACAAUUUUGAAAAUUCAAGAAUCAUAUAUCUUCAAACAUGUGAUGAUAACUUAGGCCUCUCCCUCAAACUCUAGCUUAGCAAAUAAAAGUUAAAAAAAAAUUUGUUGAAUUUUCUAGCUUGCUAAAGUAGGGCUCAAACCCCAAUUCUAGAACAAUUCCAACUUGUAAGAUAUCUUUUUAUCAAAGCUAAUGUGGUUAUUCAAUGAACUUAUCACAUUUCUUGCUCAAAUUAUUCUAACUUGAUUAUUUAACCAAGUUAAAUUAAAGAUUAGCUCUUAUGUCUAUUCUAAAUUAGUUUUUUAAUCACAAUACUGGACUCCUUGCUCUCUACCUUUGGAUUUGGUUAAACAUACAUACAUAAACUUUUUGACAAGUGCUUUAUAGUUGUUGCACCAACUUGGGCCUUCAAAUUUUUUUGCCAAAACACAAUAACGUGAACCUUCCAAUAUUUCUUAAAUAAUCAAUGUGUUGUUUAAAAAAUAAUAGUAUCUCCCAUAUAAGAUGUAACAAUUGUUAAAGACUUACCUUGAAAGGAUAAUAGUUUCUAAAAAAUUGAGGUAUUAAAAAAUUUUUACUUUCUCAAAUUUUAAAAUUUUAAAGAACAUAAAGUAAGUUCAUACUUUUUGUAUAAGAGUUCCUAUAUUUUAUAUAGAAUGUGCUAUUAUCUUUUGCUUGAAAAACAAAUAAAUAAAGAAAGUGUAUCUAAAUGAAACCUUAAGUAUCAAAUUUUUUUUAUCUAACUAUUCUAACUUGAUAUCCUAACCUCUAGCUUCAACUAUAAUGCUAGUUUCUCUUUGUAGUUUUGCACCUGAAUUAACUAAUGUGUGUAUAUAUAUAUCUAUGAAUUUUUUGGCAAACACUUUUUACUUCUCAAGUCACAAGAAAGCCUCAUGACUUCUUAAACAUGUUAAGAAAUCAAAAUAUGAAAGAGUGAUGAUGUCACCAAGGCAACAAACAAUAUUAAGACAGUUUGCUUAUAUUAAGAAAUUAAACAUGUUCUUUUAGACUUGAAUAAAAUGAAAAUUCUAUAGGCUUGUUUUGUGUCUUUUCUUCAUACAAAAUAAAUUAAGAAUUUUUUUUGGGAGUGAUUUUGAAAGGUGUUAAUAAUACUUCAUAAUGCUUGAAAACAUUUCUUAUAAAAAUUAGGUGUUUGACAAAAUUUUGAAAGUGGUAAAAAAUAUGAAGUGAUGAUUCCUGGACAAUAACUUCAUAAAAUAAAAAAAAAAAUCAUUUUGCUGUUAUAUAAAACAAUACUAUGAAAACAUUUUUUUUUAGUUUAUAUCCAAACACGAAGUGAUUCUUUUUAAAAAUGUUUAUAAGGGAAAUGUUAUUAACAAAAAUGUUAAAGAUAAAGACAUUUUAAGUAGAAUAACCCCAAAUAACCUUUAAGACAAAUAAGAUUAAAGUAGUAUUUACUAUAUUUAUAGAGCCAAGGAAAAGAUGAUAUUAAGAGUAGAAAGAAUUAGUUAGGGGAAUUACUCCAUUCAUACCUGUUCCAUGAACUUCUUGCGUAUGGUGGUAUUUUGGUCAUCCUGCCAACAUUCUUCAAAAAAUUCUUUUUGUACACUUUUUAGCCUUGGUGCAUCUAAGACUCCCUUGCAAAAAAAUUCCAUCCCAUGACAUUCUCUCACCACCAUUGUUUCCAAGGAUGGGAAUUUGAAGACAUAUCUUGUUGAUGAGCAAAAGCUUUUCAGAUUUGGCAAAUGAUAAAGUCCCAGGCUCUUUAAUCUAGUGAACUCAAUCUCAUUAUCUGUUAGUUCAUGUCCUUCAUUUCCCACUAUUUCUUUUAUCAUGUGGCAUUCUUGUAUAAUAAGCUUUUUGAGUUGCACCAGUCUUUUGGCCAUUAAUGGUGUUACCAAAUUUAUCAAACUCCCACAACUAAUUAUCUCUAGAGCUUGAAGACUUUGAAAAUAUGGGCCUAAUCCAAAUAGAUGAAUUAGAAUAGGUAGAUCCUUCAAGCAUAUUUCAAUUAAUCGUGGAAGUGUCUCAACAUGAAAUUCUUCACUUGGAAGCCUUUCUACUUGAAUAACCUCAUUCACUGAAUCACACUUUAUCACCUUUAGUUGUUCUAGAUUAUGUAGUAUUUGAACCAUAUUCAAGGGAAUCACAACCGAAAUACCAUGACAAUAGUGUAUCAUCAAAUCGCUUAACUUCGAAAAAGACACCCUUGAAAAUUGGCCUCGCCAUAUCUCCAUAGUGCCCUUUAAGCUCAAUGUCAGUUCUUCCAAAUUAGGAAAUGCUUCAUGGCAAACCAAAUUACAUAAGAGGAAUGACAUUUCAUUUAUGUGAUUUUUUUUAAAUAAAUAAAUAAGUUAUAUAUACACACAUAUACAACAAUCCUCUUUAAGCUUGCAAAUAGCUCAAUAAAUGAUAAAAAUAAACAAGCCCCUUCAAGUUCAAACUCAUGACCACUUGAAAAAUAAGGCGAUACCAUAGUAAAUAGAAAAAACUGUAAAUCAGUUCAUUUUAUCUACAAACCUAACAUUUAUAUAUUUAAUAAUUAUAUUUCCUUCUUGAUCAAAGAGCUAUUAGGAGAAAAUAAGUAAACAGUAUUAUUGUUAUAAUUAUUAUAAUUGUUGUUGUUGUUGUUUUCCAUAUGAGGCGUAAUGAAUUACUGUGUCUAAAUAAUCAAGGUACACUUUGACAAGUUUUGAUGCAAUGUGGCUAAAAAUAGAUUGGAUCAAUAUUGCACAUUAAUUCAAAUAAAACAUCAACAUUUUUUUUUUUGUUAAAUUCUAAAUAAACACCACUAUAAAUUAAUGCAAUUUUGUAUGAAAUUCAAUUAAAUAAACUCGUUCUUAAGGCAUCACAAGAAGUGUUUAAGUCUAAUUAAUAUUAAUUAAAAAUUAUUAUAUUAAAAAAAAUCCAAAGUAAUUUAUUUUUAUCAUAAGUCAAAUAGGAUAAUUUUAUAAAUAAUUGGUUUUAGUUUCUAGUAUUCUUGUACACAAUCGCUAUGUUUGUUGCACCUCCAAAAAAUCUACUACUUGUAAUUAAUUGUAUAUUAUUCUCCAUAUUCACAUCAGUUUAUGUAGUAUGAUUAAUUUAGCAACAAAAUAUAACUUUACUUGAAAUCGCUUUAAAUUCCUAUGAUAUUAAAGUCUACGAUUAAAACAAUGUAACAUUAGCUAAAAAGAUUAAGAUCUAUAAUGUAACAUAUAAAAUUUAGAAAAUUCAAGGAAGGGUAAACUCGCACCUUUUCUACCCAGAAGAGUGGCUCAAGUUCACAUUCCAAACUUAUUUGUUGAAAGAGUAUCUCCACUUUAUCACAAUUGUGCACUACCAAUUGUUUCAAAAAUGGCCAACUUGGACUAAACCUUCCAGAGCAAAAUCUUUUGAGAUGGUGUAAACCACGGAGUGCUGCUUCAUCUUCAUUUUCAUUGGCAACAAUUGCCUCCGCUUCACUCCCCAAUAUAUGUAGGUCCUCAAGUUGCACAAGAGCACUCGCCACAGAAAGCGAAAAAAGAUUUAGCAAAUUGUUGCAUCCACUUACUUGCAAUUUCCUUAAUUUGGAAAAUGAAUUUGCUGGAAGUUGGCUAGGCCGCAAUGCUCUUAUAUUAUCCAGUGUGCCUACAAAUAAGGACUCCAAGCUGGGAGUGCAACCUGUGCAAUUGAUGAUCCCUUUAGUUAAUAAUAUAUACAUAUACAUUCCUAAUAAUUAGACACAUGUAAAUAGAAAAUAAGAGGUUAAAGGAUAAUAUAUCAGUAUAACAAAGCACAAAAUUUAAACUAGAUUGAAGAAGAUCAAGAAAGAGAAAAGAAAAGAAAAGAAAAGAAAAGGCCUCCUGAUUUUGAAGAUCCAAUGAAACUUUUAAAAAAAAAAAAAAAAAAAACCUCCAAAUUUUGCUUUCCAAAUGAGGUAAUAAGAGGAUUUUUUUUUUAAACUUUUAUAUAAGAUACAAGAACUCUUAGAGGGUUACAUUAUGUAAGUAAUACUUUAAAAAAUUUGUGAUAUCCAAAAAAAAUUUUAAAAAUUAUUUUUAAAGAAAGGUAAAUCUAUACUUUUUGUAUAAGAUGUUCUACCUUUAUAUACAAAUUUCUGAUUUUUUUUUUAAAGUGUAUCCAAAUGGACACUAAACUAUCUAGUUUCAAAUUUUUACAACUUUGAAUUGGAUUUUAUGGUAAACUAAUUUACAAUAUAAUACAUGGAUUCAUCUUAGAUUCCAUCUAUAAAUUUUUUAAUUAUCUAAUAUAAGACAUUAUAUUAAUGGGUUGAAUUAAUAAUGUAAUUACAAUUUAUUUGGCAACUUUCUUCCUUCAAAUAUAUAAAACGAAAAUAAAUUUUAAAAAGUAAAAAAAAUGAAAAAAAUAAAAAAUAAAAAAGCUUAUUUUAUAGUUUUUCUAAGAUGAUUUUGUAGAGUGUUAGUUUAUAGUUUUAACUUUAUUUCAUUUUACUUUUAACUUUAUUUAUUGAGAUAUGUUCUUUUUUGAAACUCUUGUUUAGAUUUUAUAGAGAAUAUAAAUUUUAAGAAAAAAAAUGAAAUUUAAAUAAGAUAAGAAUAAAGAAACGCAAAAGGUGGAUGGAUUUUUUUAAGGCAAAAUUUUGAUAAUUGGCACUAUCAUGUAACAGGUGAAAAUUUUAAAUACUCAACAAAGGCUAGAGAAAUUUAAAUUAAAAGCUCGACAUGUACUUGUUCGAGCAAAAAGAGCAGUUGUUGAAUUUUGUUGUCAAGUUCACUUUUCUAACCUAUUUCUUGAAAUAGUAUCUCCACUUUAUCACAAUUGAACACUCUCAAUUCUUUUAAAAGUGGCCAUCUUGAAGUAAACCUUCCGAAGCAAAAUCUUUGGAGUUGGGGUAAAGUAUUGAGUGUGAGAGAGGUUAGUUUAGGGAAUAAGAAUAAAGAUGUUGCUUCAUCUUCAUUUUCAUUAGCAACAAUUGCCUCUAGUACUCCACAAGAGCAUAUCUGUAGGUCCUUAAGUUGCACAAGGACUUUCGCCACGAAAAGGGGAAAAACAUUCAGCAAUUCAUCACAGUAACUUACAUCCAAGCCCUUUAGUUUGGAAAAGGAAUUUGCUGGAAGUUGGUUGUGCCACAAUGCUUUCAGAUUAUCUAGACGACAUACACGCAAGGACUCCAAGGCAGGGAAUGCAGCCUAUGCAAUUGAUGAUCCAUUUGGUUAAUACAUUCUCAAUAACUAGACACAUAUAAAUAGAAUAUGAAAGGUGGAGGUGAAUAUGUCAACAUGAAAAAGCACAAAAUAAAUUCAUAAUUUUAUCUACAUAUUUUC